This 143933-nucleotide long non-coding RNA is filed under the name Coffea arabica (coffee). RNAcentral describes it as "long non-coding RNA (CARA_LNC004243)". The record is from RNAcentral. Lineage: Eukaryota; Viridiplantae; Streptophyta; Magnoliopsida; Gentianales; Rubiaceae.
CAAUAGAGGUCCAAUCUGAUUGCAAAUUUGUGGUGAGCCUAAUCAACUCAAGCAAUGUGCAGAUUGUAAGGUACAAACGAUCCUGGAAGACAUUGAAGACUUGAAGAAGAACUUUGAAAGCUGUUUGUUUUUGUUUGUUCCCAGAACUGCUAAUAGUUGUAGCCAUGCUAUGGCUCAAUUUGCAGUUAAGUCAGUUAGGAUGAUUGAAUGGGAGGGAGCAUUCCCAUUUUGGUUAUCAGAACUAGCUAGAAAGGAUAUGGGAGUAGUUACCCCUUUUUGUAAUUAACUCUUGUAAUAUCAAGUAUUAAUAUUUAUAAAAUUGGUAUCGUUUGGUUUUAGGCAAGUAAGCAUGAUCAGACUAAAACGAGAUUUUGUGUUUUGAGAUGAUGUGACCAGUUCUCUAUUGCUUUUGAAUUUUGUAAAGUUGCCUUUGUAAAAGAUCCAAAUUAAAAUCCAAAAAGCAGGUUUAUGCUAUCUUCUAAUUGAGUUAAGAGUUUGAUUUAUGUCAAAUGACUCCAUAUUAGAACACUUGAUUUUUACAAAAUAGUAGUACUAAAUGCUAAUGCCAAGGAAUUGUGAGUCGUUGGUGUGGAGGUUUGAAGGAUGAAACUGGAGAGCCGUCACUGCUGUGGAAGGACUCCCCUCUCCAUCCAUCCUGAACCUGAGCAGCAAAUUGCAAAUUCCAGAGGAUAUCCUCAACUGAAGGUCUAUCUGCAGGAUUCUGGAGCAAACAUUUGCAGCAAAUCUCGAUCAUAGUUUUCAGUGAUUCGUCUGAACAUGCAUCACUAACAGCCGGAUCGACCACUCUCUUUCUGGAUGCAUCAUCUGCUGUAAUGACUGCUUGUAGCUGCAUGACAGGAAAAAACAAAUUCUUUUCAUUCAUGGGUGUUGAGAACAACUUUGGUAGAACACUCAGUUCUGUACACCUAUAACUGAUGAAGUCAAUAAUUAUCAGUCAGGCUCACAGAUUCUGCUUUUCUAUAAAUGCCAACUUGUGGAUUCAAAAUAAAGAAAAUCUCCCCAAGAUAUCAGAAACCUAUUAGGAUGAUGCAUCUCUCUCUCUCUCUCUCUCUCUCUCUCUCUCAUGCGGCCGCACACGCACAAUAAGUGGAACAAAAAUGCUUAAAUUUGAUUAGGUGAAGGUCUCAUGUUUGUUUAUCAGUUAACAGAUAUUAGAGAUUACAUGGCAUGUCCUGGCCUAGGCACUCCUAUUAAGGUCCUUUUGAGAUGCCAUAUAUUGCUAAAUGCAAAUAUGAUUACCCUAAUUGAAGGUCUUACAACUUGCAGGGACUUCAUGACUAUAUUGUCUUCACUGUCAUUACAAAAUUGCAGUUUUGUUUUGUUCUUUUUUCCCUUAAGUGUGACAGGGAGGGGGGAAAUGCAACUGUUCCGGAAAGAUUUUGUUCAUUUCAACAAAAUAUAAGUUGAUUUUUUCAGAAUGCAAAUGACUUUGAAUAGAAGGUAAUUUUGGAUUAAUUUUAUGGACCAGACGUAUGGUGUUAAAAAGGAUGGACACACAUGAUCUUAAUCUUGCAUUUUUUUUCUUCUGGGCCAAUCAUUGUCAACCUUCAACAAAGGUUGAACUAGCCAACUAUUCCUGCCUAAUUGGUGUAUCAUAGGAAUUAUUGUCAAAAAAGGGAAGCAAUGUAUUUGUACCUGUCUAUAGCUUCUAUUCAAAGCAAAAUAGCAGCUUUGUAUUAUUCUCUUUUCCUAUGUAUGAUAUGAUUAUAUGAGUUAAUGUCUCAAGGGCAAAGCAAUAUACUUAAAGCCAGCAGCACCAGACAAGAGUGAGAGCACAAGUCUCAUUAACCUCAGGACCUAUGGAGCAUUUUUACCUGUCUACAGCUUCUAAAUUUCCUUUAAAUUUAGCAUUUCGCUAUUAGAUUUCAGCAGAAUUGGAUUCUGUAUCAUAUAACUCCAAAAAAAUUCAAAAGAAAAGAAAAGAAGAAGAACAUUCUGCAAAGUGGAGUUUGCUAAUUGAGAACAAACAAAACAUGGAAUCCAACACUACGCAAAUUGAGAACAAAGAAAAGAAAAUUUCGCAAUAUUGAUGCUGAGUAGUAUCUGUAACUAGUCCAAACCUGAGCGUUGGCUCCAAAGACAAGUUAGAUCUGAUAAAGUUACAUUUAUAUACCUGAUCUUUGAGAACCACCACUUCUCUCUCGGAAAUUAUUAGCCUUCCAGAGAUGAUCUCAGCAAUAUUAUCCCAAAGUCAUAGAUAUCGAACUUUUCUUGAUGCAUUACCCUGUGAACCAAGAGUGUAGUUUAAGCAUUUCUUAUCGAAAUUUUAAGAAGUGCACCACCUAUUUGGUAUCAGUUAUGUAAUUGAUGGUACAAGUCCAAGCACUUGUGACUUUAUACAAAAGGAGAGGACUUGUAACAACUGAUAGUUUGCAGAUUUUUCUCAAGUAUUUGACUUCCAAAAAUUAAAAAAAAAUGAAUAUUGAGUAAAUGCCAAUGAAAAUAUAUGUGGAAGACAAUACAAAAGAUGAAUGGUUAGUCAAAAACAGUUGAUGCAGCAGAAAAAGUUGCUGAGAAAGUUAAAUUCCCAGAUCAAUAGUUGUGCCCCUUGAGCACAAGGUUUUCAAGUAAAGGCUUAUAGUGUAAAGGUAUGAAUUUGGCUAUUGAUGAAUAGCAGUAACCAGAAAUCUUGCAAGUAAAGGAAGUCCUGUGUUGUUAACUAUUCGUCUCGUUAAGCAGAGACCAGAAUGCUGAAAGUUGGACAAGAACAAACCUUAGGUUCUUCAACUGUGUAGAUGUAUUCGAACUAUGAACAUCAUCCUGUAAAAUUAAGUAGCUUUCAACAUCUAUCUUGUGCAAGAAUAACAUCUUACAAUCCUAGAAUUUAAAAUUCUUCAUUCAAGUUUAUACCUUUCCCAUAUGCUCUGCUAGCAAAGGCAGGUUAUAGCUACUAACUUUUGCAACAAGGUUCUGAUCCAAUAGAAUAUCUGUUAUUUUCAAAUAAUUUGGAAAGAUACCAGGCACUAUUCCUGUAUGCAGGAAUUGUAUACCCUUUGCUACCCCAAUUGCAGCUGCAAUACGUUGUGUCCAAUUAAGUUUCGAUCCGGCACGUCUAUCUGUCAUAUAACAAUGAGAUCCACUUAAAAUUGUAAAAGAACAGAAAAUCAAAACAGUUUGCAAGUUGAAUAGCAUAGAUAAUCAACUAAUUCGUAAUUUGAUCAGACAGCGUGCUUUUCUUAAAAGAGUUUUAAAAGUUAGCUGAUGGUGAAUCCUCUAGGUGGAUGACUCACUGAAAUCAGAAAAUUAUACAUGCUACUAAUGCAAGUGAUAUUCUUUUAAAGAGAUGUCGGCUUAUAAGAUGUUAUCUACUGCAUCCAGCCAAAUCUUUUUUCAUGAAAGAACAUGAUUUGAAUAUGCAUACUGAUAUCAUAAAACAUUUGGAAUACUGAUAUCCAGCUCCUCAAUGUCCCAUUUGGAAUAUUCAAAAGACAAGGAAUAUUCUGCUCACACUUGAAUCAUCCAAGUAACACUCGAAGCAGUGGCCAAGAGCACUGACCAAUGCUGAUGUCUUAGUUUCGAUAUUAAUUCAAUGUGAUGCAAGAAAUCUUGAGUGCUGUGCCUUUCUUUUCAUUUUCAGGCAUCUAAUAGCAACGUAGGUACCAUCUUCAUCUGGCCUCUGUACAUCUGAGUCAAUGGCAAAGAAAAUUUCAGCUAUAGUCAUUUAAGUAGUCUAUGGCUUCAUAUUUUGGGAAGAACUAUCCAAAAACACAAUUGGCGGCAUGUGUCACAGCAACAGUUUCUGUAAUUUUGAAUUAGUCUAUAUGACUCAUUUCCACAUGUGAAGAACAGGUUACAGCCAUACUGCAUAGUCAUUUAAGUAGUCUAUGGCUUCAUAUUUUGGGAAGAACUUCCCAAAAACACAAUAGGCGGCAGGUGUCACAGCAAACAGUUUCUGUAAUUUUGAAUUAGUCUAUAUGACUAAUUUCCACAUGUGAAGAACAGGUUACAGCCAUACUGCAUAGUCAUUUAAGUAGUCUAUGGCUUCAUAUUUUGGGAAGAACUAUCCCAAAAACACAAUAGGCAGCAGGUGUCACAGCAAACAGUUUCUGUAAUUUUGAAUUAGUCUAUAUGACUAAUUUCCACAUGUGAAGAACAGGUGACGGCCAUACUGCAUAGUCAAUUUAUGCCAGAAGUAAAGUUGGUGUAUGCAUAUAACUUUCAGAUUCAGGUUUCAUUAACCACGCAUUAAUAUAUAUACCAAUUGUACCUUUUAUUUUUACCAGUUCUUAGAAUAUAAAACAUGAAGAUUAAAUAUCUAAUUCUUUACGAUUAUAUCCAAAAAACCAUUCUCUCCAACUUCACAACCUGCAGAAAGUUGAUUACCGAUUAGAUAAAAUAUCUGUUACAAAUUAACCUGAAAUGAUUGGUGAGAUGUGGGUCUUUUUACUGAGCUAUGUUCUGGAAGAAAUCAGUGUGAGAUCAGAAUGUAGCUCAGAGGAUAGAACUUGUGGUUACGGAUGACAAUGGCAAGGAUUCGCCCCUAACUCGCAUAGAAGGGAAGUAGAUUUUGCUUCAGGAGAAGAGUUGUCUAUACAGCAGACACAAAGCAAUGGAACAAAGAGUAUUGAUCAAGCAUUUUUGGCAGAAUCAUUUUUGGCAGAUAGGGUUUAUAUAAGUGAACUUAAACUUUUCUACACAAUUGGUUUCAUCAUCACAUAGUAUGGAGGGUAAGAUAAAAAUGGCGACUGUAAAGACAAACAAUGAGUUGAAUACUAGUAAGAAAUAUCAAUUGGAGGGAAUUACUCAACGUCUCAUACUCAAAUAAUUUCAGUUUCAUAUUUCUUCAACUGUCUUCUCAUAAACGGUUCGGGAGAACCCUAAGAUGAAGUGAAGACACUGAAAGCCAACAUAUUGAUGCUAGUACAACAAUUCAAUUUGCAUUGGAAAUUGUUAUGAAUAACACAUUUACCUGACCACAAGAGCCUUCCCCUAUGAAGGAUGAUGUGUCAAAGUUGUUUGUUGCCUCCUCAAGCUCUUCCAGUGAAAAGGUCCUGUAGGCUGGAAGACCUAUUGCUCCAAGCUUCAUUGCUUGUGUAAUAUAUCCUGGAGAACUUGCUGAUUAGUUGUUAAGACUCUCAUUAAUGCUUCAUAGCUGCUUUAGGAUCAAAGAUAUCCAGAUGACUAGAUAUAUUUCUAUUCUAGACUGAAUAUUCAUGGAUCCAAGAAAUAUUGUUAAAACAAGAGAACUGCAAUCAAUUAGUACGAUUGUUACAUUCUCCUUCUUCAGUUGAAUCACUCCAUCUCUUUCUGAGACCAGAUGGUUAUUCAGUUUAAUCAACCUGUAAGGUGGGUGCAGACUAUCGGAUGAGGGAGAGAGAGGCAAAUUUAAAGCCAAAUUUGUGACGUUGUCGUUGUGCUUUCACCUUUUUGGGCUUUAGGGUCAAAGAUAAAGAAUUUUGUUUCCUUAAACUCAGCUCUUGCCACUGCAGAAGCUUAAAAUUGAGUGUGCUGUUACAACAGUUUCAAUGUACAAUGAAGAAUUUACAAAAACUUGUGCUUUUCUAUGCAAGAUUGAUCACACAUUACAUAACCAGUAAACCAGUCCUGGAUUUGGUCCAUUGAGAUAACCUGUCAGGUAUGGUGAAUGCCAAUGAAAGGAAAAUUCAAGAAUGUGCAAAACUUGUACUUUGUAAGCACAGUCCAUUGAGCACAAUAUUUUGUGAAUUUAAAAAGAGCAAAUUCCAUUAUUAUAAGUAAAAAUCACAUUUCACACCAGCAAAUAAACUUCCCAUUAGCAGAUGAAAAGAUUGACGACUUACUUGCAUCUGAAAGUAUUUUUGAGGUGUACCCUGUUGAGGCAUUUUCUUCAAUUAUUCUAACAGGAAGCUUUUGUGCUUCAUUCUUUGCAAGAAAUUUUCUUACAAGAACAAAAGCUAGAGCGAGUAGUAGAACUGCACCUAUAGUACUUCCAGAUAUGCUCAAGGCCAGGAUUAUUUUUGAAGCUUCCUUUUGCCUUCUAUGAUGAGGCAGGAUUCCCACAGCCAAAGCUUGAUUCUGACAAUAUGAGUUCGGUUGUUGAGUUACAUCCUUCGUUGCCAACAAUUUGCAGCAUAUUGAAAAAUCCUGUUUCUUGAAUUGGACAGUAGACAGCUAGGCACCAUCCCAGUCAACAGAUUAGCAGACAAAUUCACAAACUUAAGUUCAGUAUUGCAAGACACAUCUUCGAAAAGCAUUCCAGUAAAUCUAUUAGCUGAAAUAUCCAGGUAUGUAAUUGAUGGCAUGGACAGAAGAUAUGAUGGAAAUGGCCCCACAAAUUUGUUGGAUGACACAUCUAGGUGAUCAAGCUGAUAGAAGGAUUUCACUUCAUCUGGAAUGCCAUAGGUAAAUUUAUUUUUCCUCAGUACAAGGCUUACAAUUUUUUUAUUAACUGGAGGAAAUUGAGGUCCAAGAGAAUUGUUUUCCAAGUCUAGAACCUGAAGGUUUUCCAAGUUUCUAAGAUCAGGCACUUCUCCAGAGAAAUUGUUAUUGGAUAAGGCAAGGAUUCUUAGAUUUUCCAAACUUCCUAGGGAAUCGGGCAGAGAUCCACUACAAGAAUUAUUUCUCAUACUCAAAACUGUCAAAACUGAUAGUGAUCCCAGCUCAUCAGGAAAUCUACCAUUAAACAUAUUGCCAUCAAAUAUGAGAGCUUGGAGACCUGUUAAUGACAAUAUUCCUCGAGGUAUGGUACCGUAAAAGAAAUUCGAACUUAUGUCCAAUAUUUCCAGAGAUGACAAGCGGGAAAGUUUAUCUGGUAAUGCCCCCCAUAAACCCAAAGAAACCAACCUGAGGACCUUCAAAUUGGGAAGUUUAACCAGUGUAGUAACAAAUGAAUCAAUAGAGAAGUUCUUAGAAAGCUUAUUAGUCUCUUUCUCCCCAAUUAUAUGCAGCUGAGUUAUACUUUCCUCAUAGCAGACUACUGUAAGAGUGGACCUUGGUUCUGGAUUGCAGAAAUCUGUAUCAUUCUUCCAGCCACUCAAAGACUCAGGAAAAUUCAAAAACUGUUGAAUCCUUAAAAGAGUUUGUGCCUGGGAUGACUGCAAUUUUUCUGAAUGGCCAACUAAGACUGACAAUGCAAAAAACAGAACCAGCGCUGCAUGGCCUACCUCUUUUCCCAUCCUGCAGAACAACAGAACAAGAGAUCCCACAAACAGAGCUGACUAAUUCAAAGCUUAAGUAUUCACUUGUUUCCACACAUGAAUCACUAAAAUCUUCAAAACUCAACUUUUGCAACAGCGGAACAGUUGAAAGCACAAAAGGGACAAUAGGAAAAGGAGCAAGUUAUUGUUUCAUCAUGGAUACCUGAAGGUAGAAAAAAUUAUUCACCUUCACUUGCUACUCUUUGGUUCUCAAAUGAUUUUGUUGAUAUCUACUUAACUACAACAAUUACAUAUGCUGAACGGGACUAAUCUAUCUUGUCUGCAUUAUAAACAAAAGAAACAACUGAAAUGAAAAUUUGAAGCUGAUAGAAGGCUAACCUCUAUACUGAGAAACAGAAGCCAAAUGUUAAUCUCCAAUUUUCCUUGGUGAAGUAAGUUUAACCUUCAUUUCCUUCAAAUGAAGAAAUAAACUACAGUUCCAACAUCCCAACUUCCUAAGUAGCUUAGAAACAAAGGCUGACCAUAAUCAUAUCAACCUACCACAUCUUCCACACAAUAGUCAAAAAAUUCAUCAGCACUCUCUCAUUCUCAUCUUUCUAUCUUCCUUUCACUCUCAAGCAAUAAAUGUCGUGUCUAUGGAGACAAAACCCCUGAAUCUUACUAGUAAACUCAGAGAGCCUUCUCUGAACAAGAGUUGUGAGACAUAACAAUUCAUCUAUUGCUAGCACAGAUGAAGACAUGAAACUCUGUGCCACACUUGUGAGCUAUACUACUUUUAAGUGCCAUAAUUACUUCAUAAGCCGACAAUAUUUUCAUAUGGGGUGUGGACACAAUGUUGCUAAAUUAUACUAUUGCUUUUAAGCUCUAAAGGGUCUCUUCCAGUUGGACUGAUUCGACUGAUGAGCCUCCCAAUAGAAAAGCAAAAAAACAAAAGGAAAGAUGCUUACUGAAGAGAACCCUUUAUUCUCUUGACCUCUAUUGUACAUCAUCUAGUCUUGCAUGUUUCUUUAACUAUUGACAUCAGUGGACGUACAGGACUAGAUUUUGCUAAUGUGGAUUUCUCCUUUUCAGACUUGUUCUAGAUUUGUCAAGGAACGUGGUGGAAUUUUAUAAGGUGGAUGAGUGUUGUCACUCUGGUUGGCAACUCAGUGGUUGAAUGUCCAUUCUAAGUACUCAAUAUAAUGAGUACUAUAGAUGGAAGAUGGAAGAAAAUUAAAAAGAAAGGGGAUUUUAGUGCAACCUUAAGAGGUAAAGCUAGUGGACUAUGGAUUAGGGCCAUACAAGUUGCAAUUUUCAUGUUAUUUAUGAAAUUGAAUUUACAUUUAUACAUUUAAGAUUUACAAAUUUUUGAGUAUGUACCCAAUAGAAAAAGAUUAGCUAAGUAUUAUCUCAUGACAAAAAUUAUACCUCAGAUUAUGUAAUAGCACUUGUUAUAUUUGACAACAAUAAUGUUCGCAUUGGGUGAGAUGUUGACCUUCUUGGAUACAAAAUUAGGGAGUGGGGUUCUUUAUAAUUGUUAGUACCACAUAAUUGAUGGCUACAUAGGCUUAAUUUGAAUUUGUACUAUUUUAAAUAUCAAAAUUUUUUAUUAGUGAUACAUUCAUUGCAUUUUUACACCAAGGCCUUGUUUCAAAAGCCAUCUUUCCUCAAAAAAUUUCGACCUUUUUUUAAAUAGAUUUUUCAAUCAUCUUUUUAUCUCACACAUAUAAAAUCACUGUAGUACAUUUUCUAUAAAAAAAAAAAAAAAAAUUGCAAUCCAAACAGGUCUAUAUUUGAUGGAUUUAGUGCAUGAUUGCAUAUAUUUUAUGGUGCAAUUAAUACUGAUAAUCUAAGUUCAAGAUCCAGAAAACUAGAAUUAGCAGAAUUUUUCUCUUUUUUUGCCUUUUUUUAAUUGGCAAAAAGGAAGAAAGCAAUACCUUAAUGGGAUUUGUCAUGCAGCGUAAGCUUUCACUUUCUGAGGUUGGCCAGCUUUGGCUUUUUUAGCGGUGGCCCCUUCAUUUUGGCACCGUUUGUUUGGCACUCUUUCUUCCUCCGUCGCUAAGCAUUUGCUUUGAAUUCAGUGCCAAGUGAUUAUUGGUUUUCAGUUAUUGACUGAUUAUUGACUGAUGGAAUUGAAUCACCACAUCUGUCCCUUUUCAGAGUUGUUUGAAUUUGUCCAAACUUUGCUAGCUUUUCAACUUGAAAUAGUACUAUGUACCAUGUAUCCUACGUCAAUCCUUUUUUUUUUUUUUAAUCCGCAUCUUUUACGUUAACCUUACUUCUAUUCUUACCAUAUAUUACAUCAACCAUCCUUUUUUUUUUAAUCAACGACUUCUACAUUAAUCUUACUUCUAUUUCUAGCUUAAUCUAUUUAACGGCAAUCACCAACUUCUACACACUAAUUCUAUUUUUACUUUUACUUUAACUUAUUUAAUGAAAAGUCGUUGAAUCAAGAGAAUUAGGAGGAUUUAUUUUCACAUGUAAUCUAGGGACGCAUAUUACACAUUCUUUCAAUUUUAGUAGAAGUCAUGUAUUAGUGACAAUUGAUCCGAUACAAGAUUUGAACAUUUAAAAGAAUCUUUUAAGAAUUCAAUUUGAUGGUAUGCAAUAGAGGCCUACUUCCAUAACUUAUGGUAGAAAAGCAUCCAGAAGGGUGCAAAAAAAGAAUAUGAUGCUAGAGAUGCUGAUUUUGAAAUCACUCUUUAACUACAAAAAAUUUUCAAAUCUAUCAUUAUUUUGUUUCUUUAUUUUUAUAUUAGAUAGUUUUAUUGUCUGAAUUUCAGACACUUUUACGAGUAUUUAACAUUUCAAAAGAUACGAAUAGCGAUUGAGGAGUCUGAUAUAGUCUUGAUACUAUUAGAAUCCAAAGAAUAUAUGGGAAAAUGAUGCUAAAUCCCAUGUUUUAAUUUUGGUUUAAAGAGACUACGAAUCCCAUGUUGAAGCUGCCCGCUCGUGAUUGACUGAGAUUGGUUCGGCUUUUAUAAGGAAUGGGCCAAAUGGGUCUACCCACCCAGGAUAGUUUCUUUUUCUCCACAUAGGCUACUAAAUAUUUGUACAUUUUCUUUUUAGUAUCAAAUUUAUUAUCAACUUUUUGAUUUCCUCCUAGGAUCUAAACGAGACUAAUCAAAUCAAACACCCUAAUAUAAUUUUAUUUGAUUUUUAACAAAAUUAAAAUUUUAUUCAAAAUUGGCUUAUUUAUUUGUCAAAUUGAGUUUGAACGAACUUUUAUCAAGUUUGAAUGUUAUCAAACGCAAAACACUGUUCAAAUUUGGUUUGAUUAGUUGACGAGUUUGAAUGCCAUCGAAUAUAAAAUGCUGUCUAAAUUUGGUUUAACUAGUUGCCGUAUCAAACUUGAAUGAGUUUUUACAAAAUCUCAAAUACCGAGUACUUUGAUUCGUUUUUUAAACCCCUAUUUCCUUCUCUUUUUAUCCUCCUUCAUGCACGGCUUAUACCUUAUAAUCCUUAUAUUCAUCUAGGCGUGGCAAUCUAGUCCAAAUCGGGUUGCGGGUCGGAUUGAUUCAAACCUAUCUAAAAAGAGCAAAGGGGGAAGAGUAUACAAGACCAAUUUUAUUUCAUAUGGAGUUCAAAGUACCAUGGAUAUUUUGUUGGAGUUUCAAGAUUCAUCAAGAAUUGGAAAAGCCUCUUCCAAUGUCAUUGGUUAGAGAAUUCAAAAUAAAAUGGUGGACCGGAUUCAAUCAAGAAUUUGGAGAUCAAACAAAUGUGAUAAGAUUUCUGACUACCGGAGACAAACUAAAAUGGACUGCAACUACUACCACUACUCAAAAAGAGACAAGACAGCAGACAAGUAUUCCAACCACUACAACCACUCCACCAACUCCAAAGAAAGAAAAAGAAAAGAUGACGGAAAUGGCAUCCGAAGAAAUAGCCAGUAACUUUUUGAUAAAGCAAAUGAUGCAGAAUCCCGAGAUGCUUAAAGAGUAUCUGAAUUAUUUACAAAAGCCAGUCAAAAAGGAAGAAACAGACAAAAUAGAGGAGUCAGCAGGAUCAUCCGAAUCAACUUUUGAUCCUUUUGAUGACCCCAUCGGUGGACAAAAUCCAAAUGACUUUUGAAAAAGAUGUCGGCCACAACAAAUGAAAGCAAAAUGAAAUUCAAAUGCCGAUGAAAUGAGAAGACCCGAGCUUCUAUAAAUAGAUUCAAGAUUCAGAAUGAAAGACAUCGGGCAAAAAUCAUACAAGCAGUUUUAGAAUUCCUUUGUAAAAUCCUCUCAAUCACUCUUACCUACUCCCAACUACUCUCAAUCCCUCUUUUCAAACUCUUGUACACAAUUGUCAAAUAUAAAGUCAAGGUUGAAGACUUAUAUUCUACAAAGCUUCCGUUAGCAACUCAAAGUUAUUCGUAAGUCCUAAUCUUUAUGCUUAUUGCAAUCCAAGUUCAUACUGACUUAAUGUUUGUUUUAUAUACCCUGGGUUAGAAGUGGUAUCAGAGCCACACCCUUGUUUAAUUUGCAUACGCAUAUUUAAACUUUGAUUUACUUUUACUUUAUUUGAAUUACGCUUCUAUUUUGACUUGGCUAUUUCAUGCAUUUAUGUUUGCAUAUUUUAUUAAACUUUUACUGAAAACGUUGGUAAGACUUGAUGCCUUGUUAGACCGUUGGUAAGUCCAGGAUAGGAUGUUCCAGGCAUAGUGCUCGGUUGUUCCCGUCUAAGUAAAAAUUUAAUUAAAUAUUAAACAUGGCUGCAUUUCUUAGACAAUUAAAAAUAGAAUCUAAUUCAAGGAAAGAUAAUGUAGUACAAAGUCAUGAAUAUCAUAUGCCUAUAAACAAUUCAGAUUGGACAAUCCCAGAGGAAAAAAUUGAACACAUUUAUAGAAUUGGCCCUUUAGAUUUCAAAACUGCUUUAUCAGUUAAAACUCAUGAAGAAACAAUAUCUAUUCAAGAAGAAUAUCAAACCAUACAAUUAUUAAAUCAUAAUACAAUUCAAAAAUAUUUAAGUAAAGAAUAUCGAUACAUUCAUAUAGGUUUAAUACAAAUUGCUGUAAAACCUUUAUUCCAUCUAGGAGUAGAUGCUCCUAUAUAUCUAGCCUUAAGAGAUACUAGACUCAAAAGAUAUAAAACUUCUUUACUAUCUAUGAUUCAAACAAAUGUAUGUAAUGGACCAAUAUAUUUUAACUGUACUCCAAAUUUUUCAAUAGAUCUAACAGACCCUCAUAUUCUAAAUUCUUUAAUAUUAGACAUUCAUCUACAAGGAAAUGAAUUCGAAAAACAUACAAAGAAUUUUGCAAUAAUAUAUAGAAUAUAUUACAGACCUUUAUCAUCUCAUUUAAAUCCAAAAUUUAUUAUGACUCCAACUCUUAAAGAUGAAACAACUUUAUUACAAGUAGAUGCAGAUAAACCUACAACAUAUACACCAAAAAGAUUAAAAUGGAACGAAAUAACUAUACCAAGUGAAUUUGAAAUUAAAAAUCCACAAAAAGCUAGAAACAUAGAACAAACUACUGCAGAAGAUAUUAUAGAAAAAGCAGAUGGAAGUACACUCAUAAGAUUCACCUCAUUAAGAGAAAGACCAGAAUCCUCUUAUUCAUGGUUACCAGCUAGACGUUCAAAUUAUGAGUCAACUGAAGUUAAUUUUCCUAUGGAAAGUACCUCAAAUUUUAGAUAUAAAACACCAAUACCAGAAGUUAUAAAUAAAAAUCAAUCAGAAUAUUCCCCAACUCAUUCACAAAUGCAAGGAGAAAUAAAUGUAAUAGAUAGACCAUAUAAAAUAAAUCAUAAAUAUUUACAAGAAGAUUUUGAUGAUGAAGAAAAUACAGAAAAAAGAAUUUGGUUUUUUCAAUUAGACUCCCAAUAUAAAGAAAAGUUAAUUAUAGAAUGGAAAAAUGAAAUAGAUAAACAAAAGUUUGAUUUUCCUUUCUUUACAUGGUUAUCAUUUUAUAUGUCAAAAUUAGGAAUAAAUGAUAUAUAUAAUACACCUCAAAUAAAUGUUCAAACCAAUUUAUAUAAAAAAUGGAAAUUAAAAGAUGAACAAGUUAUAACUUCAAUACACCCUCCAUUACAAGAAGUAAAAAUUAAUAUGGGACAAGGAGAAAUUAUAGCCUCACCUUUUAAAAAGGGAAGAGAAACAGAAUCAAGUACAAAUAAUUCAAUAAAUAUAGAAGAUCUUAAAAAAGUUUAUCAACAAAAUAAUUAUACAAAUCAAAUUUUACAUACAAUAUCUCAACAUAUGGAAGUAUUAAAUACAAAAAUUGAUACACUAAAGAAAUCAGAUUUAAAAUUCCCUAAUGAUAUAUCAGCACCUCAUUUCCAACCUAGAAGUCUGACAAGAGAAAAAGAACAAGAUUUAGUACAAAGUAUUAAUAAUCAAAAAAUAAGUAAUACAGACAAUUUAUUAAAUAAAAUAUCUAAUGCAUUACAAAAUCUAACUACAGAAUCUAAACCAUCAACACCAAAAAUAAACACAUUAGACCAAAUAAUAGAAGAAAAUUCUACUGAAAAAUUAGAAGAUUUAUCAGAAAAAUCAAUAAAAUCAGAAGAAGAAACAGAUAUGAUUUUACCCGUAGAAAACCAAUUUGAAGAAACAGAAGGAAAUCAAAUAAAUAGAAUAAAAAGAAAAAAUUAUAAUAACAAAAAUAAUUGGAAAAUGGUAAGUUCAAAAAAUUAUUAUCCUAGACCAAAUCCUCCGGAUAUUCAAUACGAAGAAAGAUCAAGAUUCAAAACUACUAAAUAUGAUGGAGAUUCAAUAUAUGAAUGGAAUAUAGAUGGCAAAACUGAAUAUGAAGUAUUAAAUAAUUUGCAAGAAAUGGGAAUGGCAAGACUAGCUUACAAAAUUAAAAACAUUCAAGAAAGAAAUAUUGCAACAUUAUUAGUCUCAGGAUUUACUGGACAAUUAAAAAAUUGGUGGGAUAAUGCUUUAACAUUACAAGAUAAAUUAUCAAUACUAGAUCAUACUCAAGAAAUAGAAGAUGAUCAAGGAAAUAUUCAAAUACAAUCAGAUGCUGCAGAAUUUCUAAUAGUAACAAUAGUAAUGUAUUUUAUAGGAAAUCCAAAAGAAGAAUUAAAUUCUAAUAAAACAUUUUUAACAAAUUUAAGAUGUCCAACUUUAUCAGAUUUUAGAUGGUAUAAAGAUAUGUUUUUAACAAAUGUCUUAAGAAGACCUGAUUGCAAUGCUUCAUUCUGGAAAGAAAGAUUCAUAACAGGAUUACCAAGUUUAUUUUCACAAAGAAUAAUGGAUAAUUUACAAAAGGAAAUGGGAACAGAUGUAAUUUCAUUUGAAAACAUUACUUUUGGACAAUUAUUUGCUUUUGUGAAAAAAGAAGGAUUAAUAUUAUGUUCAGAAUUACGAUUACAAAUAAAAUAUGGAUCUAAAACAAAAGAAGUAGGAUCAUUUUGUGAUGCCUUUGGAAUUAAAAGAAUUAAAUCACCAUCAGCUUAUAAAAAGAAAAUAAAAAAAUAUUCUAAGAAAACAAGAUAUAAAAACCUCAAAGAAAAUGAACCAACUAAAAAGAAAAGAUUUAUUAAAAAGAAAAUUAUUUGUUACAAAUGUGGAAAAAUAGGACAUAAAGCAAAUAAAUGUAGAUUAAAAGAAAAAAUUUCAGAAAUCUGUGUAGAUAAUGAAGAAGUUAAAAAUAAAUUAAUAAAUCUAUUAAUAAAUGAAAAAGAUAAAAGUUCAGAAGAAGAUUAUUAUGAUGAUAUUUCCAGUUCCGAAAGUGAAGAAGAUUGUAAUUGUAAUCCAAAAUAUAUAAAUGUUAUAACUAAAAAAGAAGACAAAGAAUUUUUAUUAGAUAUAAUAGAAAAGAUUGAUGAUCCAAUAGCUAAAAAAGAAUAUUUGGAAAGAUUAAAAAGUUUAAUUAUCCAAGAAGAUAAAUAUCCAAAUAUAAAUAUAAUGAAAAAGGAAACUACUAAAGAUCUUCAAUCCGAAAUUAAUACUCUUAAAAUUCAAGUAAAACAAUUACAACAAGAGAUAAUAGAAUUAAAAUUAAAAGAUUUAGAGAUAGAAUCAAAAAUAACAUUAAUAGAUAAUAAUCAACCUUCAACCUCUAAUAUUAAAACAAACGAAAUAUCAAUAGCCGAAAACCCAAUAAAAGAAGACCAAUAUAUAAAUACUAUAGAAAAAAUGACUUUUCAAAAAUGGUUUGCCCUAGUAACUAUCACAGUAGAAGAUUUCAAAGAAACCUUUGUAACUCUUAUAGACAGUGGAGCUGAUACAAGUUGUAUUAAAGAAGGAAUAAUUCCCACUAAAUAUUGUGAAAAAACAAAAGAAAAAUUAAUGGCAGCAAAUGGAGAAGAUUUAGAAGUAAAAUAUAAAUUUACAAAAGGAUCAAUAUGCAAUAAUGAAUAUUGUAUUAGACAUAAUUUCAUAAUUGUAAACAAUAUAAAUCAUGAUGUUAUAUUAGGUACACCCUUUUUAAUUCAAAUAUAUCCAUUUAUAGUAAGUCAUGAAGGAAUUUCAAUAAAUAUAAUGGGAAAAAUUAUUACCUUCAAAUUCUUAACUCCAAUAAGACAGAAAGAACUACAAACAUUACAAACAUCCUCAAUAUAUAAAACAAUAAAUACCAUUACUAAAGUACAACAACAAAUAAGUUAUAUUAAAGAGGAAAAAUCUUAUUUAAAAAUUGAAGAACAAUUAAAUGAUAUUAAAAUACAAAAAAGAAUAUCAGAACUAGAAGAAUUAUUUCAAAAAGAAAUUUGUGCAGAUAUUCCUAAUGCUUUUUGGAAUAGAAAACAACAUAUGAUAGAAUUACCCUAUGAAAAAAACUUUGAAGAAAAAAAUAUUCCAACAAAAGCUAGACCAAUACAAAUGAAUUCUGAGUUACUAGAAUAUUGUAAGAAGGAAAUAAAAAUAUUAAUAGAUAAAGGAUUAAUAACACCUUCAAAAUCACCUUGGAGUUGUGCUGCAUUUUAUGUUAUGAAUCAAGAUGAAAAAGAAAGAGGAGUUCCAAGAUUAGUAAUAAAUUAUAAACCUUUAAAUAAAGUAUUACAAUGGAUUAGAUAUCCUAUUUCUAAUAAAAAAGAUUUGCUUAAUAGAUUAUUUAAUGCAAAAAUAUUCUCAAAGUUUGAUAUGAAAUCAGGAUAUUGGCAAAUAAUAAUAGACCCAAAAGAUAGAUACAAAACAGCAUUUACAACACCUUUUGGACAUUAUGAAUGGAAAGUUAUGCCAUUUGGAUUAAAAAAUGCACCAUCAGAAUUUCAAAAUAUAAUGAAUGAUAUUUUCAAUCCUUAUAGCUCAUUCAGUAUAGUUUAUAUAGAUGAUGUAUUAAUAUUUUCAGAAUCAUUAGAACAACAUUUUAAACAUUUAAACAUAUUUUUAAAAAUAAUUAAGAAAAAUGGAUUAGUUGUUUCUGCUCCAAAAAUGAAAUUAUUUCAAACAAAAAUAAGAUUUUUAGGACAUAAUAUAUAUCAAGGAACAAUAAAACCGAUUAAUAGAGCUUUAGAAUUUGCUACUAAAUUUCCAAAUGAAAUAAAAGAUAAAAACCAAUUACAAAGAUUUUUAGGAUGUCUAAAUUAUAUAGCAGAUUUCUUUCCUAAAUUAAGACAAGAGUGUUCUAUAUUAUUUAAUAGAUUAAAGAAAAAUCCAAAACCUUGGACAGAGGAACAUACUCAAAAAUAAAAUAUUUAAAAGAAAAAAUUGAAUCAUUACCAUGUCUAUGUUUACCUCAUCCAAAAGCAUUCAUGAUAGUUGAAACAGACGCAUCAGAAUUAGGAUACGGAGGUAUAUUAAAACAAAAGGUAGAUAAUUCAAAAGAAGAAUUAGUUAGAUUUCAUUCAGGAACCUGGUCUGAUCCUCAAAAGAAUUAUUCAACCAUUAAAAAAGAAAUUUUAUCCAUAGUUUUAUGCAUAUCAAAAUUCCAAUAUGAUUUAUAUAAUAAGAAAUUUUUGAUUAGAAUAGAUUGUAAAUCUGCAAAAGAAAUUUUACAAAAAGAUGUUCAAAAUAUAGUUUCAAAACAAAUAUUUGCUAGAUGGCAAGCUAUUUUAUCUGUAUUUGAUUUCGAGAUUGAAUUUAUCAAAGGAGAAAAUAAUUCUUUACCAGAUUUUCUAACCAGAGAAUUCCUACAAGGACAUGGAUCCAGCAAUGAUGGCGCAAAGAAAUGCUCGUGAAUAUACAAAUUAUUUGAGAACUCAACGAGAUUCUCCCAGCCUUCAAAAUAAAGAAAAAUCGAUUCAAUCCAGAGGAUAUGUCUAUUCCAUUCAAACUCCGAAUGGAAGACAAUUCAUUCCAGCCUACCAAAUUCCUAAAUAUGAUGAAAUUUAUGUUCACAAAAGUCCUUAUGCAACCAUUACUCCAAAAGAAAAAGCCUUUCUCAUACAAAGACAAAUUCAGAAAAACACCAUUCGACUUCAUGUUCAUCAAAGAGCAAGCAGAAGUGGAGAUUUUCUUCACAACGAAUUUAUUCAACAUUACCAAGAACAGAAUAGACAAUUAUCUCAAAGAUGUUGUUUAUUAAUUUUGCAGGAGCAUGGAUUCAAAAGCAGGAAGUUCCAGGCCAAAGACUCCUCAAGAUUAUGAGAUGAGUCUAACCCCUGUUACUCAAAAUAGAUUUCAACUUUUAUCAGAUUUUCCAGCAUUGACUUAUAGUCAAGCUGCUACUCCAAUUGCUUCUCAAAUUAGACCCAUUCAACAACUACCAAAACCCCCAGAAAAAUCCUCAGCAAAUGCUUAUUUCACCAAACCAUUCACUCAACAUAUUACUCUAACCAGAUUUCAAGAAAUACCCAUAUACUCUACUCUUAAUCAAGUUACUCAAAGGAUCUUUCCUCCAAAAUGUUAUUGGCAACCAGAUGAUCCUUCAAAAAAUUUAGAUUAUUAUGAAUUAAUCCUUACAGAUACUCAAUCUGUAGAGAUUUACCCUAUUCCAGACAAAAAGAAUCCAAAUAUUAUUAGUCAUUCCAAAUGUAUUAUAAAGAAAGUUUGUUCUCCUAAUGAAUGGACUUCUCUUUAUUCCAAAAAAUCCUUUUCAGUAAACUUUAUUCCAGAUGGAUUUACAUAUCAAGAUUACAAAAUGGCAUGGUAUCGUGCUUUCCUUUUUAGACCAUUCAACCAUUCCUGGUUCUUCACAUUCAAAGAAAGUUGCAGUAAAGAAAUUCCAAUUUGGUUCAAUCACUGGUGGAAAUGGUUUGGACCACAGCCAGAGAUUUUACCUCCAAAUGUUCUCAUGGGAUUUCAAACCUAUCUAAAAAGAGCAAAGGGGGAAGAGUAUACAAGACCAAUUUUAUUUCAUAUGGAGUUCAAAGUACCAUGGAUAUUUUGUUGGAGUUUCAAGAUUCAUCAAGAAUUGGAAAAGCCUCUUCCAAUGUCAUUGGUUAGAGAAUUCAAAAUAAAAUGGUGGACCGGAUUCAAUCAAGAAUUUGGAGAUCAAACAAAUGUGAUAAGAUUUCUGACUACCGGAGACAAACUAAAAUGGACUGCAACUACUACCACUACUCAAAAAGAGACAAGACAGCAGACAAGUAUUCCAACCACUACAACCACUCCACCAACUCCAAAGAAAGAAAAAGAAAAGAUGACGGAAAUGGCAUCCGAAGAAAUAGCCAGUAACUUUUUGAUAAAGCAAAUGAUGCAGAAUCCCGAGAUGUUUAAAGAGUAUCUGAAUUAUUUACAAAAGCCAGUCAAAAAGGAAGAAACAGACAAAAUAGAGGAGUCAGCAGGAUCAUCCGAAUCAACUUUUGAUCCUUUUGAUGACCCCAUCGGUGGACAAAAUCCAAAUGACUUUUGAAAAAGAUGUCGGCCACAACAAAUGAAAGCAAAAUGAAAUUCAAAUGCCGAUGAAAUGAGAAGACCCGAGCUUCUAUAAAUAGAUUCAAGAUUCAGAAUGAAAGACAUCGGGCAAAAAUCAUACAAGCAGUUUUAGAAUUCCUUUGUAAAAUCCUCUCAAUCACUCUUACCUACUCCCAACUACUCUCAAUCCCUCUUUUCAAACUCUUGUACACAAUUGUCAAAUAUAAAGUCAAGGUUGAAGACUUAUAUUCUACAAAGCUUCCGUUAGCAACUCAAAGUUAUUCGUAAGUCCUAAUCUUUAUGCUUAUUGCAAUCCAAGUUCAUACUGACUUAAUGUUUGUUUUAUAUACCCUGGGUUAGAAGUGGUAUCAGAGCCACACCCUUGUUUAAUUUGCAUACGCAUAUUUAAACUUUGAUUUACUUUUACUUUAUUUGAAUUACGCUUCUAUUUUGACUUGGCUAUUUCAUGCAUUUAUGUUUGCAUAUUUUAUUAAACUUUUACUGAAAACGUUGGUAAGACUUGAUGCCUUGUUAGACCGUUGGUAAGUCCAGGAUAGGAUGUUCCAGGCAUAGUGCUCGGUUGUUCCCGUCUAAGUAAAAAUUUAAUUAAAUAUUAAACAUGGCUGCAUUUCUUAGACAAUUAAAAAUAGAAUCUAAUUCAAGGAAAGAUAAUGUAGUACAAAGUCAUGAAUAUCAUAUGCCUAUAAACAAUUCAGAUUGGACAAUCCCAGAGGAAAAAAUUGAACACAUUUAUAGAAUUGGCCCUUUAGAUUUCAAAACUGCUUUAUCAGUUAAAACUCAUGAAGAAACAAUAUCUAUUCAAGAAGAAUAUCAAACCAUACAAUUAUUAAAUCAUAAUACAAUUCAAAAAUAUUUAAGUAAAGAAUAUCGAUACAUUCAUAUAGGUUUAAUACAAAUUGCUGUAAAACCUUUAUUCCAUCUAGGAGUAGAUGCUCCUAUAUAUCUAGCCUUAAGAGAUACUAGACUCAAAAGAUAUAAAACUUCUUUACUAUCUAUGAUUCAAACAAAUGUAUGUAAUGGACCAAUAUAUUUUAACUGUACUCCAAAUUUUUCAAUAGAUCUAACAGACCCUCAUAUUCUAAAUUCUUUAAUAUUAGACAUUCAUCUACAAGGAAAUGAAUUCGAAAAACAUACAAAGAAUUUUGCAAUAAUAUAUAGAAUAUAUUACAGACCUUUAUCAUCUCAUUUAAAUCCAAAAUUUAUUAUGACUCCAACUCUUAAAGAUGAAACAACUUUAUUACAAGUAGAUGCAGAUAAACCUACAACAUAUACACCAAAAAGAUUAAAAUGGAACGAAAUAACUAUACCAAGUGAAUUUGAAAUUAAAAAUCCACAAAAAGCUAGAAACAUAGAACAAACUACUGCAGAAGAUAUUAUAGAAAAAGCAGAUGGAAGUACACUCAUAAGAUUCACCUCAUUAAGAGAAAGACCAGAAUCCUCUUAUUCAUGGUUACCAGCUAGACGUUCAAAUUAUGAGUCAACUGAAGUUAAUUUUCCUAUGGAAAGUACCUCAAAUUUUAGAUAUAAAACACCAAUACCAGAAGUUAUAAAUAAAAAUCAAUCAGAAUAUUCCCCAACUCAUUCACAAAUGCAAGGAGAAAUAAAUGUAAUAGAUAGACCAUAUAAAAUAAAUCAUAAAUAUUUACAAGAAGAUUUUGAUGAUGAAGAAAAUACAGAAAAAAGAAUUUGGUUUUUUCAAUUAGACUCCCAAUAUAAAGAAAAGUUAAUUAUAGAAUGGAAAAAUGAAAUAGAUAAACAAAAGUUUGAUUUUCCUUUCUUUACAUGGUUAUCAUUUUAUAUGUCAAAAUUAGGAAUAAAUGAUAUAUAUAAUACACCUCAAAUAAAUGUUCAAACCAAUUUAUAUAAAAAAUGGAAAUUAAAAGAUGAACAAGUUAUAACUUCAAUACACCCUCCAUUACAAGAAGUAAAAAUUAAUAUGGGACAAGGAGAAAUUAUAGCCUCACCUUUUAAAAAGGGAAGAGAAACAGAAUCAAGUACAAAUAAUUCAAUAAAUAUAGAAGAUCUUAAAAAAGUUUAUCAACAAAAUAAUUAUACAAAUCAAAUUUUACAUACAAUAUCUCAACAUAUGGAAGUAUUAAAUACAAAAAUUGAUACACUAAAGAAAUCAGAUUUAAAAUUCCUUAAUGAUAUAUCAGCACCUCAUUUCCAACUUAGAAGUCUGACAAGAGAAAAAGAACAAGAUUUAGUACAAAGUAUUAAUAAUCAAAAAAUAAGUAAUACAGACAAUUUAUUAAAUAAAAUAUCUAAUGCAUUACAAAAUCUAACUACAGAAUCUAAACCAUCAACACCAAAAAUAAACACAUUAGACCAAAUAAUAGAAGAAAAUUCUACUGAAAAAUUAGAAGAUUUAUCAGAAGAAUCAAUAAAAUCAGAAGAAGAAGUAGAUAUGAUUUUACCCGUAGAAAACCAAUUUGAAGAAACAGAAGGAAAUCAAAUAAAUAGAAUAAAAAGAAAAAAUUAUAAUAACAAAAAUAAUUGGAAAAUGGUAAGUUCAAAAAAUUAUUAUCCUAAACCAAAUCCUCCGGAUAUUCAAUACGAAGAAAGAUCAAGAUUCAAAACUACUAAAUAUGAUGGAGAUUCAAUAUAUGAAUGGAAUAUAGAUGGCAAAACUGAAUAUGAAGUAUUAAAUAAUUUGCAAGAAAUGGGAAUGGCAAGACUAGCUUACAAAAUUAAAAACAUUCAAGAAAGAAAUAUUGCAACAUUAUUAGUCUCAGGAUUUACUGGACAAUUAAAAAAUUGGUGGGAUAAUGCUUUAACAUUACAAGAUAAAUUAUCAAUACUAGAUCAUACUCAAGAAAUAGAAGAUGAUCAAGGAAAUAUUCAAAUACAAUCAGAUGCUGCAGAAUUUCUAAUAGUAACAAUAGUAAUGUAUUUUAUAGGAAAUCCAAAAGAAGAAUUAAAUUCUAAUAAAACAUUUUUAACAAAUUUAAGAUGUCCAACUUUAUCAGAUUUUAGAUGGUAUAAAGAUAUGUUUUUAACAAAUGUCUUAAGAAGACCUGAUUGCAAUGCUUCAUUCUGGAAAGAAAGAUUCAUAACAGGAUUACCAAGUUUAUUUUCACAAAGAAUAAUGGAUAAUUUACAAAAGGAAAUGGGAACAGAUGUAAUUUCAUUUGAAAACAUUACUUUUGGACAAUUAUUUGCUUUUGUGAAAAAAGAAGGAUUAAUAUUAUGUUCAGAAUUACGAUUACAAAUAAAAUAUGGAUCUAAAACAAAAGAAGUAGGAUCAUUUUGUGAUGCCUUUGGAAUUAAAAGAAUUAAAUCACCAUCAGCUUAUAAAAAGAAAAUAAAAAAAUAUUCUAAGAAAACAAGAUAUAAAAACCUCAAAGAAAAUGAACCAACUAAAAAGAAAAGAUUUAUUAAAAAGAAAAUUAUUUGUUACAAAUGUGGAAAAAUAGGACAUAAAGCAAAUAAAUGUAGAUUAAAAGAAAAAAUUUCAGAAAUCUGUGUAGAUAAUGAAGAAGUUAAAAAUAAAUUAAUAAAUCUAUUAAUAAAUGAAAAAGAUAAAAGUUCAGAAGAAGAUUAUUAUGAUGAUAUUUCCAGUUCCGAAAGUGAAGAAGAUUGUAAUUGUAAUCCAAAAUAUAUAAAUGUUAUAACUAAAAAAGAAGACAAAGAAUUUUUAUUAGAUAUAAUAGAAAAGAUUGAUGAUCCAAUAGCUAAAAAAGAAUAUUUGGAAAGAUUAAAAAGUUUAAUUAUCCAAGAAGAUAAAUAUCCAAAUAUAAAUAUAAUGAAAAAGGAAACUACUAAAGAUCUUCAAUCCGAAAUUAAUACUCUUAAAAUUCAAGUAAAACAAUUACAACAAGAGAUAAUAGAAUUAAAAUUAAAAGAUUUAGAGAUAGAAUCAAAAAUAACAUUAAUAGAUAAUAAUCAACCUUCAACCUCUAAUAUUAAAACAAACGAAAUAUCAAUAGCCGAAAACCCAAUAAAAGAAGACCAAUAUAUAAAUACUAUAGAAAAAAUGACUUUUCAAAAAUGGUUUGCCCUAAUAACUAUCACAGUAGAAGAUUUCAAAGAAACCUUUGUAACUCUUAUAGACAGUGGAGCUGAUACAAGUUGUAUUAAAGAAGGAAUAAUUCCCACUAAAUAUUGUGAAAGAACAAAAGAAAAAUUAAUGGCAGCAAAUGGAGAAGAUUUAGAAGUAAAAUAUAAAUUUACAAAAGGAUCAAUAUGCAAUAAUGAAUAUUGUAUUAGACAUAAUUUCAUAAUUGUAAACAAUAUAAAUCAUGAUGUUAUAUUAGGUACACCCUUUUUAAUUCAAAUAUAUCCAUUUAUAGUAAGUCAUGAAGGAAUUUCAAUAAAUAUAAUGGGAAAAAUUAUUACCUUCAAAUUCUUAACUCCAAUAAGACAGAAAGAACUACAAACAUUACAAACAUCCUCAAUAUAUAAAACAAUAAAUACCAUUACUAAAGUACAACAACAAAUAAGUUAUAUUAAAGAGGAAAAAUCUUAUUUAAAAAUUGAAGAACAAUUAAAUGAUAUUAAAAUACAAAAAAGAAUAUCAGAACUAGAAGAAUUAUUUCAAAAAGAAAUUUGUGCAGAUAUUCCUAAUGCUUUUUGGAAUAGAAAACAACAUAUGAUAGAAUUACCCUAUGAAAAAGACUUUGAAGAAAAAAAUAUUCCAACAAAAGCUAGACCAAUACAAAUGAAUUCUGAGUUACUAGAAUAUUGUAAGAAGGAAAUAAAAAUAUUAAUAGAUAAAUGAUUAAUAACACCUUCAAAAUCACCUUGGAGUUGUGCUGCAUUUUAUGUUAUGAAUUAAUCCUUACAGAUACUCAAUCUGUAGAGAUUUACCCUAUUCCAGACAAAAAGAAUCCAAAUAUUAUUAGUCAUUCCAAAUGUAUUAUAAAGAAAGUUUGUUCUCCUAAUGAAUGGACUUCUCUUUAUUCCAAAAAAUCCUUUUCAGUAAACUUUAUUCCAGAUGGAUUUACAUAUCAAGAUUACAAAAUGGCAUGGUAUCGUGCUUUCCUUUUUAGACCAUUCAACCAUUCCUAGUUCUUCACAUUCAAAGAAAGUUGCAGUAAAGAAAUUCCAAUUUGGUUCAAUCACUGGUGGAAAUGGUUUGGACCACAGCCAGAGAUUUUACCUCCAAAUGUUCUCAUGGGAUUUCAAACCUAUCUAAAAAGAGCAAAGGGGGAAGAGUAUACAAGACCAAUUUUAUUUCAUAUGGAGUUCAAAGUACCAUGGAUAUUUUUUUGGAGUUUCAAGAUUCAUCAAGAAUUGGAAAAGCCUCUUCCAAUGUCAUUGGUUAGAGAAUUCAAAAAAAAAUGGUGGACCGGAUUCAAUCAAGAAUUUGGAGAUCAAACAAAUGUGAUAAGAUUUCUGACUACCGGAGACAAACUAAAAUGGACUGCAACUACUACCACUACUCAAAAAGAGACAAGACAGCAGACAAGUAUUCCAACCACUACAACCACUCCACCAACUCCAAAGAAAGAAAAAGAAAAGAUGACGGAAAUGGCAUCCGAAGAAAUAGCCAGUAACUUUUUGAUAAAGCAAAUGAUGCAGAAUCCCGAGAUGUUUAAAGAGUAUCUGAAUUAUUUACAAAAGCCAGUCAAAAAGGAAGAAACAGACAAAAUAGAGGAGUCAGCAGGAUCAUCCGAAUCAACUUUUGAUCCUUUUGAUGACCCCAUCGGUGGACAAAAUCCAAAUGACUUUUGAAAAAGAUGUCGGCCACAACAAAUGAAAGCAAAAUGAAAUUCAAAUGCCGAUGAAAUGAGAAGACCCGAGCUUCUAUAAAUAGAUUCAAGAUUCAGAAUGAAAGACAUCGGGCAAAAAUCAUACAAGCAGUUUUAGAAUUCCUUUGUAAAAUCCUCUCAAUCACUCUUACCUACUCCCAACUACUCUCAAUCCCUCUUUUCAAACUCUUGUACACAAUUGUCAAAUAUAAAGUCAAGGUUGAAGACUUAUAUUCUACAAAGCUUCCGUUAGCAACUCAAAGUUAUUCGUAAGUCCUAAUCUUUAUGCUUAUUGCAAUCCAAGUUCAUACUGACUUAAUGUUUGUUUUAUAUACCCUGGGUUAGAAGUGGUAUCAGAGCCACACCCUUGUUUAAUUUGCAUACGCAUAUUUAAACUUUGAUUUACUUUUACUUUAUUUGAAUUACGCUUCUAUUUUGACUUGGCUAUUUCAUGCAUUUAUGUUUGCAUAUUUUAUUAAACUUUUACUGAAAACGUUGGUAAGACUUGAUGCCUUGUUAGACCGUUGGUAAGUCCAGGAUAGGAUGUUCCAGGCAUAGUGCUCGGUUGUUCCCGUCUAAGUAAAAAUUUAAUUAAAUAUUAAACAUGGCUGCAUUUCUUAGACAAUUAAAAAUAGAAUCUAAUUCAAGGAAAGAUAAUGUAGUACAAAGUCAUGAAUAUCAUAUGCCUAUAAACAAUUCAGAUUGGACAAUCCCAGAGGAAAAAAUUGAACACAUUUAUAGAAUUGGCCCUUUAGAUUUCAAAACUGCUUUAUCAGUUAAAACUCAUGAAGAAACAAUAUCUAUUCAAGAAGAAUAUCAAACCAUACAAUUAUUAAAUCAUAAUACAAUUCAAAAAUAUUUAAGUAAAGAAUAUCGAUACAUUCAUAUAGGUUUAAUACAAAUUGCUGUAAAACCUUUAUUCCAUCUAGGAGUAGAUGCUCCUAUAUAUCUAGCCUUAAGAGAUACUAGACUCAAAAGAUAUAAAACUUCUUUACUAUCUAUGAUUCAAACAAAUGUAUGUAAUGGACCAAUAUAUUUUAACUGUACUCCAAAUUUUUCAAUAGAUCUAACAGACCCUCAUAUUCUAAAUUCUUUAAUAUUAGACAUUCAUCUACAAGGAAAUGAAUUCGAAAAACAUACAAAGAAUUUUGCAAUAAUAUAUAGAAUAUAUUACAGACCUUUAUCAUCUCAUUUAAAUCCAAAAUUUAUUAUGACUCCAACUCUUAAAGAUGAAACAACUUUAUUACAAGUAGAUGCAGAUAAACCUACAACAUAUACACCAAAAAGAUUAAAAUGGAACGAAAUAACUAUACCAAGUGAAUUUGAAAUUAAAAAUCCACAAAAAGCUAGAAACAUAGAACAAACUACUGCAGAAGAUAUUAUAGAAAAAGCAGAUGGAAGUACACUCAUAAGAUUCACCUCAUUAAGAGAAAGACCAGAAUCCUCUUAUUCAUGGUUACCAGCUAGACGUUCAAAUUAUGAGUCAACUGAAGUUAAUUUUCCUAUGGAAAGUACCUCAAAUUUUAGAUAUAAAACACCAAUACCAGAAGUUAUAAAUAAAAAUCAAUCAGAAUAUUCCCCAACUCAUUCACAAAUGCAAGGAGAAAUAAAUGUAAUAGAUAGACCAUAUAAAAUAAAUCAUAAAUAUUUACAAGAAGAUUUUGAUGAUGAAGAAAAUACAGAAAAAAGAAUUUGGUUUUUUCAAUUAGACUCCCAAUAUAAAGAAAAGUUAAUUAUAGAAUGGAAAAAUGAAAUAGAUAAACAAAAGUUUGAUUUUCCUUUCUUUACAUGGUUAUCAUUUUAUAUGUCAAAAUUAGGAAUAAAUGAUAUAUAUAAUACACCUCAAAUAAAUGUUCAAACCAAUUUAUAUAAAAAAUGGAAAUUAAAAGAUGAACAAGUUAUAACUUCAAUACACCCUCCAUUACAAGAAGUAAAAAUUAAUAUGGGACAAGGAGAAAUUAUAGCCUCACCUUUUAAAAAGGGAAGAGAAGCAGAAUCAAGUACAAAUAAUUCAAUAAAUAUAGAAGAUCUUAAAAAAGUUUAUCAACAAAAUAAUUAUACAAAUCAAAUUUUACAUACAAUAUCUCAACAUAUGGAAGUAUUAAAUACAAAAAUUGAUACACUAAAGAAAUCAGAUUUAAAAUUCCCUAAUGAUAUAUCAGCACCUCAUUUCCAACCUAGAAGUCUGACAAGAGAAAAAGAACAAGAUUUAGUACAAAGUAUUAAUAAUCAAAAAAUAAGUAAUACAGACAAUUUAUUAAAUAAAAUAUCUAAUGCAUUACAAAAUCUAACUACAGAAUCUAAACCAUCAACACCAAAAAUAAACACAUUAGACCAAAUAAUAGAAGAAAAUUCUACUGAAAAAUUAGAAGAUUUAUCAGAAGAAUCAAUAAAAUCAGAAGAAGAAGCAGAUAUGAUUUUACCCGUAGAAAACCAAUUUGAAGAAACAGAAGGAAAUCAAAUAAAUAGAAUAAAAAAAAAUUAUAAUAACAAAAAUAAUUGGAAAAUGGUAAGUUCAAAAAAUUAUUAUCCUAGACCAAAUCCUCCGGAUAUUCAAUACGAAGAAAGAUCAAGAUUCAAAACUACUAAAUAUGAUGGAGAUUCAAUAUAUGAAUGGAAUAUAGAUGGCAAAACUGAAUAUGAAGUAUUAAAUAAUUUGCAAGAAAUGGGAAUGGCAAGACUAGCUUACAAAAUUAAAAACAUUCAAGAAAGAAAUAUUGCAACAUUAUUAGUCUCAGGAUUUACUGGACAAUUAAAAAAUUGGUGGGAUAAUGCUUUAACAUUACAAGAUAAAUUAUCAAUACUAGAUCAUACUCAAGAAAUAGAAGAUGAUCAAGGAAAUAUUCAAAUACAAUCAGAUGCUGCAGAAUUUCUAAUAGUAACAAUAGUAAUGUAUUUUAUAGGAAAUCCAAAAGAAGAAUUAAAUUCUAAUAAAACAUUUUUAACAAAUUUAAGAUGUCCAACUUUAUCAGAUUUUAGAUGGUAUAAAGAUAUGUUUUUAACAAAUGUCUUAAGAAGACCUGAUUGCAAUGCUUCAUUCUGGAAAGAAAGAUUCAUAACAGGAUUACCAAGUUUAUUUUCACAAAGAAUAAUGGAUAAUUUACAAAAGGAAAUGGGAACAGAUGUAAUUUCAUUUGAAAACAUUACUUUUGGACAAUUAUUUGCUUUUGUGAAAAAAGAAGGAUUAAUAUUAUGUUCAGAAUUACGAUUACAAAUAAAAUAUGGAUCUAAAACAAAAGAAGUAGGAUCAUUUUGUGAUGCCUUUGGAAUUAAAAGAAUUAAAUCACCAUCAGCUUAUAAAAAGAAAAUAAAAAAAUAUUCUAAGAAAACAAGAUAUAAAAACCUCAAAGAAAAUGAACCAACUAAAAAGAAAAGAUUUAUUAAAAAGAAAAUUAUUUGUUACAAAUGUGGAAAAAUAGGACAUAAAGCAAAUAAAUGUAGAUUAAAAGAAAAAAUUUCAGAAAUCUGUGUAGAUAAUGAAGAAGUUAAAAAUAAAUUAAUAAAUCUAUUAAUAAAUGAAAAAGAUAAAAGUUCAGAAGAAGAUUAUUAUGAUGAUAUUUCCAGUUCCGAAAGUGAAGAAGAUUGUAAUUGUAAUCCAAAAUAUAUAAAUGUUAUAACUAAAAAAGAAGACAAAGAAUUUUUAUUAGAUAUAAUAGAAAAGAUUGAUGAUCCAAUAGCUAAAAAAGAAUAUUUGGAAAGAUUAAAAAGUUUAAUUAUCCAAGAAGAUAAAUAUCCAAAUAUAAAUAUAAUGAAAAAGGAAACUACUAAAGAUCUUCAAUCCGAAAUUAAUACUCUUAAAAUUCAAGUAAAACAAUUACAACAAGAGAUAAUAGAAUUAAAAUUAAAAGAUUUAGAGAUAGAAUCAAAAAUAACAUUAAUAGAUAAUAAUCAACCUUCAACCUCUAAUAUUAAAACAAACGAAAUAUCAAUAGCCGAAAACCCAAUAAAAGAAGACCAAUAUAUAAAUACUAUAGAAAAAAUGACUUUUCAAAAAUGGUUUGCCCUAGUAACUAUCACAGUAGAAGAUUUCAAAGAAACCUUUGUAACUCUUAUAGACAGUGGAGCUGAUACAAGUUGUAUUAAAGAAGGAAUAAUUCCCACUAAAUAUUGUGAAAGAACAAAAGAAAAAUUAAUGGCAGCAAAUGGAGAAGAUUUAGAAGUAAAAUAUAAAUUUACAAAAGGAUCAAUAUGCAAUAAUGAAUAUUGUAUUAGACAUAAUUUCAUAAUUGUAAACAAUAUAAAUCAUGAUGUUAUAUUAGGUACACCCUUUUUAAUUCAAAUAUAUCCAUUUAUAGUAAGUCAUGAAGGAAUUUCAAUAAAUAUAAUGGGAAAAAUUAUUACCUUCAAAUUCUUAACUCCAAUAAGACAGAAAGAACUACAAACAUUACAAACAUCCUCAAUAUAUAAAACAAUAAAUACCAUUACUAAAGUACAACAACAAAUAAGUUAUAUUAAAGAGGAAAAAUCUUAUUUAAAAAUUGAAGAACAAUUAAAUGAUAUUAAAAUACAAAAAAGAAUAUCAGAACUAGAAGAAUUAUUUCAAAAAGAAAUUUGUGCAGAUAUUCCUAAUGCUUUUUGGAAUAGAAAACAACAUAUGAUAGAAUUACCCUAUGAAAAAAACUUUGAAGAAAAAAAUAUUCCAACAAAAGCUAGACCAAUACAAAUGAAUUCUGAGUUACUAGAAUAUUGUAAGAAGGAAAUAAAAAUAUUAAUAGAUAAAGGAUUAAUAACACCUUCAAAAUCACCUUGGAGUUGUGCUGCAUUUUAUGUUAUGAAUCAAGAUGAAAAAGAAAGAGGAGUUCCAAGAUUAGUAAUAAAUUAUAAACCUUUAAAUAAAGUAUUACAAUGGAUUAGAUAUCCUAUUUCUAAUAAAAAAGAUUUGCUUAAUAGAUUAUUUAAUGCAAAAAUAUUCUCAAAGUUUGAUAUGAAAUCAGGAUAUUGGCAAAUAAUAAUAGACCCAAAAGAUAGAUACAAAACAGCAUUUACAACACCUUUUGGACAUUAUGAAUGGAAAGUUAUGCCAUUUGGAUUAAAAAAUGCACCAUCAGAAUUUCAAAAUAUAAUGAAUGAUAUUUUCAAUCCUUAUAGCUCAUUCAGUAUAGUUUAUAUAGAUGAUGUAUUAAUAUUUUCAGAAUCAUUAGAACAACAUUUUAAACAUUUAAACAUAUUUUUAAAAAUAAUUAAGAAAAAUGGAUUAGUUGUUUCUGCUCCAAAAAUGAAAUUAUUUCAAACAAAAAUAAGAUUUUUAGGACAUAAUAUAUAUCAAGGAACAAUAAAACCGAUUAAUAGAGCUUUAGAAUUUGCUACUAAAUUUCCAAAUGAAAUAAAAGAUAAAAACCAAUUACAAAGAUUUUUAGGAUGUCUAAAUUAUAUAGCAGAUUUCUUUCCUAAAUUAAGACAAGAGUGUUCUAUAUUAUUUAAUAGAUUAAAGAAAAAUCCAAAACCUUGGACAGAGGAACAUACUCAAAAAUAAAAUAUUUAAAAGAAAAAAUUGAAUCAUUACCAUGUCUAUGUUUACCUCAUCCAAAAGCAUUCAUGAUAGUUGAAACAGACGCAUCAGAAUUAGGAUACGGAGGUAUAUUAAAACAAAAGGUAGAUAAUUCAAAAGAAGAAUUAGUUAGAUUUCAUUCAGGAACCUGGUCUGAUCCUCAAAAGAAUUAUUCAACCAUUAAAAAAGAAAUUUUAUCCAUAGUUUUAUGCAUAUCAAAAUUCCAAUAUGAUUUAUAUAAUAAGAAAUUUUUGAUUAGAAUAGAUUGUAAAUCUGCAAAAGAAAUUUUACAAAAAGAUGUUCAAAAUAUAGUUUCAAAACAAAUAUUUGCUAGAUGGCAAGCUAUUUUAUCUGUAUUUGAUUUCGAGAUUGAAUUUAUCAAAGGAGAAAAUAAUUCUUUACCAGAUUUUCUAACCAGAGAAUUCCUACAAGGACAUGGAUCCAGCAAUGAUGGCGCAAAGAAAUGCUCGUGAAUAUACAAAUUAUUUGAGAACUCAACGAGAUUCUCCCAGCCUUCAAAAUAAAGAAAAAUCGAUUCAAUCCAGAGGAUAUGUCUAUUCCAUUCAAACUCCGAAUGGAAGACAAUUCAUUCCAGCCUACCAAAUUCCUAAAUAUGAUGAAAUUUAUGUUCACAAAAGUCCUUAUGCAACCAUUACUCCAAAAGAAAAAGCCUUUCUCAUACAAAGACAAAUUCAGAAAAACACCAUUCGACUUCAUGUUCAUCAAAGAGCAAGCAGAAGUGGAGAUUUUCUUCACAACGAAUUUAUUCAACAUUACCAAGAACAGAAUAGACAAUUAUCUCAAAGAUGUUGUUUAUUAAUUUUGCAGGAGCAUGGAUUCAAAAGCAGGAAGUUCCAGGCCAAAGACUCCUCAAGAUUAUGAGAUGAGUCUAACCCCUGUUACUCAAAAUAGAUUUCAACUUUUAUCAGAUUUUCCAGCAUUGACUUAUAGUCAAGCUGCUACUCCAAUUGCUUCUCAAAUUAGACCCAUUCAACAACUACCAAAACCCCCAGAAAAAUCCUCAGCAAAUGCUUAUUUCACCAAACCAUUCACUCAACAUAUUACUCUAACCAGAUUUCAAGAAAUACCCAUAUACUCUACUCUUAAUCAAGUUACUCAAAGGAUCUUUCCUCCAAAAUGUUAUUGGCAACCAGAUGAUCCUUCAAAAAAUUUAGAUUAUUAUGAAUUAAUCCUUACAGAUACUCAAUCUGUAGAGAUUUACCCUAUUCCAGACAAAAAGAAUCCAAAUAUUAUUAGUCAUUCCAAAUGUAUUAUAAAGAAAGUUUGUUCUCCUAAUGAAUGGACUUCUCUUUAUUCCAAAAAAUCCUUUUCAGUAAACUUUAUUCCAGAUGGAUUUACAUAUCAAGAUUACAAAAUGGCAUGGUAUCGUGCUUUCCUUUUUAGACCAUUCAACCAUUCCUGGUUCUUCACAUUCAAAGAAAGUUGCAGUAAAGAAAUUCCAAUUUGGUUCAAUCACUGGUGGAAAUGGUUUGGACCACAGCCAGAGAUUUUACCUCCAAAUGUUCUCAUGGGAUUUCAAACCUAUCUAAAAAGAGCAAAGGGGGAAGAGUAUACAAGACCAAUUUUAUUUCAUAUGGAGUUCAAAGUACCAUGGAUAUUUUUUUGGAGUUUCAAGAUUCAUCAAGAAUUGGAAAAGCCUCUUCCAAUGUCAUUGGUUAGAGAAUUCAAAAUAAAAUGGUGGACCGGAUUCAAUCAAGAAUUUGGAGAUCAAACAAAUGUGAUAAGAUUUCUGACUACCGGAGACAAACUAAAAUGGACUGCAACUACUACCACUACUCAAAAAGAGACAAGACAGCAGACAAGUAUUCCAACCACUACAACCACUCCACCAACUCCAAAGAAAGAAAAAGAAAAGAUGACGGAAAUGGCAUCCGAAGAAAUAGCCAGUAACUUUUUGAUAAAGCAAAUGAUGCAGAAUCCCGAGAUGCUUAAAGAGUAUCUGAAUUAUUUACAAAAGCCAGUCAAAAAGGAAGAAACAGACAAAAUAGAGGAGUCAGCAGGAUCAUCCGAAUCAACUUUUGAUCCUUUUGAUGACCCCAUCGGUGGACAAAAUCCAAAUGACUUUUGAAAAAGAUGUCGGCCACAACAAAUGAAAGCAAAAUGAAAUUCAAAUGCCGAUGAAAUGAGAAGACCCGAGCUUCUAUAAAUAGAUUCAAGAUUCAGAAUGAAAGACAUCGGGCAAAAAUCAUACAAGCAGUUUUAGAAUUCCUUUGUAAAAUCCUCUCAAUCACUCUUACCUACUCCCAACUACUCUCAAUCCCUCUUUUCAAACUCUUGUACACAAUUGUCAAAUAUAAAGUCAAGGUUGAAGACUUAUAUUCUACAAAGCUUCCGUUAGCAACUCAAAGUUAUUCGUAAGUCCUAAUCUUUAUGCUUAUUGCAAUCCAAGUUCAUACUGACUUAAUGUUUGUUUUAUAUAACCUGGGUUAGAAGUGGUAUCAGAGCCACACCCUUGUUUAAUUUGCAUACGCAUAUUUAAACUUUGAUUUACAUUUACUUUAUUUGAAUUACGCUUCUAUUUUGACUUGGCUAUUUCAUGCAUUUAUGUUUGCAUAUUUUAUUAAACUUUUACUGAAAACGUUGGUAAGACUUGAUGCCUUGUUAGACCGUUGGUAAGUCCAGGAUAGGAUAUUCCAGGCAUAGUGCUCGGUUGUUCCCGUCUAAGUAAAAAUUUAAUUAAAUAUUAAACAUGGCUGCAUUUCUUAGACAAUUAAAAAUAGGAUCUAAUUCAAGGAAAGAUAAUGUAGUACAAAGUCAUGAAUAUCAUAUGCCUAUAAACAAUUCAGAUUGGACAAUCCCAGGGGAAAAAAUCAUACAAGCAGUUUUAGAAUUCCUUUGUAAAAUCCUCUCAAUCACUCUUACCUACUCCCAACUACUCUCAAUCCCUCUUUUCAAACUCUUGUACACAAUUGUCAAAUAUAAAGUCAAGGUUGAAGACUUAUAUUCUACAAAGCUUCCGUUAGCAACUCAAAGUUAUUCGUAAGUCCUAAUCUUUAUGCUUAUUGCAAUCCAAGUUCAUACUGAUUUAAUGUUUGUUUUAUAUAGCAAAUAUUUGUUUUAAAACUAUAUUUUGAACAUCUUUUUGUAAAAUCUCUUUUGCAGAUUUACAGUCUAUUCUAAUUAAAAAUUUCUUGUUAUAUAAAUCAUCUUGAAAUUUUGAUAUGCACAAAACUGUAGAUAGAAUUUCUUUCUUAAUAGUUGAAUAAUUCUUUUGAGGGUCAGACCAUGUUCCUGAAUGAAAUCUAACUAAUUCUUCUUUUUCUCCUUUCAUUCUUUGUUUUAAUAUUCCUCCAUAUCCUAAUUCUGAUGCAUCUAUUUCUACUAUCAUGAAUGCUUUUGGAUAAGGUAAACAUAAACAUGGUAAUGAUUCAAUUUUUUCUUUUAAAUAUUUUAUUUUUUGAGUAUGUUCUUCUGUCCAAGGUUUUGGAUUUUUCUUUAAUCUAUUGAAUAAUAUAGAGCAUUCUUGUCUUAAUUUAGGGAAGAAAUCUGCUAUAUAAUUUAAACAUCCUAAAAAUCUUUGUAAUUGAUUUUUAUCCUUUAUUUCAUCUGGAAAUUUUUUAGCAAAUUCUAAAGCUCUAUUUAUUGGCUUUAUGGUUCCUUGAUAAAUAUUAUGUCCUAAAAAUCUUAUUUUAGUUUGAAAUAAUUUCAUUUUUGGGGCUGAUAUUACUAAUCCAUUUUUCUUAGCUACUUUUAAAAAUAUAUUUAAAUGUUUGAAAUGUUGUUCUAUUGAUUCAGAAAAUAUUAAUACAUCAUCUAUGUAUACUAUACUGAAUGAACUAUAAGGGUUAAAAAUAUCAUUCAUUAUAUUUUGAAAUUCUGAUGGUGCAUUUUUUAAUCCAAAUGGCAUUACAUUCCAUUCAUAAUGUCCAAAAGGUGUGGUGAAUGCUGUUUUGUAUCUAUCUUUAGGUGUUAUUAAUAUUUGCCAAUAUCCUGAUUUUAAAUCAAAUUUUGAGAAUAUUUUUGCAUUAAAUAAUCUAUUUAGUGAAUCUUUCUUGUUUGGAAUUGGAUAUCUUAUCCAUUGUAAUACUUUAUUUAAAGGUUUAUAAUUUAUUACUAAUCUUGGAACUCCUCUUUCUUUUUCACCUUGAUUCAUAACAUAAAAAGCUGCACAACUCCAAGGUGAUUUUGAAGGUGUUAUUAAUUUUUUAUCAAUUAAUAUUUUUAUUUCUUUUUUACAAAAUUCUAGUAAUUCAGAAUUCAUUUGUAUAGGUCUUGCUUUUGUUGGAAUAUUCUUUUCAUUAAAGUCUUUUUCAUAAGGUAAUUCUACCAUAUGUUGUUUUCUAUCCCAAAAAGCAUUAGGAAUAUUUGCACAUACUUCUUUUCUUAAUAAUUCUUCUAAUUCUGAAAUUCUUUUUUGCAUUUUAUUUUCUUUUAAUUGUUCUUCAAUUUUUAAAUAAGAUUUUUCUUCUUUAAUAUAUCUUAUUUGUUGUUGUACUUUAGUAAUACUAUUUAUUGUUCUAUAGAUAGAAGAUGUCUGUAAAGUUUGUAAUUCUCUUUGUUUUACUGGAGUUAAAAAUCUAAAUGUAAUUGUUUUACCCAUUAUAUUUAUUGAAAUUCCUUCAUUACUUACAAAGAAUGGGUAUAUUUGAAUUAGAAAUGGUGUUCCUAUAAUUACAUCAUGAUUUAUAUUUUUUACAAUUAUGAAAUUAUGUCUAAUACAAUAAUUAUCAUUACAUAUUGAUCCUUUUGUAAAUUUAUAUUUUACUUGUAAAUUUUCUCCAUUUGCCGCCAUUAAAGUUUCUUUUGUUCUUUCACAAUAUUUAGUAGGAAUUAUUCCUUCUUUAAUGCAACUUACAUCUGCUCCACUAUCUAUUAGAGCUAUAUAAGUUUCUUUGAAAUCUUCUACUGUAAUAGUAAUCAUAGCAAACCAUUUUUGAAAUAUCAUUCUUUCUAUGGUAUUUAAAUAUUGAACUUCAUCAGUCAUUUUUUCUGAUAUAGGUAUUUCUUCAGUUUUAGAAUAAGAGGUUGAAGGCUGAUUUUCUAUUAAUUUUUUGUUUUCUAUUAAUGUUAAUUUUGAUUCUAUUUCUAAAUCUUUUGUUUUUAAUUCUAUGAUUUCUUGUUGUAAUUGUUUAACUUGUACUUUUAAUGUAUUAAUUUCUGUUUGAAGAUCUUUAGUAGUUUCCUUUUUCAUUACAUUUAUAUUAGGAUAUUUAUCUAUUAAUUUAGAAAUACUAAAGGGUUCUAUUAUUUUUGGCAUUUUAUCUUCUUGAAUAAUUAAACUUUUUAGUCUUUCUAAAUAUUCUUUUUUAGCUAUUGGAUCUUCAAUUUUUUCUAUUAUAUCUAAUAAAAAUUCUUUAUCUUCUUUCUUAGUUAUUACAUUGAUAUAUUUUGGAGUACAAUUACAAUCUUCUUCACUGUCGGAACUUGUUAGGUCAUUAUAACUUGUUAUAUAGUUAUCUUCAGAAUUUUGAUCUUUUUCAUUUAUUAAUAAAUUUAUUAAUUUGUCUUUUAUUUCCUCUUCAUUUGCACAAAUUUCAUUAAUUUUUUCUUUUAAUCUACAUUUGUUUGCUUUAUGUCCUAUUUUUCCACAUUUGUAACAAACAAUUUUCUUCUUAAUAAAUUUUUUCUUUUUAGUUAAUUUAGUUGGUUCAUUUUCUUUAGGAUUUUUAUACCUAAUUUUCUUUGAGUAUUUUUUAACUUUCUUUCUAUAUGCUGAUGGUGAUUUAAUUCUUUUAAUUCCAAAUGCAUCACAGAAUGAUCCUACUUCUUUGGUUUUAGAUCCAUAUUUUAUUUGUAAUCUUAAUUCUGAACAUAGUAUUAAUCCUUCCUUUUUCACAAAAGCAAAUAGUUGUCCAAAAGUAAUAUUCUCGAAUGAAAUGACAUCUGUUCCCAUUUCUUUUUGUAAAUUAUCCAUUAUUCUUUGUGAAAAUAAGCUUGGUAAUCCAGUUAUGAAUCUUUCUUUCCAGAAUGAAGCAUUGCAAUCUGGUCUUCUUAAGACAUUUGUUAAAAACAUAUCUUUAUACCAUCUAAAAUCUGAUAAAGUUGGACAUCUUAAAUUUGUUAAAAAUGUUUUAUUAGAAUUUAAUUCUUCUUUUGGAUUUCCUAUAAAAUACAUUACUAUUGUUACUAUUAGAAAUUCUGCAGCAUCUGAUUGUAUUUGAAUAUUUCCUUGAUCAUCUUCUAUUUCUUGAGUAUGAUCUAGUAUUGAUAAUUUAUCUUGUAAUGUUAAAGCAUUAUCCCACCAAUUUUUUAAUUGUCCAGUAAAUCCUGAAACUAAUAAUGUUGCAAUAUUUCUCUCUUGAAUAUUUUUUAUUUUAUAAGCUAAUCUUGCCAUUCCCAUUUCUUGCAAAUUAUUUAAUACUUCAUAUUCAGCUUUGCCAUCUAUAUUCCAUUCAUAUAUUGAAUCGCCAUCAUAUUUAGUAGUUCUAAAUUUUGGUCUUUCUUCAUAUUGAAUAUCUGGAGGACUUGGUCUAGGAUAAUAAUUUUUUGAACUUACCAUUUUCCAAUUAUUACUUUUAUUAUUAUUAUAAUUCCUUCUUUUAAUUCUAUUUAUUUGAUUACCUUCUGUUUCUUCAAAUUGGUUUUCUAUUGGUAAAAUUAUAUCUUCUUCACUAUCUGAAUUUAUUGAUUCUUCAGAGGUAUUUUCUAAUUCUUCUGUUGAAUUUUCUUCUAUUAUUUUUUCUAAGGUAUUUAUCUUAGGCGUUGAAGGUUUUACUGUUAGAUUUUGUAAUGAUUGAGAUAUUUUAUUUAAUAUAUUAUCUGUAUUAUUUAUUUUUUGAUUAUUAAUAUUUUGUACUAAAUCUUGUUCUUUUUCUCUUGUCAGACUUCUAGGUUGAAAAUGAGGUGCUGAAAUAUCAUUAGGGAAUUUUGAUUCUGGUUUCUUUAAUGUAUCUAUCUUUGUAUUUAAUACUUCCAUAUGUUGAGAAAUUGUAUGAAGGAUUUGAUUUGUAUAAUUAUUUUGUUGAUAAACUUUUUUAAGAUCUUCUAAAUUUAUUGAAUUAUUUGUACUUGAUUCAGCUUCUCUACCUGUUUUAAAAGGUGAGGCAAUUAUAUCUCCUUGUCCUAUAUUAAUUUUUACUUCUUGUAAUGGAGGGUGUAUUGAUGUUAUAAUUUGUUCAUCUUUUAAUUUCCAUUUUUUAUAUAAAUUAGUUUGAACAUUUAUUUGAGGUGUAUCGUAUAUAUUAUUUAUUCCUAAUUUUGAUGUGUAAAAUGAUAACCAUGUGAAAAAAGGAAAAUCAAAUUUUUGUCUAUCUAAUUCAUUUUUCCAUUCUAGAAUUAAUUUUUCUUUAUAAUCUGAUUCUAAUUGAAAAAACCAAAUUCUUUUUUCAGUAUUUUCUUCAUCAUCAAAAUCUUCUUGUAAAUAUUUAUGAUUUAUUUUAUAUGGUCUACUUAUAACAUUUAUUUCUCCUUUCAUUUGUGAAUGUGUUGGAGAAUAUUCAGAUUGUUGUGGAUUAUUUAUAACUUCUGGAAUAGGAGUUUUAUAUCUAAAGUUUGAGGUAUUUUCCAUUGGGAAAUUAAUUUCAGUUGACUCAUAAUUUGAACGUCUAUCUGGUAACCAUGAAUAUGAUGAUUCUGGUCUUUCUCUUAAAGAGGUGAAUCUUAUGAGUGUACUUCCAUCUGCUUUUUCUAUAAUAUCUUCGGCAGUGGUUUGUUCUAUAUUUCUUGCUAUUUGGGGAUUUUUAAUUUCAAAUUCACUUGGUAUAGUUAUUUCAUUCCAUUUUAAUCUUUUUGGUGUAUAAGUUGUAGGUUUAUCUGCAUCAACUUGCAAUAAAGUUGUUUCUUCCUUAAGAGUUGGAGUCAUUAUAAAUUUUGGAUUUAAAUGUGAAGAUAAAGGUCUAUAAUAAAUUCUAUAUAUUAUUGCAAAAUUCUUUGUAUGUUUUUCAAAUUCAUUUCCUUGUAGAUGAAUAUCUAAUAUGACUGAAUUUAGAAUAUGAGGAUCCGUUAAAUCUAAUGAAAAAUUUGGAGCACAAUUAAAAUAUAUUGGUCCAUUACAAAUAUUUGUUUGAAUCAUAGAAAGUAAAGAAGUCUUAUAUCUUUUUAAUCUAGUAUCUCUUAAUGCUAGAUAUAUUGGAGCAUCUACUCCUAGAUGGAAUAAAGGUUUUACAGCAAUUUGUAUUAAUCCUAUAUGAAUGUAUCGAUAUCCUUUACUUAAAUAUUUUUGAAUUGUGUUAUAAUUUAAUAGUUGAAUAGAUUGAUAUUCUUCUUGGAUAGAUAUUGUUUCUUCAUGAGUUUUGACUGAUAAAGCAGUUUUGAAAUCUAAAGGGCCUAUUCUAUAAAUAUGUUCUAUUCUUUCUUCUGGAAUAGUCCAAUCCGAAUUAUUUAUAGGCAUAUGAUAUUCAUGACUUUCAACUACAUUAUCUUGUCUUGAAUUAGAUCCUAUUUUUAAUUGUCUAAAGAAUGCAGCCAUGUUUAAUAUUUUAAUUAAAGUUUUACCUAGACGGGAACAACCGAGCACUAUGCCUGGAACAUCCUUCUCCGGACUUACCAACGGACUAACAAGGCAUCAAGUCUUACCAACGUUUUCAGUAAAAGUUUAAUAAAAUAUGAAAACAUAAAAGCAUAAACUAGUCAAUUUUAAAUAGAGACUAAAUUAAAAUGAGAAAAUGUAAAUCAAAGGGUAAAUAUGCGUAUGCAUAUAAAAGGGAGUGUGGCUCUGAUACCACUUCUACCCAGGACUUUGCAAUUAAUCAUAUACGUUAACUAAAAGCAAAUAUUGUAGGGACUUAGAAUGUUAUAAAUGAAACUUACUUGACUUUUGAGAGUACACAAUCGGAAGCUUGAAUUCAACAAUGGAAACUUGCCAAACUUUUUGACAAAUUGAUACAAGAGGUUUGAAUAUUUAGUACAAGGCUUUGACUAUCUAUGGAAAUAUGUAGGAGUAGUGAUUACAAAGAGUUUUUCUAACUUUGCUCUGAUGGGGUUUUCCGCCGAUGCCUGUCUUCUGAAUCUUGAAUCUAUUUAUAGAGGCUCGGAUCUGCAUUUCAUCUGCAUUUGAAUUUCAAUUUUGCUUUCAUUUGUUGUGGCCGACAUCUUUUCAAAAGUCGUUUGGAUUUUGUCCACCGAUGGGAUCAUCAAAAUGAUCAAAAGUAGAUUCGGAUGAUCCUGCUGGCUCCUCUAUUUUGUCUUCUUCUUUUGGCUUUUGUAAAUAAUUCAGAUACUCUUUCAGCAUCUCGGGAUUCUGCAUGAUCUGCUUUAUUAAAAAGUUACUGGCUGUUUCUUCGGAUGCCAUUUCCGUCACUUUUUCUUUGUCUCUUUUUGGAGUGAGUGGAGUUGGUGUAGUGGUUGGAAUGAUUGUUGACUGUCUUGUCUCCUUUUGAGUAGUGGUAGUAGCUGUCCACUUUAAUUUGUCUCCAGUGGUCAGGAAUCUGAUCACAUUAGUUUGAUCGCCAAAUUCUUGAUUGAAUCCAGUCCACCAUUUUAUUUUGAAUUCUCUUACCAAUGACAUUGGUAGAGGUUUUUCUAGUUCUUGAUGAAUUUUGAAACUCCAGCAAAAUAUCCACGGUACUUUGAAUUCUAUGUGGAAUAAAAUUGGUCUUGUAUACUCUUCCCCCUUUGCUCUUUUUAGAUAUGUUUAAAAUCCCAUGAGAAUAUUUGGAGGUAGAAUCUCUGGUUGGGGUCCAAACCAUUUCCACCAGUGAUUGAACCAUAUUGGAAAUUCUUUACUGCAACUUUCUUUGAAUGUGAAGAACCAGGAAUGGUUGAAUGGUCUAAAAAGGAAAGCACGAUACCAUGCCAUUUUGUAAUCUUGAUAUGUAAAUCCAUCUGGAAUGAAGUUUACCGAAAAGGAUUUUUUAGAAUAAAGAGAAGUCCAUUCAUUAGGAGAACAAACUUUCUUUAUAAUACACUUGGAAUGACUAAUAAUGUUUGGAUUCUUUUUAUCUGGAAUGGGGUAAAUCUCUACAGAUUGAGUAUCUGUAAGGAUUAAUUCGUAAUAAUCUAAAUUUUUUGAAGGGUCAUCUGGUUGCCAAUAGCAUUUUGGAGGAAAGAUCCUUUGAGUAACUUGAUGAAGAGUAGAGUAUAUGGGUAUUUCUUGGAAUCUGGUUAAAGUAAUAUGUUGGGUAAAUGGCUUUGUGAAAUAAGUAUUUCCUUGAGAUUUUUCUGGGGAUUUUGCUAAUUGUUGAAUGGGUCUAAUUUGAGAAGCAAUUGGAGUAGCAGCUUGACUAUAAGUCAAUGCUGGGAAAUCUGAUAAGAGUUGAAAUCUAUUUUGAGUUACAGGAGUAAGACUCAUCUCAUAAUCUUGAGGAGUCUUUGGCCUGGAACUUCCUGCUUUUGAAUCCAUUUUCCUGCAAAAUUAAUAAACAACAUCUUUAAGUUGGUCAGCUAAUUGUUUGUUUUGUUCUUGAUAAUGUCGAAUAAAUUCGUCGUGAAGAAAAUCUCCACUUCUGCUUGCUCUUUGAUGAAUAUGAAGUCUAAUUGUGUUUUUCUGAAUUUCUCUUUGGAUGAUAAAGGCUCUUUCUUUUGGAGUAAUGGUUGCAUAGGGACUUUUGAGAACAUGUAUUUCAUCAUAUUUGGGAAUUUGAUAAGCUGGAAUAAAUUGUCUUCCAUUCGGAGUCUGAAUGAAAUAAACAUAUCCUCUGGAUAGAAUGGAUUUUUCUUUAUUUUUGAGGGGUAUUGAAUCUCUUUGAUUUCUCAAGUAAUUUGUAUAUUCACGAGCAUUUCUUUGAGCCAUCAUUGCUGGAUCCAUAUCCUUGAAGAAAUUCUCUAGUAAGAAAAUCUGGUAAAGAAUUAUUUUCUCCUUUAAUGAAUUCUAUAUCAAAAUCAAAUACAGAUAAGAUAGCUUGCCAUCUAGCAAAUAUUUGUUUUGAAACUAUAUUUUGAACAUCUUUUUGUAAAAUCUCUUUUGCAGAUGUACAGUCUAUUCUAAUUAAAAAUUUCUUGUUAUAUAAAUCAUCUUGAAAUUUUGAUAUGCACAAAACUAUAGAUAGAAUUUCUUUCUUAAUAGUUGAAUAAUUCUUUUGAGGGUCAGACCAUGUUCCUGAAUGAAAUCUAACUAAUUCUUCUUUUUCUCCUUUCAUUCUUUGUUUUAAUAUUCCUCCAUAUCCUAAUUCUGAUGCAUCUGUUUCUACUAUCAUGAAUGCUUUUGGAUGAGGUAAACAUAAACAUGGUAAUAAUUCAAUUUUUUCUUUUAAAUAUUUUAUUUUUUGAGUAUGUUCUUCUGUCCAAGGUUUUGGAUUUUUCUUUAAUCUAUUGAAUAAUAUAGAGCAUUCUUGUCUUAAUUUAGGGAAGAAAUCUGCUAUAUAAUUUAAACAUCCUAAAAAUCUUUGUACUUGAUUUUUAUCCUUUAUUUCAUCUGGAAAUUUUUUAGCAAAUUCUAAAGCUCUAUUUAUUGGCUUUAUGGUUCCUUGAUAAAUAUUAUGUCCUAAAAAUCUUAUUUUAGUUUGAAAUAAUUUCAUUUUUGGGGCUGAUAUUACUAAUCCAUUUUUCUUAGCUACUUUUAAAAAUAUAUUUAAAUGUUUGAAAUGUUGUUCUAUUGAUUCAGAAAAUAUUAAUACAUCAUCUAUGUAUACUAUACUGAAUGAACUAUAAGGGUUAAAAAUGUCAUUCAUUAUAUUUUGAAAUUCUGAUGGUGCAUUUUUUAAUCCAAAUGGCAUUACAUUCCAUUCAUAAUGUCCAAAAGGUGUGGUGAAUGCUGUUUUGUAUCUAUCUUUAGGUGUUAUUAAUAUUUGCCAAUAUCCUGAUUUUAAAUCAAAUUUUGAGAAUAUUUUUGCAUUAAAUAAUCUAUUUAGUGAAUCUUUCUUGUUUGGAAUUGGAUAUCUUAUCCAUUGUAAUACUUUAUUUAAAGGUUUAUAAUUUAUUACUAAUCUUGGAACUCCUCUUUCUUUUUCACCUUGAUUCAUAACAUAAAAAGCUGCACAACUCCAAGGUGAUUUUGAAGGUGUUAUUAAUUUUUUAUCAAUUAAUAUUUUUAUUUCUUUUUUACAAAAUUCUAGUAAUUCAGAAUUCAUUUGUAUAGGUCUUGCUUUUGUUGGAAUAUUCUUUUCAUUAAAGUCUUUUUCAUAAGGUAAUUCUACCAUAUGUUGUUUUCUAUCCCAAAAAGCAUUAGGAAUAUUUGCACAUACUUCUUUUCUUAAUAAUUCUUCUAAUUCUGAAAUUCUUUUUUGCAUUUUAUUUUCUUUUAAUUGUUCUUCAAUUUUUAAAUAAGAUUUUUCUUCUUUAAUAUAUCUUAUUUGUUGUUGUACUUUAGUAAUACUAUUUAUUGUUCUAUAGAUAGAAGAUGUCUGUAAAGUUUGUAAUUCUCUUUGUUUUACUGGAGUUAAAAAUCUAAAUGUAAUUGUUUUACCCAUUAUAUUUAUUGAAAUUCCUUCAUUACUUACAAAGAAUGGGUAUAUUUGAAUUAGAAAUGGUGUUCCUAUAAUUACAUCAUGAUUUAUAUUUUUUACAAUUAUGAAAUUAUGUCUAAUACAAUAAUUAUCAUUACAUAUUGAUCCUUUUGUAAAUUUAUAUUUUACUUGUAAAUUUUCUCCAUUUGCCGCCAUUAAAGUUUCUUUUGUUCUUUCACAAUAUUUAGUAGGAAUUAUUCCUUCUUUAAUGCAACUUACAUCUGCUCCACUAUCUAUUAGAGCUAUAUAAGUUUCUUUGAAAUCUUCUACUGUAAUAGAUAAAUAUCCUAAUAUAAAUGAUAGAAGAUUUCAAAGAAACUUAUAUAGCUCUAAUAGAUAGUGGAGCAGAUGUAAGUUGCAUUAAAGAAGGAAUAAUUCCUACUAAAUAUUGUGAAAGAACAAAAGAAACUUUAAUGGCGGCAAAUGGAGAAAAUUUACAAGUAAAAUAUAAAUUUACAAAAGGAUCAAUAUGUAAUGAUAAUUAUUGUAUUAGACAUAAUUUCAUAAUUGUAAAAAAUAUAAAUCAUGAUGUAAUUAUAGGAACACCAUUUCUAAUUCAAAUAUACCCAUUCUUUGUAAGUAAUGAAGGAAUUUCAAUAAAUAUAAUGGGUAAAACAAUUACAUUUAGAUUUUUAACUCCAGUAAAACAAAGAGAAUUACAAACUUUACAGACAUCUUCUAUCUAUAGAACAAUAAAUAGUAUUACUAAAGUACAACAACAAAUAAGAUAUAUUAAAGAAGAAAAAUCUUAUUUAAAAAUUGAAGAACAAUUAAAAGAAAAUAAAAUGCAAAAAAGAAUUUCAGAAUUAGAAGAAUUAUUAAGAAAAGAAGUAUGUGCAAAUAUUCCUAAUGCUUUUUGGGAUAGAAAACAACAUAUGGUAGAAUUACCUUAUGAAAAAGACUUUAAUGAAAAGAAUAUUCCAACAAAAGCAAGACCUAUACAAAUGAAUUCUGAAUUACUAGAAUUUUGUAAAAAAGAAAUAAAAAUAUUAAUUGAUAAAAAAUUAAUAACACCUUCAAAAUCACCUUGGAGUUGUGCAGCUUUUUAUGUUAUGAAUUAAGCUGAAAAAGAAAGAGGAGUUCCAAGAUUAGUAAUAAAUUAUAAACCUUUAAAUUUACAACUUUAAUUUAUAUACGUUAGUGGUCAAUACACUUCUAGUAAUAAGUUACUAUUACAAGUAAAUUCUGAAUUUACUUGUAGUAAUACCCUCCAAAUUAAUCAAGAAUGAUCUUAAAAAAGUUUAUCAACAAAAUAAUUAUACAAAUCAAAAUUCCCUAAUGAUAUUUCAGCACCUCAUUUUCAACCUAGAAGUCUGACAAGAGAAAAAGAAGAAUUAGUUAGAUUUCAUUCAGGAACAUGGUCUGACCCUCAAAAGAAUUAUUCAACUAUUAAGAAAGAAAUUCUAUCUAUAGUUUUGUGCAUAUCAAAAUUUCAAGAUGAUUUAUAUAACAAGAAAUUUUUAAUUAGAAUAGACUGUAAAUCUGCAAAAGAGAUUUUACAAAAAGAUGUUCAAAAUAUAGUUUCAAAACAAAUAUUUGCUAGAUGGCAAGCUAUUUUAUCUGUAUUUGAUUUUGAUAUAGAAUUCAUUAAAGGAGAAAAUAAUUCUUUACCAGAUUUUCUUACUAGAGAAUUUCUUCAAGGAUAUGGAUCCAGCAAUGAUGGCUCAAAGAAAUGCUCGUGAAUAUACAAAUUACUUGAGAAAUCAAAGAGAUUCAAUACCCCUCAAAAAUAAAGAAAAAUCCAUUCUAUCCAGAGGAUAUGUUUAUUUCAUUCAGACUCCGAAUGGAAGACAAUUUAUUCCAGCUUAUCAAAUUCCCAAAUAUGAUGAAAUACAUGUUCGCAAAAGUCCCUAUGCAACCAUUACUCCAAAAGAAAGAGCCUUUAUCAUCCAAAGAGAAAUUCAGAAAAACACAAUUAGACUUCAUAUUCAUCAAAGAGCAAGCAGAAGUGGAGAUUUUCUUCACGACGAAUUUAUUCGACAUUAUCAAGAACAAAACAAACAAUUAGCUGACCAACUUAAAGAUGUUGUUUAUUAAUUUUGCAGGAAAAUGGAUUCAAAAGCAGGAAGUUCCAGGCCAAGGACUCCUCAAGAUUAUGAGAUGAGUCUUACUCCUGUAACUCAAAAUAGAUUUCAACUCUUAUCAGAUUUCCCAGCAUUGACUUAUAGUCAAGCUGCUACUCCAAUUGCUUCUCAAAUUAGACCCAUUCAACAAUUAGCAAAAUCCCCAGAAAAAUCUCAAGGAAAUACUUAUUUCACAAAGCCAUUUACCCAACAUAUUACUUUAACCAGAUUCCAAGAAAUACCCAUAUACUCUACUCUUCAUCAAGUUACUCAAAGGAUCUUUCCUCCAAAAUGCUAUUGGCAACCAGAUGACCCUUCAAAAAAUUUAGAUUAUUACGAAUUAAUCCUUACAGAUACUCAAUCUGUAGAGAUUUACCCCAUUCCAGAUAAAAAGAAUCCAAACAUUAUUAGUCAUUCCAAGUGUAUUAUAAAGAAAGUUUGUUCUCCUAAUGAAUGGACUUCUCUUUAUUCUAAAAAAUCCUUUUUAGAGUAUCUAACAUGUUAUUGGACAGAAGAACAAAGGCUCUGAUUUGGAUUUUUAGAGUAUCUAUUGAAUAAUAUAGAGUAUCUAAAAAUCCUUUUUAGAGUAUCAACAACAAAUCAGCCAAAGGUUUACAUUCAUGCACAUUUACAAUAUCAUUCAAUCAAUAAUCAAUCUUCGAACUCAACUAAGUCGAGUGCGAUAAAGUACACUCCCGACUUAGAAGGCGAGAGACCAUUGAUAUACACAUCACAAUAAAUCACUAGUAAAAUUCAUAACAAGCACAUUUCUCACAUAAAUUCAUUUAAAGAAACAUAAUCAAUUAAGCAUAUACAUUCGACAACACUCACCAAUUAUCCAAAAAAACUAAUCUUGAGUCUCGAGUCGGUUUUUUGGUUCACAGCUACUUCCUGGACAAGUUAAUAAUUCUAAUGUGAAUAUCCAAUUUAUAUACAGCCACUCAUCUUAUACCAAUUUAAGAUUUAAAUAACUAAAACCCAAGUUCCUAAGCUUAUAAAACAAGGUUAAUGCACACAUAUAUCAAAUUUUAAGAUCUUAUAAAACAUUUGAGCUAAGAUUAAAUCAUUUCAUUCUAAUCCUAAUAAUUAAAGCUGGUGGAACUUUUAUUUCUUCCCUUUUUUAUUUCUAAUCCUAAACUAGACUCUAGUUUGCAUACUAUUCCUAUUUGUUCCACUUCACUAGCCCUUCAGGUUUUAAGUUCUUUAAAGUAUUCAAAACAAGGUCAAGAUGGUAUAAACUGUUAUAUAUAUAUAUAUAUAUAUAUAUCUAUAUGUAUAUAUAUGAUUACAGCAAACUAUCCUAGAAUUUUUCGAAAACUUCAUGGAAAAUUCAACUCUUCACUGUUUCGGUCAUCAAGCAAGAUUUCCAGCAAUAUCAAUUCAAGAUGUUCAACAAAGCUCCAUGGUCUACUUGUUUAAACACUAAACACUCAACAUAUUAUUUGACCAGCCUAAACUAUAGCAGAUAACCCACCAUUUCAGCAAGUAAUUCCACCAUGAACCUCAAAAUAAUUCUGUUAUUUGCUAACUAUAACUUUCAGCCAUAAGACAGUUUAAAGAUUCAGUUCUUUCUUCACAUUUUCUUCAGUUUUAACUCCAACACAACAUGCAAGGAAUGAUUAACUUAUCACAGAGUAUUUUAAGAUGCAAGAUAAUAUUUUCAACCAAAGAUUCAAAGUUAAUAUUAAACAAAGCUUUGUUUCCCUUCCUCGGCCAUAUUAGAAAGGCUUUAGCAGCCAAUAGCUUUUAAAACAAGAAAAUUCUCCAAUAAUCUCUUCAUUUUAUACCCAAUCUCACAUGCAUGUUCAGACCAAACUAUUAUGCAAUAUAUAUAUUACACUUAACAUAGAAAUUCAAUGCCAAAAUUCAUGAGGACUGCUAGAAACCUCUUCAUUUCCCUCUCUCGGAUGAUGCUGGAAAAUUCCAACAAGUUUUCUUCCUACGGUGUCAACCCAAAAUUCCAACUUUAUUCCAACUUUUCCCCAAGUUUCUUCAACUAAAAAUCUUAUAAUACCUGAGAUAACCAUAUUGCAUGCAUUUCUUACAUUAGUUUCCAUUUUACAAUGAUAACAGGCUGCAACUCAAGUUUUCAAUCCAGUUCCAAUUUUUCUUCUUUAUCAGAUUUCCCUUCGGUUAAAACUUAUUAUUCCUUGCUAAAAACUAACAUGCAGCCCAUAUAUUCAGUUAUAUUCAAGAAAUAAAAGGGUGGUUACAAGAUUCUUACCUUUUUUUUGUUAAGUUUUAAUAGUGGCAGAUUGCUUCUGCUCCUAGCUUCAGUUCCUCCUCACUAUGGUAGCUGAUAUGUGAAGUUGUAAGUUAGCUUCCUCCUCUUAUCACUCACUUAGUUCUCUUACUCACUCGAUUGUGGUUGGAAGGAACCAGAAAUGCUCCUUCACUCCCACUCUUUCUCACGGUUUCAGGUAUGAAGAAGAAAGAAAGCUUCGUUCUCUGUUUUCUUUCAUUAGUUUCCUCUCGGUUGAUAAUACCAAAGUAGCUAAUCACUCCAACUCCCUCUUCAGUCGGUGGUUGAUAGAACCAAAGUUUCUCCACUCGGCCUUGUUUCUAAGGUUCUGAUACUAACUGGUCGCAUGGUAGAUUAGCUAGGAUGAGAGGUUAGAUAGGUCAUUUGAUAUCCACUUAUUUUCUUACUAAGGGCUGCAAUUUUUAUUAAUUCACACAUUAACUCCCAACCUUAAUUGUAUUUCCUUGAUCUCGUAGAUUCUCAUACAUUUGGUUUUAAAAAAAAUUAGCUAGACAUGUAACUUAUUCAACAAUAAUAUAUUCAAAUUACACAAAUUACGGUGUGCAUACUAGAUGUUUAUUUGAUUCAUAUAAUUUUUUGUAAAAUUUAAAUUUAAACACUUAAUUAAUCUAUUAGUUGUUAUAUAUAAUACUUCUAAUGGCAAAAUGAAGGUAAUACAUGCAAAGCUUAUACAAAAUUUUUCUCGAGUUUUCACAAAUUGUAUCGUAGGUAUAAUUGCAUAUUCAGAUAUCCAUAUUCUCUUAGCAUUUGAUAUCAACAAUGCUUGGGACAUUGUAAAAUUGCAUGACCGCAACCAUGUCACUAAUUCUGAGCACAUUUAUCAUUCUCAAACCUGCAAAUUUUUCAAAUACAUAUUCAUAAGGGUAUGAAAUAUUAUUAACAAUUUAAUAUUUUGGUAUUUGUAAAACUUACCAACAGUGUAGGUAUUGAGCAAAAUUCAAGUAGCAAUUGACAUACAAUUUGCUUGCUCGAAUAAUAUAAAGUGACGGUCCUGCACAAUGUGCUAUAUUUAUUGAUAAACUAUAAAAAUUAAAUAAAAUAAAGUGAAAAUAAAUUGAAUUACCUUUAUAAUUUCUCAUACAAAUACCACAGGCUAGCAAAACAUUAUUUUUUGUAACAGUUUGACGCAAGUGUUCACCAUCAUCAGUUGCAAAUCUAUCACAAAAAGUCAACUGAACUACUGUCAAACUUCAUUUAGAGAAUUUUGGUAAGCAUAAAUCAAAAUUUGUAGAAUACAAAAUAUUUUAAAGAUAUUGAAUCUAUUAACUAACCUUUUGUCAAGUGUGAACCAACAGAUACAAUUAAACCAAUUACAUCUGCAAAAGAUCAAAAAGUAUAAUUAAUACCAGUUCAAAUAUACAACUUAAAUAGAAGUAUGGUUAAUUAUGAAUGAAAUACCUAUCAAUUGCAAAUCAUUGUCCAUGUGCUGUUCUGUAUCUCUUAGUUUGACCAGAUUAAACUUGAAACGGGGUAUGGUUCCACAAUCAUCUAAAAUAUUCACUAUCUUCAUAUCGUUUCCAAAUGAUAAUUGGUACUGAUGUGAUGUAAGCUGAUAUUUAAGAUCUGUCGGAAUUACAUAUAUAUUUUGAAACCAGUAUACCUUGCCUUCAUGGAGAUGAUCUGUGAAAAUGUUUAUCAUAUUAUUGACUCUUAUAACUCCCUGCAUGACAAAUUUCUAAUAGUUUUCAACAGAUUAGUAAAUAUUUAAUAUUCAAUAUAAUAAAUAACAUAUGCUCUUAAUUAUUACCUGAUCAUCUACAAAAAGCAUCUUGAUACAUCCCGAAUAUUGAAGCACUCCAUAUAUGGCCAUAUUUAUUAAUCGAAACAAUCUAAUCUUUAUAUUCUAUAUAUAUCCGCAAGGAUCUUGAUAGAGUAAAGGUGUAUAUCAAAUAUCUGUAAAUUAUUAUAAUAUAGCAUGAAGGUUAAUUAUUUAAACACUGUAGUUGAGACAGCAAGUAACAUAAAUUCAAAGAAGUACAAACAAAAUGUCAAAGUGUGAAGCAUAUAUAGUACAUAUAAUAUGAAGUAAAUAUACUAUUUUUUUAAACAAAGCGAUGUCCACAAUUUAUCAAAGGGAGUCAAAAAUCUCACGAUAUACAAUAUUUUUGUGUAAUCCCAUGGAUCAUUAUCGCUAUUAACAUUGAGUAUUUUCUAUCCAACUGGCGAAGUAGCACGGGACAGAGCAACAUAAAAUUGACUAUGUGAAAACACAGAUUCAAGAAGGUAAACGCCAACAUUUUUCAAUGUUUGGCCUUGACUUUUGUUGAUAGUCAUUGCAAAUGCCACUUUCAAAGGAAAUUGUCUCCUUUUAAUUGGAAAAGGAGUCCGUGCGCUUGCGGUGUUAAAGAGAUCCGAGGUAUGAGUACUAAAUCUCUAAUAUUAGAUCCUGUUAUGACUUCUGCCUCGAGGACUUUAUCCCCCAUUCUGGUAAUGACAAGUCGUGUUCAUUGCAAAGACCUUCUGACUGAUUGAGAUUUCUCAAAAGAAUUAUAGGAGUUCCUUCUUUAAGUUCCAAAAAAUGAUUUGGAAGUCUAGGAAAAUUCAAAGAGUGCAACAUUUCAGGAGGAUUCAUAUUUUCAACAAUGUCACCUUCAGUAUUGCAAAAAGUAUCAGCCCUCAUGUAGGUACGUGAUUGUCCAAUCAUUCAACUUGUCAACAUCACCAUUUUUUUGGAGCCAAAAUAGCACGUUCAUUGAGGUAAGUGCUAUUUUCCUAUGAAUUUCUCAAAUUUGGAUAGACAGAAUCUAUUAACCGCAUCAAAGAUUGAUUGUCAUUUUUUUAUAAGAAAUUGCGACGGCAUCUGAAUCCAAUUUGAUUCCCCAAAUUCAGUAAGUUGCUGAAACCUUUCCUUCACCAAUAGACAACAACCAAUUUACAAAAUCUGUCAAUUGCUGACGCAUAUUUUCAGGAUGACGUAAAUUCAUUACACGCAUAUUUAUUUUAAGAUGCAGUACUCUACAGUGAUCCGAAAUCGUUGAUUUUUUUAUUGUAGCUGAUACUGUUGCUUCUCUCCUACCUUUAGAAACAAUCGAUAAUGUUUGUUGAAAAUCACCGCCCAAAACAAUCAAUUUUCCUCUGAAAAUACGAUCCUCAAAAUCAUUUUCACUCAAUUUUAAGAUAUCCUUUAAAGUUCUAUCCACCGCUUCAAAUCCAUGCUGAUGUGUCAUUGGAGUUUCGUCCCAAAUUAUCAAAGAUGUCUCUCUAAUUAAUUUGGCUAAGUCAGAAUUUUUAUUGAUUGAACAACUUGAUGACUCAUCCAAAUUAAUAGGAAUUUUGAAACGUGAAUGUGUUGUCCUUCCACUGGUAAGAGUAUUGCAGCAAUACCUGAUGAUGCAACUGAAAGAACAAUUUUUCCCUACGAUCUAACUCGAGCAAUCAAUGUUCUCCAUAAAUAAGUUUUACCCGUCCCACCACUUCCAUACACAAAAAAUAGUCCUUCGUGAUUAUGUGUGUAUGAUUCCAUAAUAAAAUCAUAUGCUUUCAAUUCAUCCUCAUUCAAACUUACAUAUAAAUUAUCAAAUAAUUGCUGCUCUGAUGUAAAAUCAUAAUCACACUCUUCUCUUAUAAGUCUAUUCAUGAAAAACUCAGCAUUUUCAAAUGACAGCAAUGGCAUUGGUGAAAAAUCUCAUAAAGAUCGACCAUUUUUAUUAAAAUGAGUUCGAGUUCAACUAAUCCCAAAUUUUGUAACUCAUCGUCAUCAAUGCGUAUUUGAGAGUUUUCAAUAUCCCUUCUGAUCUGAUAUUGCAAAUCAUCUGUUAUACUUUUCCAGUGACGCUGCCAUAUAUUAGAAGGGUUAGUUAUCUCAGAAUGCAUAAGUAUUGUACAAUACAUGGUUCGUAAUUUUUUGGCAGAUGCCCGUGUAGAUGCUUCAGCUAAAGUUUCGUUCCACUCAUUAUUAUCAUCUAGAAGACCAAGUGCUACACAUGUAGCUUUGAAUGUUAGAUGCACAACUCCAUUAAUAAUUCUCAAAUGUUCAAAACUUCGUGCACCACGAAUUGUGUGCAGCAACAUUCUCAAAUAGUAUCGCUCACCAGAAUGAGGAUGUGCAUAUGGUAGCUUUCCAAUACACCUACCUUGCAAUCUGGACUCCCAUUGGCGUUUAUUUUGGUUCCAAGUCCACUUACUCGGAAACUCCACAAAUAUCAAGUUUCUAGCUGAAACAUCGCUCUGAUUUAUUUCAAACCAUUUCGUCAGCAUUGUGUCAUGUAUGUGAUCACGAUCAAGAACGUCAUAAAGAUGAUUAUCAUCAUUAAAUAUCACAAAUUGAUGAUCAGGAAGAUGAUACUGCAAUCAAAUCACUGAUGGAUACUGUCUCUGCAUUUUGAAAUCAAAUAUCUUCCAACAUGACUCAAUUGGCGAUAAAUAUCAACAAUCUAAGUAUUGUUUAAUCUCAUCAACGCUUCUGUAACGACGAUGACCAUUUUCAUUUGCAAGUACAACGUUAUUCUCAAUUUGAACAUUUGCUCUAUCAACCCCCUUACUCAUGUACUUGUACAGAUAUUUAGUGAUUUCUGGACGUGCAACUUUGGUGACAUUGAUAUGACCAUCAAACAUCACAAUCAAAUCUCGAUUGUAAGAAACAACCCAUCUGUUGUCAAAUGUAAAACCAUUAAAGUUACCCUCUUACUUGGAUCAUCUCUAUGUCUGUAUGAUACAAAUCCAUCUUCAUCAAUAGUGGUUUCACUACAAAAUUUUUUUGGAUAGUGUUUAGAGCACUUUCCAUUCACCAUACACGGAGCAUUUGGAUAAGUAUCACCACAUGGUCCGUGUAACAUACCCUUGAUGACCGUAUCAUAAGCUAGUGUGUCAAUAUUUUUAUCAGGUAUUUCAGCACAAAUGAUAUCAUCAAUUUGUUCUGGAGUAAGGGGUUUAUCAUCCGGAGCUAAUGUUAAAGUGAUAUGAGUAUAUGGUAAACCACGUUUUUGAAAUUCAAUGACAGAGAUGUCUGCACAUUAUGGAAGUAAUCUUAGUGUAUAGCAGAAUAUAGGGAUUGGAAGAAAGAAAUUAAUGAUUUAAAUAAAGUAAAAUUUGUACCUGCAAGCACUUUUCCAAAUAGUUGGAUAUUUUUAAAACAUCCAUCAAUUUCUUUUGUCUUAUCCGAAAAACUCGAGCCGUAAUAUCGGGUUUGUCCUCAACUUUCUGUCCCGAUAUUCUUGUCAACUCUUGUUUAAUUUCUGGCCAAUUGGGAUUGCAAGUAAAUGUAAUGAAAAGAUCUGAAUUUCCAAUUGUCCUACAAAUUGUCAUCGCAUUCUGAAAAUGUUGUACCAUAUUUUGAGAUCCACCCGAAAAUGAAGAUGGUAGAACAAAUCUCCUUCCAACUAAUGAUGCAUCUGUAUCUCCAGCAAGUACAGCAUCUUCUAAACCUUGAUAUACAUUAGCAUGUAAUAUAGAUUGAUGGGUUUUCAUAAAAUUUAGGGUAAAAUACAAGAAACCCCCUUGUGGUUUCGCGAAAAGACAUCUUACUCCCCUAUUAUUUAAAAACCUCCACAUAAACACCCUAACUUUCAUAACUAAAGUGGAAAUUACCUUUUGAACCGACUGAGUUACUGGCAGCAGAUCAAAUACUCUCGUCUAACCCGUGGCCUACUAAAUUAGUAGGAAUUGACAAUCCAAUGUAUAUCCAAAAAUGUAAGCUUGAAAGCUUUGCCUUGGAACUUUGAAUCAAAUGCCAAUGCAAGUAUUAAACACACACACACUCACGGUGGCAAUUGUUUUGCUCUUCUCAGUUCUCCCCUGCCCCCAACCCUACCCUUAACCCAGAAACGAUAAAAGGAAACCCAUUUUUUCUAGCUUCCCACCUCAAACAUAACUCCACUGGAUUACGAUGGUAUAAUUCCCUUUCCCCUACUGCCGUUACUCGUCAACAGAUUACCGACAGCCCUGACUGGAGCAUUCAUUCUAAACCUAUGGAGCCAUCUCAAGUUGUUGGCCAUGGGAGCACUCGCCCAUCUGGGAGUCUACAAUCCACCCCCUGACCACCAAUAUCAUUCUGCCGACGAUUCCAACAAUUACAUCUUCAUUUUUUAUGAGGGCACCUGCCCAUCCCUCGUCCGCAUUCUCGUUCAUGUCGUCGCCGCUGCCAUCAAGACUAAAGUCCUGUACUCCAAUUUCAAGAUUUUCUGCUUUUACAAGAAGGGCGAGAGCCAGAAGCAGAGGAAGAAGCAGAAUCAUCAACCUCAUCAUCAUCAUCACCCUCAUCCUCACCCUCACACGACUGGGACAGAAAAGGUGAUGAUAAUAUUUUUCCGCAGAAGAUGUGCACCAUCUGCUUUUCUUACCAUCAUUUCUUCGUGGAAACGAAUAAGUUCCUAGGCAAUCUCCUCAGUUGUAGCUUCAAUCUCGAGGCAGAAGUCCAUAUUCUUCUCCUCAUCUGUAGCGGCAUGACCACUCCCCUUAUGAGUGGAUUCCCAAAUUUUUUCCAAAAAUCCCCAAUCAAUAAUUGAGUGGGCACUCAAUUCUGUGUUUACUACUACUACUGCUGAAGAAAAUUGAUCCCUUGUUCUCUGAGAUCCGAUUUUAGAGUGUUAAAAUUGUCAUUUUAGAGUUUGUCUACCAUUUUGCCAUCUUUGAGGAAGAAAAUCGUAUGAGUGGCUAUGAUUUCCCAAGCAUUACUGAGGCCCUGUUCCAAACUAAUCUCGCACACCCAUCGUCACUAGGUUACACACCCGGUUACAGGUCAAUUUCCGCUUUAGUUAUGAAGUUUAGGGUGUUUAUGUGGAGAUUUCUAAAUGAUAGGGGGUAAGAUGUCUUUUCGCGAAACCACAAGGGGGUUCCGUGUAUUUUACCCUAAAAUUUAAUCUGUAGUGUUCAAUAGCUACAUAACAAUCAACAACGAAUUGUUGAAAUAGUUUGGCACCUUUCAAAAGUGUAUGGCCUUCAUUUUGUCGAAAUUGCAUACAAUACGCAUAGAAUUCGCGCAUCGACACAAAUUCUUUCUUUCUAACGGCAAAGGGUGAAAAUCUUAUUGCACAAUGCCAUCCGUCUGUUCCAUAUGGAAAUAGUAAAGGGUAUUGAAGUGGCAUGUAUGAUGGAUGUGUCUCACUGAUUCUUUUCAAAUUUUCAUCUCAAGUGACAAGCACAAUAUUACGGUGUGUGACAUGUCCAGUAUCUUUACCGACAAUCAAAGCAGCAACUUCAUUUGCAGUUGGUUGGAUAUAUUGUCUGUCACCUCGAGCACUAAUUAUCUAUACUUGCAGAUUGACAAUAUUUUGAUUUCGAAGCAUGUCUCUUGCACUUCGAAAAACUUGUACAUAUGGAUUUAUUUCAUCUAUCAUAUUUUGCAAUCCUUCAACUAUUGAUGCAUCAAUCCCAAUUGGAUUGCCAUCAUGACUGUUUAGAAGAUUCAUAUGAUUCUGCAACUCAUUAUCGGUAUCAUGAAUGUAUAAUUGUAUGAAUCUACCUAAUUCUCCAAGAGGUGGCAAAGACUAUCCGAUUUGAUGAUAAUUUUCUCCACUAAUUCGAAAUGAAUACAGUCCGAUAGAAUUGACUACAAAAUGAUCUAUUUUGCCUCCCGUGGAUGUAAACCUGAAUAGUGCAUUCAGCAAUCGAAUCUUCUCUUUCAAUGUUGGAGUCGUAAAUAUAUGUUGUAAAACUUGGGGAGUUUGAGGCAAUAACGGUAAAACAACAUCCCCAUCUUGACAACAUAAAUUGAAUCUUGGAUUUUGUUUUGUACUACUUUGAAUUCUUUCUUCCACCCACAUUAGAGAUUGACAUUUGUGACAGAUUACUGUUCUUAGACCAAAUGUCCAUCUUCUUGUGAUUCUACAUCGUCGUCGCGUUCGGCCUAUUUGGUCUAAUUGAUUGAUGAAAUAAGUAUAAUAAAGUACAUACCUAAAACUAAUAAAACUAAGUAUGAAAGACAUAAUGUAAAGUUGUUGUAUGAAAAUAAAGCACAUAAUAUUUGUAUGCCUAAGAACAUAUAGCAAGAAAUAUUAAUUAUGGUAACAUGAGAAAAGUAUUAGUAGAUUACUGAUUUGUUCUGCUCCAGCUGUUUUAGUAGACACAAUGUCUUGUGUAGCAGGAACAAAUUCUUCGGAUGAACCUGUAUGUGUAAUGGAUUUUAAGAAGUCAAAUGCAAAAAAUAAAUUGAAAGAAAUUGAAUUGCAUAAAUAAUAAUUGAUUACUUAGUCAAGAUACAUGAGAAAACUUGGACAUACCAUCAUCGAGACCAUUAGAUGAUGACGUAGGUGUAAUAGGAACUUCAGUAGUUGGUGAGUCAUUAUGCAAUUCAUCUACCAUUAUGUAAUAUAGAAAGUUAAUAUAAUAAUGUAGCGCGUUAAAAACAUUAAUGGUUAAGCAUGAAUUUGAAAUUGUGGAAAAAUUUGAAGUUACCAUGAUCAUGGUGAAUCGCAGCUGCAGUCGAUGGAUGUUGAAGUUGAAAAGAUGUUGAGUAAUCAUUUGUUUGAUCUAAAAGUAUAUUAAAAUAAUUGUAUUAAAAGACGUAUUAAAUUAAGUUACAAUUAUUAAUGUAAUACUCAUAAAAAAUGUAAUGAUCUAAUAUACUGUAUGAAUAUUAUAAAGGACCAUGAGUAGUCUGAUGUAAAACCAUAGUAAGAUCUGAUGAACAUAGCAAUACUUGUUAACACAAAUUACUUUAUGUGCAAAGAUUAGAAAUAUUGAAAAGAAGUAUUUUAGAUUGAAAAAAUAAUUUUUUUUAAUUAAUGAAUGAUAAUAUGUGUAUUUAAUAGUCAGAUUUGUGGAAAUUUAUCCUUAAUUUGGUAAUGUUUAUGAUAGUAGUUAGUAAUGUUUUAUGUUUGAGAAAUUAUUUAGUGGGUGAAAUUGAUGUACAAUGUGAAGCUUGAUUGAGAAAAUUAAAAGUUUUGAGUCACUAUAUUUUUAUGGUAUGUAAUUAAACAUUUAGAAUAGUAAAAAAUAUUUUUUAUUAUGUUAAUUAUUGAUCCAAACAAAUUGGCAAUUUUGGUAGUAGAAGCGACGAUAUAUUUAUGUGAAUCUAUGAUAUUAGAUAAGAUUAUAGUGAUCCAAAGAAAGGUGAUCUUUUAUAACUUCAAGAUAAGAUUGCAGUGAUUUGAAAAAAGAUUAAAGUUUAUAACCUAUCGAUUGCAUCUUUAGUGUUCAAUUUUAGCAUGAAUCAUAUAACCUCACGGUUGCAGCUUUACUAUCCAUACCCCCAAAUACUGGUCACCUAGUACUUUCGCACAUUACUAUGUAGUAAAUGACUUUCGAACCUAUUCAUUAUGGUUGACUACUGCACAUGCAAUAAUAGUUUUUAGUACUAUUUGUUAACAUGUAAUAUUUUAACAAAGCAAUUGGGUAGCUUUUGGUAGUAUUUAUUAAAGUGCUUAUAAGCAAUUGGUACUCUUUCCACAUUCUUAUAAACAAUAAAAACAAUAAUAAUAUUAUAAUAUUCAAAAUAUUAUUAAUACUUAGAAGUACAAUAAAAAUGCCAAUGUUUAAAGAAUAAAUAAUACCAAAAUUUGUAACUUGAUUCUUAUGAACAAUGAAAACAACAAUAAUAUUAUAAUUGUCGCGCCCCAUUUUUUGCGAUGCAAAAAUAAAGAUAAAAGGAGUUUAUAAAAAGAUGUGAUUUAUUAAUAAUAAAUGAAAAAGGACCUAGAAUGGGAGUUAAAAAAAUGCGACAAUUUGGGUCCAAAAUUUAGUCCAAAAGGGUUUUUAAGGAAAAUAGGAGUCGCCACUUGGUAUGGAGUUUUGGUGUACCAAGUCACCCAAAAAAUAAAGUAAAAUAAAAUAAAACCCUUUUGACAACUCCAGGUCUUUGAAAAAAAAAUAGAGAAAAUGGGUUCGGGGGUCACGAUUGAAGAAAGGGAAGGCAAAGGUUUGAUUAAAUCAAACCUAAGGCACCCUUUCAACCUAGUCUAAGUUAGUUGCGAGGUUUAGUCAAAAUUUUCCUAAUCUAACCCUUAAUUUUAUCACAUUUGGAUGUUUCCUACAUGGAUGCAAUCUAAAUUUAUAAAAAUAUCGAAAGGGACAAAAUGUUCAUUGAAGGGUUUAAUUGAACCAAUUGCAUUAAUUGCAAAUGCCAAAAUAAUUCCUUGAAGGUGCCACGAGUAUGCAAAUGAUGAAAUUAAAAGAAAAGAAAUUAAAUUAAAUUAUAUACAUAGAUAUAAGUGAUUGAAGAAAAAAAUGAAUGCAACAUAAAAGGUACGGGAGGCAAAAACUCGUGACAUGAUUUUCUUUGUAGACACCAAAUUUUGAAUUAAUGCUUUGUGUUUAGAUGAUUUGCGUUUUAGUUCAUUAUGUGUUUGUCUAGCCCUUUUAGGUUUUAUUUUAUUUUAGUUUUAUUCCCUUUUUAGUUUUUAGUUGUUUUUGUAGUUUUUAUUUUGUAAGUUUAGCGUAGAAUUUUUAGAGAAAAAGAAAAAAAAGGAAAAGUGAAAAAUGAAAAAAGGGGAAAAAGAAAAUCAUGAAAAAGAGGGAAAAAGGAAAAUUGUUCACAAAAAUACGUUCAAAUUCAAUCUUUUGGCAUUUCGGUUUAUUUUUGUUAAUUUAUUUUUGAAAAAUGGAAAUGAUGAAAAAUGGAAAAAUGAAAGAAAAGGUCGAAAAUGGUAAUUUUGUUAUUUUUAGUUUGUUUAUUUUGAUUAAAAUUGUUGUUUUGUUAUUAUUUAGUUUUAUUUAGUUUACUAUUAUUUUUGUUAAAUCAUUAAUUUAAAAAAAAAAAAAAAAAAGAGAGAGAGAAGCCAAAAGCUGCAUUUUUGCCGCAGCUUGCAAAUGAAAGUUGCGGGAGGUCCUGGGGGAAAUUUUUGGCUGAAGAGGCCAGGUGUCUAGGACACCUGGAGGGGGGAUGAAUCUAGAAGGAGGGGGGCUAGGUUUUUGAGCUAACAGAGAGAGAGUCGGUGGGCUAAGGAACCAGGGGAAGUGACGGCCGCAAAAAAAAUCUAGAGGGAAAAAAGGAAGAAAACAGGCUGAGGAAAGGAGAGAGGUUACCGGAAGAGGCUAAGGGUUCAAAGGGGGCGGCUGAGAAGAAAAAUCUGGAACGGCUAGGAGAGAAACGAUAGAGAGGGUUUUGGAACAGCUAGAAAGAAAACAGCGGUAGAGAAGAUAGGUUUUGGAACAAGGGCUGAGAGGUCUUUGACGGAAAAAGAAAGAACGGAAGAGUCUGGGCGGCGGAAGGAAGAAAAGACCAGAGGAAUAGAAAAAUCUGAAGAGCAACCAGAGAGUUUGAUCCUGGGGCGGUGAGCUCCGCCUCUGGAGCCUUCUAUCUGGCACCACCUCCACCUUCAUCAUCAGUCCACCGCUGUCCACUCUUGCAACUCGCAUCUGCCGCCUCUGCUGUCCGUCAUUUCAACUCCCGCCGCCACCUUAGCCAUCAAAGCAGCCGGAGCUUCUACCGCUACCUUCACCAAGCCGUCUACCAUCAGCGCUUCCAGAGUCUCUCGUCAGCUGUUUCUUCAUCGGCUCCUCUUCCGUAGAUGACUUGAGCAGCGACGGCAGCGGAGGUCUCUAAUUCACCAAGCUGCCACCACCAUCAUCACCUGCGAAUUGUCAUCCCGAAAGCGCCGUAAGCUACCUUUCUUGUUCCCCCCCUUGAAUUUCAGUUUUGCCUCAGGCACAAAUGUUCAGAGUAUGUUUAUUUUUCUCUUUUCUGUUCUGGUUCCUUGCGCUAGAAUGGUUAUGAGUUCGGUUGGAAUAAAUGUUGAUGUUUUCUUUGCUGCAUUUUUUUUGUUUUCCUUGAUGCUAAAACUGAUGUUUGGAGGCACGUGGGCUAGGUGGAUAAAACAAAUAAGUUUUGUACAAAGUUUUGGCUUCUCCCUUGUGCGAGUUGAGCUGCAAAGUUGCAGCAGAAAAUUGCAGCAGGAAAAUGCAGUGUCUUGCGUUUUUUUUCUGUUUCUUCCCUAUGACUGCAGUUGGUUAUUGGAUGUUAAGGUGUUGUAUUUGGAUUAAAGCUGUGUUUUUUGCACUGAAAUCUGGUUUGCUUGACAUGGAAUGCAGCUGUUUCUGGCGCAUUUCAUAACAAAAAUACAAUGGCAGCAAACUUCAUUUUUGUUCAUGGUGUGUUUUAGAUUUGUUGGAAGGAAUCGAUUCCCUGGUUGCUGAAAUGUUUGAUGUUUAAAUGAUAGUUAGCUCACUUGUAUAUUAUAUGAAUCUGCUUUGCUGAAAUGGUGGAGUCUUUGUGCAUAGAGAUGUGCAUCAGAUGUUCAUGUAGGAACCCAGCAAAUAGAAUUACCGAAAUCUGCUAUGUUGCAUGCAUGAAAUGUUUUCUGAAAUUGGACUUUAGCCCCCUAAGUCUCCCCGUGUUCCACUAAAACCCGAUAAAUUGAAUAACUUCAUCAAUUGGGUCCUUGGUAGUUUUAACUUUUGCAACUUCAUUGUUUGUGUGAUUCAAUUAGUCGCCUUGCUUCAUUUAAUUUGCUAUUAAUGCAUGAACUUAAGAGCUUUGCGUCCAAGUGAGAUUAUGUUUGCCUAUUUUCUUUAAUUUCUCUUCAAAUAAAUUGGUACCUUGACCAUUUCUUUUAUUUUGGAGGAUAAAUAAGUGAUUUCACUCCAUGUAGAGCAUCAAUUCAAGGUGGCGGUAUAAUUUCUUUUAUCCCUCUUUGUGUCUUUCCUAUGUGACCCAACGUGCUAAGUGCAUUACAUGUCUACUUUGCUUUCCUAGCUUUUCUUUAAUUCCUUUUACUUAUGUCAUUUACUUUUUGUUUUCAUUAAGUUAUUCUUUUAAUGGGGUAUGUGUACACCCCUUGGCUUGUAAUAGAUAGGGCUGUGGCGAGCAAUUUGGUCCAUUUUCCCUUUCCCCUUUUGUUUUAGUUAGUGAAUGUAAUAGGUUCAUUAGCUUGAUUGCAUGCCUACGUGUUAAGUGUUAAUUUGCUUUGUUAGGGCCUUGCAUCUAGUCGAGUAUGCUAAAUGUUAUGUGCUAUGUGUUUAUGAGUAUUUGGCAUGUCUACUCGCUUCCCAUAGCCAUGAAUGAAUGUGAUGGAUGAAUGUACGUUUCCGCUAGUCCAACGCUAGUCGGAAUUCAUAGAAUGGGCUAGUCCAACGCUAGACCCUUAGGAAUUUUCCCUCGUUAGCAUAUCAUUUGCUUGUUCACCACAUAUCACGCAUUUUUCCUUAGUUUUAUCAUUUGGCAUGAUCCUCGAACCCCUUUUCCUCUCAUUUUAGGUUUUGCAUCCCAUACUAGCUAUAGGGUUCAUUUUGCUUGAGUGUCCCCUUAAAUAUGGGAUAUAGACGAGUGUGGCUUUUUCUAAGCCUUAGCACGCUUGUAUUCCCUCUACAAAAGGGUAAAUUGAGUCACGAUUUAGGUCUCCCCGUACCCAAUAUGCGUGCAUUCCCUAGGCUCAUGCAUUCUAAAUCCACUCUAUCAUUACACUUUCAUUUUAUCCCUCCAUUUGCACACGUACACCUUUUAUCCCUUCAUUUGCACACGUACACCUUUUAUCCCUUCACUUACACACGAACACUUUUAUCAUCACUUGCACACAUGUACUUCAUAUUAUCAUUUCACACACCGCACCUUGCCCACUCACGUGCACAUUUUCACUUACAUAUUAUUGCCUUUUAUUACAUUUUUUUUCAAACUCAUGUCCUCACAUUGCAUACAUGCAUUCCAUUCAUUUGCAUCGCACUCGCAUUAUUCGUGACUUCUUCAAAAGGAUCGUUAUUGGGCUUCACAAUUAAUGUGAUUGGCACCAUUCAACCUUUGAAGGGAAAUUUCCCCUAAUACCCCUAGGUCUAGGGUUUGCAUUCAUGUAGUGCAUCCAAAUGUAAUAAAUUCUUUGGUUAAAACAAGAAAAUCUUUGAUUAAAUCAACGCAACUAGCCUUGGCUAGGUCGAAGGGGUGCCUUGGAGUUUAUCCUUGCCUUCCCCUUUGUCAAAUGUGACUCCCGAACCUUUUUCUUUGGUUUACGUGGACUAGGAGUCGUUUAAAAGGGGUUUCUUACUACUUUUUCCUAAUUUUUUUCUUAAAAAUUCAUUUUUGGGUGACUUGGUACACCCUAACUCUAUACCAAGUGGCGACUCCAUUUUUCAUAUAAAAAACCCUUUUUGAACUAUUUUUCUUGGGUCAAAUCGUCGCAUUUUCAAAAGUCCCAUUUAGACCCAUUUUUUUCUUUUAAAUCACAAAUCCAUUUUUCAAACCAUUUAUUUAUUUCAUCAAAAAAUGGGGCGCGACAUUCUUAUACAGGGAUUAAGGGGAUAUUUAAACUAAAAAAUUAUAAUCACCCAUUUCCCAUGUUUGAAAAAUAUUUCUCCUAAUAUGCACAAGCAAAUGAGCUAACUUAUUAUACAAUGUCCUAAAUGAAAUGCAAUUCUAAAUGACAUGAUUAGCACCUAUAGCGGGUAGGGGAUAAUAUAAUAGGGGAAUAUCAUACAAAUGAGAAAAGAUCCUAAAAAUGAAAAUAUGCAUGAGAAUGCAGUGAAUAACACACAAAGAUGAAUCUAGCGCAAGACGACCUAAAGGGUCUAGCGUUGGACUAACCCAUUUCUAAAAUCCUUACUAGCGUUGGACUAGCAAGUAAGCGGAGGGGAAAAGCCACAACUAGCAUUGGACUAGUGUGGUGACGUCGUGCAUUAACAAUUCAUAGUGAAACAAAUAAAGCAUAAAUUAAAACAAAUAAACACAUAAGAGCAUGUAGCACAUAACACAUAAGCAUAAUAUCUAUAUGCAAAAAAAAAAAUCCUAAGGAAAGUGGGUAAAACACGUAACACAUAAGCCACAUAAACACACAACCUAUCUAUUAUAUCGGGGAAUCUAACUACAAUCUAAAAUGGGAAAGGUAUGGUAAAAUAAAAUUAGUUAUCCUAUCUAUUACAUUUUUUUGAGGUAUUUAAAUGCCUCUCAAAUAAUUAUAAAAAAUUAACUAAACAAAUAUAAUAUAAGAAAAUUUAAAUGAACAUUUAAAUCCAAUAAAUAAAACAUAUAAAAAUAUAUAAACACAUAGGAACACAUAGGAGCACAUAAGAGUACGUAAUUGACAUUGAAAUAAUAAAAAUAGGGGUACCUCCCGUUCGAAGUGGUGACUAAAUGGAGUCAAAUUGUCCUAUUUAUACUCACAAUGAACAAAAGAAUCACGGCACCAAUUUAAUUGAAAAACAAUAAUAAUAAAAGUACUAAAUUCACACUAAUAUGUCAAAUAUCAAAUAUAAAGAAAUUUAAAACAUCUAAAAAUUACAAGUCGAAUAUGUUCAUAAGUAACAUAAUUAGUUAUUAAAGAAAAGAAACAAUCAUAACAAAGAGAGCCAAAAUUUGCCAAGGACUGAAUUGCAAAGAUUGAAAAACUUUUGGGGACGAAAAUUAUAAUUUUUCCAAAGUUCAGGGGUCAAAAUUAAAUAAAAGAUAAAAUUCAAAGACCAAAGUACAAUUAAUUUAAGGACCUAAGUGAAUCAAAUUUAAAAUGUUCUGCGCUGAAGUAAAAUUACCCCAAAGAUCAGGGGCCAAAGUGCAAAUCGUAAUCAGAUCUUCUUAAGAAAACAGGCCACUGGACCAUUAUUUUAUUUUCUUGGGCCGAACACUACCCAAGCCCAGUCGAAAGUCCAAGUCAAAACACAUAGGUCAGCCCUGUUUUCAUCACUCAAACCCAACCAAAAAAUGCAUGGGCUCUGACCUUUUAGCCCAACCGAAAACCCAAAAGAAAUAAACAGAGAUCCAUUUUCAAAACCCAACCAAAACUAACUCUUGGCCCAUCAGAAAAAAAAAACAUUAGCCCAAUUUCCUUUCUUUUCUUUUCUUUCUUCUUUUGUCUUUCUUUUCUUUCUUCCCCGUUCGUUUCUUCUUCUCCUCUGGCCAUCCGAAACUCACUCCAGUUGGCGGCCAUGGUGGUCGCCGGUGGCGCCACCGCCGCCACCGCCUCCGGCGGCGGUCGCCGGCGACUUCUCCGGUCAUCAAAAUUUUUCAAAAUAUAAUUCCCCACUCCAUUUUUCGCGUAGAUUUCAUUUCCGGAUUUAGUUUUUAUAAAAAAUGAGCCGAAAGUGGUCAAAAUGCCAAGAAAUCAGUUCAGUUUUUAUUUUUUUAAAACCCUCACAUCUUCACCAAAAAUCAUAAAAAUUAUACCAAAACCCUCCUGAUAACUUCUACAAUACAACUAUAAUCUUAGUUUGACAAGUAAACAACAACAAAAGAAUGCAUUAAAUCAAAACAGCCCCAAAAAUGAAGAAAAUUAUUCUAAUGCUUUUAAGGCUCAAAAACUCCCAAAAUUUUGGAUAACCAAGCAUUUUCAGAUCUUGGCUAGCUAAUGGUCUUCCAUUUAAGCAAAACAUACACGCCAAAUUCACUUCUUUGAUUCAUUUUUUCAUUUGGACAUUUUUUCAAACAUUUGGCAUGCAUUCACAGCACCGUUUCUUUUUUUCUAAUUUUGUUCAGUGACCCAUCCCAAAAUUUUAUCCAUACAACACCAACAAAAACCAGCAGAAAUAAGCAAUAAAAAGGGUAACCACACAUACAUUCAAUCUAGUUAAUUAAAAAAGAAAAGCUGGAAAAAAGGGAGAUAAAUACCUCAAUGAAGAGUUUGGUCCCUUUGCCAAGAUUUUUGAUGAAAUUGCCAAGCUCCAAUCCAACCGAUUGCUGCCUUGUUGUGUGCAAAUGUGUUGGAAAAAAUUUGGGAGAGAGGACAGCUGAGAGGGAGAGAGGAGUUUUUCUCUUUUUUUUUCUUCUUCUUUUCGGUCCAACCCAGAGAGAGAGCCGAGAGCCUCCCUUUUAUUUUUUGUGUGUUUUUUUUUUCUCUCCCCUUUUCUAGAGAGAGCCCAGAGGGACUUUGUAGCAAAAAAUGGGGCUUGUGUGCUGAUUUUGCCAAAAUGAUGAUUUCUCAACUAAUGAAAGGACAAGUCCAUGGCCAUUGAGUGUGAAAUGGGUUAAUAAUUAAUUUGGUUAAACAAAAUGAUCAAAAAUGAAUUUUUUUUUUAUUUUUUGGUUUUUGUUGUUUUUUUUUUCAUAAAGCAAACCUGCAAAAAUGAGAAAAUGCACAUUAAAAUGCAAGAAAAUAAAUAACUCAUUAAAUAGGAAAAACUUGAGAAAAUAUUAAAAAUUGACAAAAAUUUGGUGUCUACAGCUUGCCCCUCUUUGUCUAGAAUUUCAAAGAAACUCAAGACAAAGACGUAGACACCAAAUUGCUUACCUGCCUUUUUCUAGCUGUACCUGAGCUAAAAUAAACAAGCCAACACUUGGCUGAAAUUAUUGGACAAAAUCAUGCAAUAACAUUGCAGAAAAAAUGAUCGAACCGAUGUAGAGUUGCUUACGUAUCCCACCAUGGGAAUCAGGUCAAACGUAAUUCGAUUGCAAGUGAACCACAAUGAAACAAGUGCAUUGACCAACUGUGAUCUUUGCAAAGUCGAAAAAGUCUGAGCUCUUAGAGCUUCACAAAAUGAAUGAAAAAGCACAAUUAUUAAUCAAAACAGUCAAGAAAAGUAACUUGUCAUAACUAGAAAAAGAUGCGCGGAGGGACGCGGUUACGCUCCAAGAAGGGGGAUAGAAGGGUGCGCGGUGAACGCUGACACUCACCAACAAAAAAUUAAAUUUGUCUUUUAGAAAAAAAAAUGCGUGGAGGGACGCGAUUACGCUCCAACAGAAAAUUAAAUUGUCAAGAAGGGGAGAUAGAAGGGUGCACGGUGGACGCUGAGACUCACCAACAGAAAAUUAAAUUGAUGUGCGGAGGGACGCGAUUACGCUCCAACAGAAAAUUAAAUUGUCAAGAAUGUGAGAUAGAAAGGUGCGCAGUGAACGCUGAGACUCACCAAAAGGAAUUUAAAUUGUCGAGAAGGGGGGUAGAAGGAUGCGCGAUGGACGCUGAGACUCACCAACAGGAAAUUAAAUUGAUGCGCGGAGGGACGCGAUUACGCUCCGACAGAAAAUUAAAUUGUCAAGAAUGAGAGAUAGAAGGGUGCGUGGUGGACGCUGAGACUCACCAACAGGAAUUUAAAUUGUCAAAAAGGGAGAUAGAAGGGUGCGCGGUGGACGCUGAAACUCACCAACAGGAAAUUAAAUUGAUGCGCGGAGGGACGUGAUUACGCUCCAACAGAAAAUUAAAUUGUCAAGAAUGGGAGAUAGAAGGGUGCGUGGUGGACGCUGAGACAUACCAACAGAAAUUUAAAUUGUCAAGAAGGGAGAUAGAAGGGUGCGCGGUGGACGUUGAGACUCACCAACAGAUGCGUAGAGGGACGCGAUUACGCUCCAACAGAAAAUUAAAUUUGUCAGGACUGGGAGGUAGAAGGGUGCGCGGUGGACGUUGAGACUUACCAACAGGAAUUUAAAUUGUCAAGAAGGGAGAUAGAAGGGUGCGCGGUGGACGCUGAGACUCACCAACAGGAAAUUAAAUUGAUGCGCGGAGGGACGCGAUGACGCUGAGACUCACCAACAGGAAAUGGACGCGAUUACGCUCCAACAGAAAAUUAAAUUGUCAAGAAUGGGAGAUAGAAGGGUGCGCGGUGGACGCUGAGACUCACAAACAGGAAAUUAAAUUGAUGUGCGGAGGGACGCGAUUACGCUCCAACAGAAAAAUAAUUUAUCAAGAAUGGGAGAUAGAAGGGUACGCGGUGGACGCUGAGACUCACCAACAAGAAAUUAAAUUUUUCAAGAAGAAGAGGUAGAAGGGUGCGCGGUGGACGCUGAGACUCACCAACAGGAAUUUAAAUUUGAUCUUCUGACUUUUUUUGAUUUUUUUUUAAUUGAAUUUUUUUUUGAUUUUUUUUGAUUUUUUUUUUGAAAUAACAGAUUGGUGGGAUAGACCCGGGUCCAAUGAAAUACUGAAAGAAAUGAAAACGCAAGUCCAAUACUAUCAAACUGAAAGAUUAAAAUGCAUGUUGCUCAAGUUGGUGGAUUUGCAAUCUUUUUUUUUUUCAAACUUUAGAAGGAAUGAAAGAAACACACUUUUUUUUUUUUGAAAAAAAUCAAAAGUGACGAAUUUUAAAACUUGAAGAAUACCAAUAACAACUCUCCCUUCAAGAGAUUUGAAAGGUACAUACAUAUGUCACUAUCUUCUCGACUUUAAAAAAACUCUCUUUUUUUCACAAAGCCGAUUUAGAAUGUAUUACCAAAAUUGGAGCUCACUCCUUUUGAUAUUUGUCCCAGUGCAAAUCAUGUUUAAUGAAUGCCACAUUUUUCAUGCUUUUGAAAAAGCAAAAAGAGUGAUCAUAUGAUACCAAUACCAUGUGAUUCCUUGUGCUCCUUUUGGCCCUGAGAACCAUGCAAGCAUGAUCUUUCGAUGUCAAAAUUGCUCCUCAAGAGUUGUGCUGCAACUUGUUUUGAAUCUUCUCAAUUUUCCAGCAUCAGUUAGCCAUACCUCACUUUGUACCACAAAUCAACUUUUCUAAUGACCAGAUUUGAAUGAAUGGCCAGUAUCUCAAGUGUCAGCAACCCGCUUUUCGUUCAUGAUUCUCUUGUGCUCCAAAAUCUCACCUUGAUGACCUUAACCUUUCGGAUUUCACAAAGGUCACACCUUUUUAUUUUAUUUUGUUUUCAUUUUCUUCUAUUUUUUCUUUUUCAUCCUUCUCUUUUUUUUUUCAAUCCCUUUUUUUUUUUUUUUCAUUCUUUUGAAGACACCCUUUCAGGUUUUCACCUAAUGAACAAAUCUUGUUAACGACCUUUAUCAACUCAGAAAUGUAUUUAAAGAAAGGAUGGCAUCAGCGCGACAACCGUUCCCAUGUAAAAAUGGUGAAGGUGUAUUGACAUCAAUUGCCAUUUGAUUAAGUGAUUUUUAUUAGAAAUACCACUAAAGCGGAAGUCGAGACUUUAUGAUUUUUAUGAUGGGGUCAUGUGGGGUGUAGAAAAAGUGUUAAGGCUUCAAAGCAAAAUCUUCAAAGAGGCUUCAAAAACCCUAAGACCGCAUUCUAUCAAUAUUUGCCCCAGUAUGAAGGUAUUAAAACCGAAAAAAUUGCCCCAAUUUGGCUUUUGACUUCUUUUUUUCUUUUUUUAUGACAAAUAGGAGAUAAAAAUUUACCCAGUAUGGGGUUUGCAAUCUUUAGGAGGGCUAUCAAAUGAAAGGUUAAAUUAUUCUGGAGGUUCAAUGGGGAAAACUAGGAAUAAGAUGUUCAAAGAGAAAAGAAGAAAGCUUGCCUUUGAUCCGCCAUAGAUGGUAUUUCAAAAAGAAAAAUCACAUAAUCAGAUAAAGAAUUUAUUACACAUGUCUGAAUUGAUUGGCAGAGGAAAGACCUGUCCAUCCAGUUCUGUAAGAAUGGACGUUCCUCCGGAUAGCACUCUUUGAACAAUAAAUGGCCCUUGCCAAGUUGGAACAAACUUUUCUUUAACCUCCUCUUGAAUCGGAAGAAUUUACUUCAAAACCUUAUCUCUCACUUCAAAUAAGCGAGAUUUGUCUUUCUUGUCAUAACUAACAAACCAUCCUUUGGUGAUAGCAUUGUCCAUGACAGGUAAUAUUCAACCUCUUUUUCAUCCAUUGGAGACAUCAACUCAUUAUGCUUCUUGAUCCAUUUGAUUUCUUCUACUUGAGCCUUCGUCCCAAUGCGCAAGGACGGGAUCUCGGUUUUGGCAUGUAUUACCACUUCCAUUUCGAAACAUAAGAGGGUAAGAUGUUGCCCCAACUUAGAAAUGUAAUCUCCAAUGAAAUGCUCCCAGAGUUCAAUUGCAAAAUUUGCAAAAUCGAAGGAAAAACUCUCUUUUUCUUUUUCUUUUUUUUUCAAUCCCUUUUUUCUUUUCUCUCUUUUUUUUGUUUUUGUUUUUAUUUUUUCCUCCUUUUUGUAUUUUAUUCCCCCUUUUUCUUUUCUUUUUUUAAUUAUUUUUUUUUUCAUUUUUUCUCAGUCCCCCUUUUUCUUUUUUUUAUUCCCCUUUUUCUUUUUUUUUCAUUCCCCUUUUUCUUUUCUUUUUUCUUCAUUUCAUUCUUUUUUUCAUUCCCUUUUUUUCUUUUCUUUUUCUAUUUUUUCUUUUCUCUUUUUUCUUUCAAAUUGGCUGCCGAAUUAUGUACUCCUUUUGCAAAAAUAGCCGAUCCUCCACUUUGCAAGAUAGUAUUACCGCCCCCUUUUAUUCAUGAUUGCUCUCCAAAUUUACAAGACUUUCACUUGCGUCCUUUCCUCGAUCUUAACCAUAAACACCUGCACAAAGGGGGGAUUUUUCGAAACAAUUGAAUUUUCAGAAUUCUUUUUUUCUCUUCUUGUUUUUUUUUCUCUCUUUUUUUUUGAGCAAUGAUAUAACAAUUAAGAUUCAUGCAAAGUGUUGACUUAUCAAGAUUUGAAAAAUAUAUACUUGACUUUGGACAUAUCCUACAAAUGUGUUAUAAAAUUUUGCCUCAGUUGGAACUUAUUUAAUGAAGUCUCACAAAUAUAUUACAAAAAAUUUGCCCCAAUUUGGGCUUAUUUUAGUUGCAAAAUAAUCACAUACAAUGUGAAUAGAAACUACAUUUUUCAAAUGAAGAAUUCAAAUGUCAUAUCCGAACUCAUCUAGAAGAUUUCAUGAUAAAUCUCUCAAAAUAAGACCAAUUUGCAAAAAAAAUCUCUUCCUUAUUUUGGGAUCGGUGCUGAGGAAAAAGGGUCCCUUUCUUGUUAGCUCAUCUUUUAGGAUCAAUCAAAUGGGUAUUACUCUUGAUUUUGAGGUGACUCAGGGAGAUGGUAUGCCAGGAUCUGUCUCUUUUUUUUUUUUUUAUGCCCAAAUUGUAUCUAACACAUUCAAUAUCACAUUUUGGUGAAAGCAAAUAGUUUAUCACUCUUAUUUCUUGAGAAAACUCAGUCAACAUAUAAGCUAUAUAUGCUUGUAAUAUAUGGGUAGAAACGAUAGUUAAACGUAUGAAAACAGGUUAUGGCCUUCUGAUCAUGAGUGAUUGGUGGAUCCCUUAGAGGCAAGAUUUUCACUUCAAAUUGUCAUGAAAGACAAGUCAGCAAUGGACUUUAUGAGCUUGUAAUGUAGUUUAACAACGAUAGUUAGAAAAAAAACUUUCAAGGACAAUGCACUUAAAAUCGCAUUUCUUCCAAAAAAUUGCCACAGUUUUGGGCUUAACAUCCGGAAUCCCAUUUUGACUCCCUUUUUCUUAUCAAUCUUCUUUUUUCUUCAACAAUGACUAAGGGGAAUGCAGCAUUGGAUGACUUCGCAUUUUUCUUUUUUUUUUUUCUUUCAUCAUUUUUCAUUUUUUCACAUUUUUCUUUUCUCUCUUUUUUUUUUUACCAAUACUAAUAUCCCAAUGUCAAUGACAAAAUUGAAAACUCCCUAAUUUGGAGUGUAGAUGGCCCCUCUUUCUUUUUGAUAUCGAAGACCAAAUAUCAAUGGUAGAGUCAAAUUCCCCAACUUGUAGCAUUUUCUCCCUUUUUCUUCUUUUUUUUUUUAAAUCUCUUUCCCCAAUAUGAGGGUGCAAUUAUAAGUGCUUUUGAAAUGAACCACCAAUUUAGGAUCAAAUGAGGAUGCAAUGGAUAAAGUAUUUAGAUGGUAGAAACGAUGGCCAAAGCAUCAUUCUUAUUUCUCAUGACAACCAAAGUAAAGAAUAACCCGUUGGGAAAAUCCGUCUCCAUUUGACUUUCGAAAAUUUUUCCAUGGAGGGUCAUGAUCAUUGAGACUUUUAUUUGAAACGAAAUUCUAUUUUUAAAGGCUCAAAUGGGAAAACAAAUGAUAGAAUCUGUAUAGAUAGAGAAACAAAAGCCUAAAGUAUCAUUCCAAAUUUUCAAAACAAAUAAAAAGUAAUGUACAUUUUUGCUUUCACUCAGAUGUGGAUUGAAUCUGGUUAGACACACCGGAUAUUUUCACGAAAAAAAAUUAUCUCACUUUGAAGCUAGUCAGCCAAUGCGACUGAUCUUGGAGGUUCAAUAGAAGUGGACAAAAAAAAUGAAAAUGAAAAGUGUUGGGGUUGAUCUUUUAUGACAAGCUAUCAAAUUUGAAUGACCUCUUUUAUUUUCGACUACUCUAAUUGAGUAGUUUAUACCACAAAUCUAGUGUAUGCAAAGAAUUUUGGGGAUUGGACAUAAGUCAUGAAUUUUUGAACAAGAGGUCGAAAAUUUACAAUUUAGCCUUAUUUCUUAAAAUCUAUCAUGAAAUCUCCCAAUGAGUAAAUAAAGAAUGAAUAUAUACAAAACAAUAAUUGUCUAAAUAAAAACUUUAUUAUUCAAAUGUUUGAAAAAAUUUUUCUCAAAUAUAAUACAUGUGAGAAAAUAAAAAUCUUUAAAAAAUACACUUUCAAAUAUAUAUACACUUUCUCUUUCUAUCUGUUGAGACAAAAUGUAUUAGAAACAAUGAAUCAAAAGAUUUUUGAGAUGCUUUAGAUUGGCAUUUUCAGAUGGAAUUUUUCAUUCAUCAUUAAAUUUUUUUUUGUAGGAUCUGUCCAAAAUCAAGUAACACUUGUAAUUUUCAAAAUUUAUCAGAUCAAAAAUAUUAUCAGAUAUAGGAAAAAUAUUUUUACCUUAUUAAAACAACUUUUAUAAAUGUAGGGAAGGGGGAAAAUUAAAAGGAAAAAAAAAUCAGAGUUAGUAAUCAAAACUGUAAAAUUGGUAUGCAUGUCCUAUGGGAGAGCCCUUUUAUGCCAAGGGUUGGUCUAACAUGAAAAAUGCAAUCCUCUGGGGUAGGCACCAUACAAUACCUGAUGGAUCCGAUCGACUUAUUGAGAUUCAAUUGAAGAGCAUUUGAAAUUGGACUAAAUGGAUCUCUUUUUUCGGAAAUGAUAGAUAACUAACAAAAUGAGGACAAAGUUCGAAUGUAUUGAUUAUUUUGAUUGACACAUAAAGUGAUAUUAAAAAUCAAUUUAGUGUGAAAAACUUAUUUUUGAAAGGAUUGAAAUGUCUCGACUAAUUUCUUCGAUGAACCAUAGAUCGAAACUUUAAAAGAGAAUAAAUGGGUUAAAUGAAUCAAAUGAAAUUGAUGGUUAGUUCAAAAAUUGAUUGGAUUAUCCUAAAAGUGAAUAAAACUGGUCAAAUGGAUCGAAUGAAAUUGAUGAUUUAUAAAAAAAUUGAUUGAAUUGUCCUAAAAAGAAUAACGAAUUGGGUGGAAUUGAUGAUUUAUUCAAAAUUGACUGAAUUAUCCUAAAAGUAAAUGAACGGAUCAAAUGGAUUGAAUGAAAUUGAGGAUUUAUUCAAAAAUUGGUUGGAUUGUCCUAAAAAAUGAAUAAACUAGUAAAAUUGAUUAGAUGAAACUGACGAUUUAUUCAAAAUUGACUGAAUUAUCCUAAAAGUGAAUGAAUAGAUCAAAUGGAUUGAAUGAAAUUGAGGAUUUAUUCAAAAAUUGGCUGGACCACCCUAAAAAGGGGUAAAUUGGUCAAAUGAAUUGAAUGCAAUUAAUGAUUUAUUUCAAAAUUGACUAGAUCACCUUAAAAAUAAGUAAACUGAUCCAAUGAAUUGAAUGAAAUUUAAUUUAUUCAAAAUUGAUUGAAUCACCCUAAAAAGGGGUAAAUUGGUCAAAUAAAAGAAAAUGACGAUUUAUUCAAAAUUGACCAAAUUGUCCUAAAAAUGAAUGAAUUGACCAAAUAGAUUGGAUGAAUUUGAUGGAUAAUUUGAUUAAAUGAAUUGAAUGAGUUUAUUGAAUUGGCUACCUAUUGGUAGUUUCAAAAAAAUUCAUUGCGAUGCAUCAGUUUAUGAGCCUUCUAAAAUCAAGAUUUGGCCUCAAUUAUAUUUAUCGUCUUAACAAUAUGAAAUUUUUUGUGAAUUUUUUCAAAUUAAUAUCUUUUGCGCAAAGGAAUUUUAUCAAAUAUGUUAAAAUGGCCAAAAGAUGAUUGUCAGAUGCUCAUAUUCUAAUGCGUAAAAACUGUUCCAUCAUUCUCAAUGUCGUCACACGAAAAUGAUCGAAUCCUACCUUAUCUUGUGCACUACCCCUUUGGAUGGUACAAAAAAUAUAAAUGUGCAAGUCUCAUUGGAUUACAUAUCCGAGACACAAGGCAGCUUAUUCCUAACGCGGGAUCCCCUAUGCGGCAUUCCCUCUAAAGUUGAUGUAUGAUGCCAGUUUAUUAAAGUGGUUAAAUAUGCAAUGAAAUAAUUGACAUAUGAUCUAAAAGUGCCCCAUUUAAAUGCCGGGGUAGGUCUAAAAUGAAAUGUAUUCAUGCUACAAAUGCGAAGUAUUGAAUUUAAACAUGUCACAUCAAAUAGGGUAGGCUCCUAGAGAGUACCAUGCCGGGACUCUUAUUUUCUAGGGCUUAUGAAUGCAAUGGAGACAAAAACUAAGAAAAAUUAGUUCAAUCAGACAAAUACACAUAAUAUAUUGUAGCAAAGCAAUACAAAGAGAAAGUAAUAAAAGGAAAAUAGGGGUUGGAUCCCUCCCCUCGUGAAUAGUGUCCCUAAUAGGGUAAGGCGAACUCUACCUUAGGUAAACUAUCAUGGAUGCAUGAGGUAUCGGCUCACUAAUACAUCUAGACUCGAUAGGUUUUAGGUCCCCGAGCCUUCAGACUUAGAAAUCAAAGGUCAUCAAUCCCAAGGUUCGUUGUCGGUGGCUCGAGCGAUUCCCCAAACACCGCUAUGUACACAUCGUGUCACGGCUACGUGUUUGAGCGAAUCUAUCAAAAAUCCUCAACUUUCGAUUAAAAACUAAAGGCAAUCAACCCAAAGCUUAAAAUGGAAGAUUGAGUGACCCCUCGGAUCAUGCUACGCACACAUCGUGUCGCAAUCACACGUCCAAGUGGGUCGCCUAAUCCUAAUAGGGAAGAGUGGCGUGACAAGCCACUAAAAGAAAAAUAAAUGAGGGAUAAAAAAUAAAGCGUAUGCACGUAUGCUAGUGCUCGUUUGGAGGGGAGGGAUCGAAAACCAACGCGAGACUCUAGGGAAAUAUCCCCCCACCCAAAUGCAAUGCUAGGCGCGAGAUCACAUCACAUAAAUAAACAAUCCAUCCAUCACAUCAAUCGUACGCAUAUAGGUGAGGGAAUGAGUUGAUAUGCGCGAAAUGCCAAAAAACCUAAAAAGAAAAAUACAAUCUAAAACAUCCAAAUAUGAUAAAUAAAAGGGUUAAAAAGAGAAAAAACAACUAAACCAAGUGCUCGGACUCUCUAGCGGUCCCCAGUGGAGUCGCCAAGUUGUCGCGCCCCAUUUUUCGCUAUGGAAAAAUAAAGAUAAAAGGAGUUUAUAAAAAGAUGUGAUUUAUUAAUAAUAAAUGAAAAAGAACCUAGAAUGGGACUUAAAAAAAUACGACAAUUUGGGUCCAAAAUUUAGUUCAAAAGGGUUUUUAAGGAAAAUAGGAGUCGCCACUUGGUAUGGAGUUUUGGUGUACCAAGUCACCCAAAAAAUAAAGUAAAAUAAAAUAAAACCCUUUUGACAACUCCAGGUCUUUGAAAAAAAAAAACAGAGAAAAUGGGUUUGGGGGUCAUGAUUGAAGAAAGGGAAGGCAAAGGUUUGAUUAAAUCAAACCUAAGGCACCCAUUCAACCUAAUCUAAGUUACUUGCGAGGUUUAGUCAAAAUUUUCCUAAUCUAACCCUUAAUUUUAUCACAUUUGGAUGUUUCCUACAUGGAUGCAAUCUAAAUUUAUAAAAAUAUCGAAAGGGACAAAAUGUUCAUUCAAGGGUUUAAUUGAACCAAUUGCAUUAAUUGCAAAUGCCAAAAUAAUUCCUUGAAGGUGCCACGAGUAUGCAAAUGAUGAAAUUAAAAGAAAAGAAAUUAAAUUAAAUUAUAUACAUAAAUAUAAGUGAUCGAAAAAAAAGGAAUGCAACAUAAAAGAUACGGGAGGCAAAAACUCGUAACAUGAUUUUCUUAUACAGGGAUUAAGGGUAUAUUUAAACUAAAAAGUUAUAAUCACCCAUUUCCCAUGUUUGAAAAAUAAUUCUCCUAAUAUGCACAAGCAAAUGAGCUAACUUAUUAUACAAUGUCCUAAAUGAAAUGCAAUUCUAAAUGACAUGAUUAGCACCUAUAGCGGGUAGGGGAUAAUAUAAUAGGGAAUAUCAUACAAAUGAGAAAAGAUCUUAAAAAUGAAAAUAUGCAUGAGAAUGUAGUGAAUAACACACAAAGAUGAAUCUAGCGCAAGACGACCUAAAGGGUCUAACGUUGGACUAGCCCAUUUCUAAAAAUCCUUACUAGCGUUGGACUAGCAAGUAAGCGGAGGGGAAAAGCCACAACUAGCAUUGGACUAGUGUGGUGACUUCGUGCAUUAACAAUUCAUAGUGAAACAAAUAAAGCAUAAAUUAAAACAAAUAAACACAUAAGAGCAUGUAGCACGUAACACAUAAGCAUAAUAUCUAUAUGCAAAAAAAAAAAAUCCUAAGGAAAGCGGGUAAAACACGUAACACAUACGUCACAUAAACACACAACCUAUCUAUUACAUCGGGGAAUCUAAUUACAAUCUAAAAUGGGAAAGAUAUGGUAAAAUAAAAUUAGUUAUCCUAUCUAUUAUAUUUUUUUGAGGUAUUUAAAUGCCUCUCAAAUAAUUAUAAAAAAUUAACUAAACAAAUAUAAUAUAAGAAAAUUUAAAUGAACAUUUAAAUCCAAUAAAUAAAACAUAUAAAAAUAUAUAAACACAUAGGAACACAUAGGAGCACAUAAGAGUACGUAAUUGACAUUGAAAUAAUAAAAAUAGGGGUACCUCCCGUUCGAAGUGGUGACUAAAUGGAGUCAAAUUGUCCUAUUUAUACUCACAAUGAACAAAAGAAUCAUGGCACCAAUUUAAUUGAAAAACAAUAAUAAUAAAAGUACUAAAUUCACACUAAUAUGUCAAAUAUAAAGAAAUUUAAAACAUCUUAAAAUUACAAGUCGAAUAUGUUCAUAAGUAACAUAAUUAGUUAUUAAAGAAAAGAAACAAUCAUAACAAAGAGAGCCAAAAUUUGCCAAGGACUGAAUUGCAAAGAUUGAAAAACUUUUGGGGACAAAAAUUAUAAUUUUUCCAAAGUUCAGGGAUUAAAAUUAAAUAAAAGAUAAAAUUCAGGGACCAAAGUACAAUUAAUUUAAGGACCUAAGUGAAUCAAAUUUAAAAUGUUCUGGGCUGAAAUAAAAUUACUCCAAAGAUUGGGGGCCAAAGUGCAAAUCGUAAUCAGAUCUUUUUAAGAAAACAGGCCACUGGACCAUUAUUUUAUUUUCUUGGGCCGAACACUACCUAAGCCCAAUCGAAAGUCCAAGUCAAAACACACAGGUCAGCCCUAUUUUCAUCAUUCAAACCCAACCAAAAAAUGCAUGGGCUCUGACCUUUUAGCCCAACCGAAAACCCAAAAGAAAUAAACAAAGAUCCAUUUUCAAAACCCAACCAAAACUAACUCUUGGCCCAUCAGAAAAAGAAAACAUUAGCCCAAUUUCCUUACUUUUCUUUUCUUUCUUCUUUUUUCUUUCUUUUCUUUCUUCCCCAUUCGUUUCUUCUUCACCUCUGGCCAUCCGAAGCUCACUCCAGUUGGCGGCCAUGGUGGCCGCCGGUGGCGCCACCGCCCCUGGCGGCGGUCGCCGGCGACUUCUCCGGUCGCCAAAAUUUCUCAAAAUACACAUCCCCACUCCAUUUUUCGCGUAGAUUCCAUUUCCGAAUUUAGUUUUUACAAAAAAUGAGCCGAAAGUGGUCAAAAUGCCAAGAAAUCAGUUCAAUUUUUAUUUUUUUUAAAACCCUCACAUCUUCGCCAAAAAUCAUAAAAAUUAUGCCAAAACCCUCCUGAUAACUUCUACAAUACAACUAUAAUCCUAGUUUGACAAGUAAACAACAACAAAAUGAUGCAUUAAAUCAAAACACCCCCAAAAAUGAAGAAAAUUAUUCUAAUGCUUUUAAGGCUCAAAAACUCCCAAAAUUUUGGAUAACCAAGCAUUUUCAUAUCUUUGCUAGCUAAUGGUCUUCCAUUUAAGCAAAACAUACACGCCAAAUUCACUUCUUUGAUUCAUUUUUUCAUUUAGACAUUUUUUCAAACAUUUGGCAUGCAUUCACAGCACCGUUUCUUUUUUUUUUUCUAAUUUUGUUCAGUGACUCAUCCCAAAAUUUCAUCCAUACAACACCAACAAAAACCAGCAGAAAUAAGCAAUAAAAAGGGUAACCACACAUACAUUCAAUCUAGUUAAUUAAAAAAGAAAAGCUGGAAAAAAGGGAGAUAAAUACCUCAAUGAAGAGUUUGGUCCCUUUGCCAAGAUUUUUGAUGAAAUUGCCAAGCUCCAAUCCAACCGAUUGCUACCUUGUUGUGUGCAAAUGUGUUGGAAAAAAUUUGGGAGAGAGGAGAGCCGAGAGGGAGAGAGGAGUUUUUCUCUUUUUUUUUUUCUUCUUUUUUUCGGUCCAACCCAGAGAGAGAGCCGAGAGCCUCCCUUUUAUUUUUUGUGUGUUUUUUUUUUCUCUCCCCUUUUCCAGAGAGAGCUCAGAGGGACUUGUAGCCAAAAAUGGGGCUUGUGUGCUGAUUUUGCCAAAAUGAUGAUUUCUCAACUAAUGAAAGGACAAGUCCAUGGCCAUUGAGUGUGAAAUGGGUUAAUAAUUAAUUUGGUGAAACAAAAUGAUCAAAAAUGAAUUUUUUUUAUUUUUUGAUUUUUUUGGUUUUUGUUGUUUUGUUUUUUUUUUUCAUAAAGCAAACCUGCAAAAAUGAGAAAAUGCACAUUAAAAUGCAAGAAAAUAAAUAACUCAUUAAAUAGAAAAAACUUGAGAAAAUAUUAAAAAUUGACAAAAAUUUGGUGUCUACAAUAAUAUUGGGAAUAUUAUUAAUACUUGAAAUUACAAUAAAAACACUAAUAUUUAAAGAAUAAAUAAUACUGAAACUUCUAACUUGAUUCUUAUAAACAAUGGAAACAACAAUAAUAUUAUAAUAUUGAAAAUAUUAUUAAUACUUGAAAUUACAAUGAAAAUGCCAAUAAUUAAAGAAUAAAUAGUACAGAAACUUCUAACUUGAUUCUUAUAAACAAUAGAAACAGCAAUAAUAGUAUAAUAUUGGGAAUAUUAUUAAUAAUUGUGAUUACAAUGAAAAUGCCAAUAUUUACAGAAUAAAUAGUAUCGAAACUUCUAACUUAAUUGUUAUAAACAAUGGAAACUACAAUAAUAUUAUAAUAUUAGGAAUAUUAUUAAUAAUUGAAAUUACAAUGAAAAUAUCAAUAUUUAAAGAAUAAAUAGUACUGAAACUUCUAAUUUGAUACAUAAGAUUACUGUCCAUAAGAUUACAUCUAGGAAGUAUGUUAAUUUUUAGGUGCUAUAGUCUCAUAUGUUCUUGUAAACAAUUUUUGGCAAGAAUUCAUGGGCUAGUGUUAAAAAUUCUUAAGAUAUGUUUUUUUUCAGGUGAUUCUGUCAAACAGUAUCCUCUGAGUUUGACAGUCUUAUAAAUUUUUGAAUCUCUGAAAAUGGAUAUCAUUCAAAGCACCAAACGUCUUUUAUACUUCUUAUGCUCAACCAUCUCAUUCUCAUGAGCUUAUAUGUCGAUGGCACCUUUCAUAAAUAUUAGUAUGUGAUUUUGCACAAAGUUUAAUUUGAAAGAAUAAUCAAUUAUGAAUUUUGAAGGUUUGUUUUCUUAGGUUUUAGCUCCCACAUUUUUUUACAGAUAUAAUGAGUCAAACUUUUUUGUAAAUCCUUGCAAAAAGAAAAUUCCUAUGACAAGUGUUCUCAAUGUUGACGCUGACUUCCUGUCAUCAUGAUUGCAUAACUAAAUUUUGUAAUGAGUAAGCAAUACUCUUUUGAUAGCUCAUAUACCUACUUAAUUAUGUUCAAAACGUCUUGAACAAUUUUGUAAUAAUCAUGUUGUUCAAUACUAUGCUAACUUGUAAUAUGCUGAACCUUAAGUAGAACACUUUUGCAACACUAUCUUCUUUUGGAGGUCUAUUGAUUGAAAGUAUGUGCAAAUGUAAAGGGGCUUGCUGGAUGGUACUGGUAGGCUUUUUGAAGACUGAGGUGUUGGCAUAAUCUAAAUUGUCUAAGUACUUUCCUCACCUCUAACCUCUAAACUUGACCACCCAAAAUAACUGAGUUCUUUAGAUACUUUAUGAUAAAUCUAAAUUUUCUAAAUAUUAUAAUGUGUAGGCUAUGGCAUGGAAGCAUGGCAGAUAUAUGACCCAGCCACGGAUUUUUAUCUAUCUACCUACCCAAUUAUUGUGUAAUCUAUUUUUAACUUAAUGUUUUACGAAUUCCAUCAAUUGGAUUCCAGGUUAUUUUAGUCAAUCCUUAAGUUAAACAUUACCUCAAUUUAACUGGAAAGGCAAAAUUUUUUGUUGUUUCUUGGGAUCCUCUAGUUUAUGCAGAUGCAUGUGAAAUAGAGGUAAAAUUGUUACUCAUUGUCGUCUCAGUUUGGGGUGUUCUUGACGUCACCUUUUACCUUUCCGUUUGUAAUCCAAAAUUUUUAACGCACAAAAUCCUUUGUGCGUAGAAAUAAUACAUUUCUUUUGAGUAUUAUUACAUAUAAUUAUAAUUUCCUUUAUAAUGUAUUGUAUACACACAAUUGUAUUAUACAUCUAGGUUUUAUCAAUAAGAUGCCAUCUAGUUUAUACUGCGGAUCGCACUUCUACUUUAUACUACUGGGAAUUGGAACCUCCAUUAAAGGUCCUUGCCCCGCAUUAAAUUGCAAGGCUCAUGACUCUUCUUGGCUAAACCAAAGUCUGCCAUCAUAUUCUCUCUCAACCUUCAUUCUCCCAUUUGGCAUUUGCCCGCCAAUUCCCUACUUCAUCUCCUUUCUUUCCGUUAUGCCCACUAUUCAUAAAACAGUCACGGGACUAUUUCAUAAAAGAGACAUUUCAUGAAAAAAUAUUUUUUCUUUAAUCCAAGCUAUGACCAUGUUCCGGGACUAAUCUGACUAAUUACUAAUACAAUGAGAACUAUAUGUCUAAAUGUCUAAGCCCACAUAAAAGCCACAGUACCAUACUUUGUUGAUUCAACAAGCAAGGAUUAGUAACAUGUGAAGAAGGAGAAUAUUUAAAGAAUGAAUAGUACCGAAACUUCUAAUUUGAUUCUUAUAAACAAUAGAAACAACAAUAAUAUUAUAAUAGUGGGAAUAUUAUUAAUAAUUGAAAAUACAAUGAAAAUGCCAAUAUUUAAAGAAUAAAUAGCACCGAAACUUCAAAUUCGAUGGGCGAGAUGUUUGAAUCGGUGUAGUCGAGAUUUUAUCCAUCAUAGUUGAUGUGAGAUUUCUCUUUCGUCGAUGUAAAGUUGUUGGAACUUUUCCAAUUCUUGUGCGGGAUCGUUGUGGCGUACGUUUCGUUUUGUUAGCAAACGUUUUCUCCUUUACAAUCUUGCGAGUUUGAAAUUGAGGCGUUGUUGACCUGCCUGUAAACGGCCAUGUUCCAUUAUGAAAUUAAUUUGAGAGCUACUAACAAUACCAGUAUAAAGUGGAAAAAGUACUUCCAAGGUUGUAAUCUUAUUAUGGCAUUGACAGAGUAGAAAGGACAAUAUAUGGCAUUGGAAGAGUAGGAACGAUAAUAUAUGGCUUUGGCAAAUUCACAAAUUCUUGAUUGGAAGGGUUUCAAUUGUAGUGGAAAGGUCUGUGUGGAGUGAAAUUUAACUGGAGGGCUAAUAAGGAUACCAACAGCAAGUGGAAAGAGAUCUUGUGCAAUCUUAUCAUGGAAUUGGAAGAGUUUUAAUGUAAGUGAAAUUCUUGAUUAGAAGAAUUUUAAUUGCAAUCUUAUCAUGGAAUUGGAAGAGUUUUAAUUGUAAUGGAAAGGUGUGUGAGGAGUGUAAGUUGGAGUAAGGUGCGUAAAGAGUGUUAGUUGGAGUUAACUUCUUGUUUGAGGGAAACAUAGGGGUGUAAUGUGCCCAUGAUGUUUUUUGUGCAAUAAAUUAAAUGUAAAAUGCUAGAAAAAUAGAGUUGAGAGUGGGAAGGUUUGUGAAGGAUUGUUGCUAAAAAUCCCUUCUCUAUCUACCUACCCAAUUAUUAUGUAAUCUACUUUUAGUUUAAUGUUUUAUGAACUCCAUCAAUUGGACUCCAUGUGACGCCCCCACAUCUCCCUAAGGCGAACCAAAGAGUAUCCGCGGGACGCCUGCCCAACUCUCGUCAGGACUCAGGCAAUUUCUGUUCAAGUUUAAUGUAGUACUAGACAUCACAACCAUAUAAUGAAAGGCAAUUGAUGCGGAAGCUUUCAAUCUUAACAAUAUUUAACAAUUAUCCAACCCUUGUAUCGGGUUUCUAGAAUACAUCUUAAACCCCAAAAUAACAACAACCACAAUGCCUAGUCAAAUACAUCAAAAUUCCAUUACAAAAUACAUCAAAAGGGGAUUUCCUUCGAGUCUCAUUCCAAACUCAUUCCCGUUAAGAAAAACAAAUCUACAGGAUGAGCAAAACACUCGUGAGACCAAGAACACACAUGCAAGUGCAUAUUCCAAGUGACAAGCUCAGGUAACAAGUCAAAUGAGAAUAUACAUGAAAUUCACAAUUCUAGUGAAAUAUAAACAGAAACAAUUCAAGGAUAUGGUAGCUCUUAGGAGUUAAGUUCCACUUGCUUUGUCGAUAUCGUUUGUAUACCUUCCCAUGAUGACACUCCGUCAACCGGGUGGGUAUUUUCAUUCCGUAAAUCACCACUUACUUCCAUCCGUCCACCGUACACCACACCGAACCCGCAAGAUAUUUAUAAGGCGUGAUACUUCACGAGUAUGCCAAGCAAGAGCUCUCAUUAGGUCGAGCUUAUUUUAGUCUCAUGGCUCACCAAGGUUCCCGACCAAACCCAUGCUGGAUCGAGUCCAAGGUCGGCCUAUGAGUUUGGGCGUCCCCCAUGUAUUUGUGUGUCGAGGAGAUUCACUCCAACGACGUAUGCAGCCAUAGCAUACUGUUUCAUGUUAAGCAAGCAUUUGAUACAUUCUAGUACCCAUGUCAUAUCCAGCAAGUCAUUCAUUACAUGUCAAGCAAGUCAUUCACGAAUUAUUAGUUUCGAAUGAGAACGAGUGCGAUAAAGUACACACCCGACUCCAUUUUCAAAACUUACAUCAUUGGUAACAAGUAGACAUGUAUCAAGUUCACAGGAGUUCAAGUAAACAUGUACUUGACACUCACCAAGUAAAACAAGAAGAAAUGUCACUCGAAGUUCAAGCGUCCACCGGGGUAUCCUCUUAAAGUUCCUUUUGUGUGCCUGAGCAAUUAAUAAUGGACAAUUAUUGAUAAAUCCCUAUCGAUGAGGAAGGUCGUAUACUAGUACAAUUUAGAAAAUAUCUCGAAAAUUGGACCUAGGUUUCCUUGAAUACCGAUGCUCAAAAGGGGUUUUAAAACUCAAGUAAAAACGGACCGUUAUCCUUAAAAUCAUUGGAUGGGAACGAGUACGAGUAAAUUAAUUUCAAAACGAACGACCGAAGUCGGAACAGGGCAGACCACGUCACAAUCCGGCCGUAUUCCUAGCCGGAUUGGAGGCAAUGACCAAACUCCUUUUUUUUUUUCAAAUCCCAACACAAAUCCAGCCAACUAUCUGGCCAAGAAUUGGCCGGAUUCAAGGCCGAAUUUUGGUGAACAGUUUCCCGCGCGGAUUUCUUUUCAAAAGGCCAAGAAUUUUCAAUUUUUGGGUAUUUUUUGAAAAAUCAUAACUCACUCCCUGAUUGUCCAAAAUUUAAAAAUUUAAUACCGUUGGAACCAUCUUUUAAAGUUCUAAAAGUUUCUAGCAGACACAUUUCCAUGAAUCCAAGUGGAAGGCAUUCAAAUUUUGAUUUGAAGUUGAUAACUUAAGUUAUCAAGACAGAUUUAAGUUGAUUUUUGGCCAACUUUGAAAAUUCGGCAAAAUUUGCUCAAUUUGAACUAGCAUUUGAAAUUUGGAACUCUAUUAGAGUUACAAUCCAAAUUUAAAACAAAUCAAGCGAGGCUAGAAUUGAAGUUUUGAACACCAAGAUAUGGUGACCCAAAGUUUCCAAAAUUUCCUUGUUAAACAAGGGGUUUUCCAAGUGUAAAUUAUACACUUUGAGAGUUUAGUUGUACAUUGAAACGACAUUGGAAUAGCACCAAAUUUGGUAUGAUUAUAUUACCAUAUAAGGGCUAUUCAUCUACCAAAUUUCAUAGAUAAACAAGCAUGGAAACUUGAUUAACCAAAUCACCAAAGUUUCAAAAAUUCUAAGGCAAAUCUGCCUUGUGAGUUCCGUUUUCUGUUUUCAAGACGUUUGGCCAACAGAGUACCUCAAACAUGGUCCAUUUGCAUAGACAAUAUCUAAAAGGUAUCCAAAACACAAUUUGGGGUGAUUAACACCAAGAAUUUGGAGUACAAGUCCCAUAUAAGAUCAAGACAUUGGCUUAACCGAAAGAAUGUUGUGUUCAACACUGGGUCAGUUUUGAUCUUUGGUCACAACUCAUUCAAUUCAACAUGAUUUCUUUUGAGAAAUUGUAGUUUUAUAAAUGAGUUUUCCAAUGCUACCAACCAUGUUCAAUUCAGCUUUAACCUGUUGACAGUCUAUCCACUAUUACCCAAAUAGCAUCCUGGCCUCUCUGUGUCCUCGAUAAUCCUGAUACAAAAUCUAUAGUGAUAUUCUCCCAUUUCCACUUAGAUAUUUCUAGAGGUUGCAAAAGUUCCGAUGGUUUUGAUGCUUGACUUUAACCUGUUGACAGGCCAAGCAAGUCUAAACAAAUUGGGCAAUCUCCUUCCUCAUACUCUCCCACCAAUAUAAAUUCUUCAAAUUUUGAUACAUUUUAUUUCUUCCAGAAUAUACCGUAAACUUUGAUUGGUAUGUCUCUUCUAAAAUUUCCUUCUUAAAUCCCUCAUCUUUUGGCACUACUAUCCGAUUUCGAAACCUCAAAAUACCAUUUGAUCUCAAGUUAAAAUCCGAUUUUCUCCCCUUUUAAAAUUUUCUACCCAUUUUUGCACUUCGCCAUCCUUUUCCUGAGAUUCUUUGAUACACUCCAACAAAGUGGAGUUUAAUAUAACAUUCCCCAAAAUUACUUUCUUUGGUUCAAGUCUAAAAUUCCAAUAACUAACUUCCUCCAACAAAUGUAAUUCCUUAAUUAUCAAUCCGGCCACUAGUACUUGACGACUUAAAGUAUCGGCCACUACAUUGGCAUUCCCUGGAUGGUACUUUAUAGUGCAAUCAUAAUCUUUCAAAAAUUUUAUCCACCUACGUUGCCUCAAGUUUAACUCUUUUUGAGAAAACAGAUACUUAAGGCUUUUGUGGUCAGUAAAAACCUUAAAUGUCACUCCAUACAGGUAAUGUUUCCAUUUCUUUAAAGCAAAUACCACCGCUGUCAACUCCAAGUCAUGAGUCGGGUAAUUUCCCUCAUGUGGUUUCAAUUUUCUAGAGGCAUGCGUUAUCACUUUGUCAUUUUGCAUUAAAACACAUCCCAAUCCUUCCUUAGCUGCAUCUGUAUAAAUCACAAAACUAUCCUUUCCAUUCGGUAGAGCUAAUACAGGUGCUCUCGUCAAACGUCUCUUUAAUUCCUGGAAACUCUCUUCACACUUAGAACUCCAUAUAAAUUUUUCACUUCUCUUGAUCAACUCAGUCAUGAGUCCAGCAAUUCGGAAAAAAUUCUGAAUAAACCUCCGGUAAUACCCUGCUAGUCCAAUAAAACUUUGAACCUCAGUAGGGUUUUCCGGUCGUUUCCACCUUGCGACAGCUUCAACCUUAGUCGGAUCCACCUUAAUUCCAUCUUUAGAAAUUAUGUGCCCCAAGAAUGUCACCUCUUUCAACCAAAAUUCACACUCGCUAAACUUAGCAUACAAUUUGUGUUCCCUCAAGAUUUGCAAAAUAAUUCUCAGGUGUUUCUCGUGAUCUUUCACAUUCUUAAAGUACAUCAAUAUAUCAUCAAUAAAGACCACCACAAAUUGAUCUAGAUAAAACUUAAAAACCCUAUGCAUUAAAUCUAUGAAAGCAGUAGGUGCAUUAGUCAAUCCAAAUGGCGUUAUUGCAAACUUAAAGUGUCCGUAUCUCAAGUUAAAAGCAGUCUUGGGUAUAUCCUUCUCCAAAAUUCUCAAUUGGUAAUAACCCUGUCUCAAAUCCAAUUUCGAGAAUACUACCGCCUCUUGCAAUUGGUCAAACAAUUCAUCAAUGUGGGGCAAUGUGUACUAAUUCUUAAUUGUGACAUCAUUCAAGCCUCUAUAGUCUAUACAUAGUCUCAAACUCCCAUCCUUUUUCUUAACAAACAAAACUGGGGUUUUUCACGGAGAAUCACUCUCUUUUAUAAAAUCCCGUUUCAGCAAAUCCUGUAGUUGCAAUUUCAAUUCCUUCAAUUCAGCUGGAGCCAUUCGAUAUGGCGUCUUAGAGAUAGGUGCUGCUCCCGAAGUCACAUUAAUCUUAAAAGUUAUUUCUUGUUCCGGGGGUAAAGACUCUAACUCUUCAGGAAAUACAUCAGAAAAAUCUUUCACUACAGGCAUGUCUUCCAAUUUCACCUUAUCACUAGGGGUGUUGAUAAGAAAAGUCAGAUAUCCACGAGCUCCCUUACUUAACAAUUUUCUAGUCCGGAUUCCUGAGAUAAGUUCAGAUGAAACUAACAUACCCUUUACAUCUAAUUUCAGGGUCGCUUCUCCUGGAAUACCCAAUUCUACAAUCUUUGUUCUACAAUCCAACUGGUUAUUAUAACGGACUAACCAAUUCAUUCCAAAAAUCACAUCAUACCCCUUAAUUGUUAAACCUAUUAGAUCGACCAAUAAUUUUCAUUCUCCGAUCCAGAUUUCACAAUCCCCAUACAUCAAGUUAGCAACUAGAUUUUGAUCCCCAAUAGGUGUUUUAACUUUCAAAUCAUACAGUAGCUUAAUUGGCUUCUAAUCUAUCCCACUCAUAAAAUUAGAGUUUACACAAGAAUGUGUUGCACCCGAAUCAAUUAGAACCCUAGCUAAACGGUGAAAUAUUGGAAUUAUACAUUCAACCACCUCAGUCGCCUCAGGAAUUUGUUGAUAAUCCAGUGCAUAAACACUAGCCAGUACUUUCGGUCGAUUUCCUCAGGCACUUGUCUGUUUAGAGGUGGACUUUUUUGGUCUCUGAUUGUUACCUCCUAUUUUUGGCGAUUUCGGACAAUUGGCGACUUGAUGUUCAGCACUACCACAAAACAAACAUUUUCCCAACUUCCUCCAACAAUCAUUUUCAAAGUAAUUGGAUUUACCACAAUACCCACAAGUAACUUGAGGGGUCACAGCGGAACCAGUAGAAGGUGCUCCCUUAGCUCGAAUCGGUCCACCACGACCUCCUCUUGAUAAAACUUCCCUAGCAGCUCCAGCAAUCUUUAUUCCUCCCAUACCUCUUCCAAUUUUGGAAGGCUGUGAACUUUUACUAGUCUAUCCAGAUGUACGACUAGAAAAGUUCCUCUUCCUAUUCUGAAAGUCCUUAACUUGCAUUCUCACAUUUUCAACCCUUUGUGCUUUCUCUAGGGUCUCAGUAAAAGUAGAGAUUUGAGCCCCAACCAAACCUUCCUGGAUUUCCACAAUAAGUUUCUGUAUAAAUUGUCUGAUUCUCCUUCGUUCAUUAAUCAUCAGUUCAGGGGCAUACUUAGAAAGUUUAGUAAACUUCCCUUCGUACUCAGCUACACUAAGGAUCCCUUGUUUCAAUUUGAUAAAUUUAUCUUCUCUCUUUUCUUGGAUCAAGGGCGGAAGAAAUUUUUCAUUAAAAUCUUUCAUGAAAUUCUCCCAAAUCCAAGAGUCUGAGCUCUCUCCCAUUUUCCUUUUAUCAUAUCCCACCAAGCACAAGUCACUCCCUCAAAUUGGAAAGUAGCAAAAUUCACUCGCCUAUCCUCAGUGUAGUUUAGAGGGCGAAUAUGUUGGUCAUCCUCUCUAACCAAUUCUCCGCUAUAUUAGGGUCGGGUUCACCAAGAAACUUAGACGGGUUGAACUUUAAGAAUCUCUCGAAAGCUCUAUCUUCCCCUCUGUCCUGUCCCCCAGGUUGGUUAAAUGGUCCAGAACCUUGUCUAUCAAUUAAGCGCUCUAAGAUAUCAGUCAUUCUAUUAAUGGCAGUAGCCACUUGAUUUCUCUCUACAUUUUCCUGUCCCUGGUUCAGUCCAAUUGCCGAUCCCUGGUCAUCACCAUGAGGUUGGGCUUGUCUAGUCCCUCGCCCACGGCUUCGACCACGGUCUCGACCACCUCUUAGUCCUUCCAUUAUCCUAGGCGUGCCUAAUGCAAGAAAUGAAUCAACUACGCGAGAAAAUAUUUAAAACAAGAACCAAUCACGAAAACAUUGAAAUUAAUAAUAAUUUAUAUUCAUUAACAUGUUAGAAUUCAUACAAUUAGCAAGUCAUGGGGGAAUCACAAAAAUAUAGCAUGUAAGUGCAACAAGAAUACUUUUAGUCACAGAAUACUAAAGUAAAAGUAAGUGUCUCAAAAGUAGGCCACACAGUCAUGCAAAAUACAAUGGUCUCAGCACUUAGCAUCACCCCUGCUAAACCAAACUGUACCAGUCAAAAGUCAAAAGGUCAAUCACUAAAGGCCUAGUCCACAGUAGGACUACCAGGCGGAAUCUCUUCCUCAAGAUUUUCCUCCGGGUCAAAGCUCUGGACUACCUCCAUCGCCUCAUCUACUAGCCUAGUAGCAUCAGUUAGGAUUCCGGAAGCCCGAUCACGGACCUCCUCCCCUAAUCUAAUAAGUUGAGCCCUAGUACUCUGGAGCUCCUCACGAGUGACUGCAGCAGUAGCCACCUCGCCCUUUAUAACCUCCUCAAGCUCUACAAUUCGCUCUUCCUGAGCGCUAACCAUCUGCCUUAGCUCAUCCACCUCUACCUGUAAGUCCAAGUUGGCAUUCACCAACUGAUGACGCUAGUCGUCUAAGGCCAGUACAACGUGGUUCGGGUAGGCAAAAGUCAACCUAUACGAACAUCGAGGGUAGCUACUAGAGGGUGAGUAGUGCACUCGAGCCCCUCCACCAAGGGAUCGGUAGUAAUUAGGUUUAGGAGGCUCUACGUGACCAUUAGCAUGGCAAUUCCCGUUAGCUGCCGGGGUUUCAUUUUCAUUUUCCAUCCCUGCAAAAUAAUCACACUUUUUUUGUUAGAAAAUUAAUCACUGACUCGCUCAGAUGUCACUUAUGCAUGUCUAACCUAAUCACUAGUUUGCCCCAAGUACCACUUAAGGUAUAACUUAGUUAUUCGGUUUCAGGUCAUAAGGGUAGAGUAUUCCCAUAUAGAUCUCUAAUCUAGUGCUCUAAUACCAAUUGUGACGCUCCCACAUCUUCCUAAGGCGAACCAAAAGGUAUCCACGGGACGCUUGCCCAACUCUCGCCAGGAAUCAAGUAAUUUCUGUUCAAACUUAAUGCAGUGCUAGACAUCACAACCACAUAAUGAAAGGCAAUUGAUGCGGAAGCUUUCAGUCUUAACAAUAUUUAACAAUUAUCCAACCCUUGCAUCGGGUUUCUAGAAUACAUCUUAAACCCCAAAAUAACGACAACCACAAUGCCUAGUCAAAUACAUCGAAAUUCCAUUACAAAAUUCAUCAAAAGGGGAAUUCCUUCGAAUCUCAUUCCAAGCUCAUUCCUGUCAAGGAAAACAAAUCUACAAGGUGAGCAAAACGCUUGUGAGGCCAAAAACACACAUGCAAGUGCAUAUUUCAAGUAACAAGCCCAGGUAACAAGUCAAAUGAGAAUAUACAUGAAAUUCACAAUUCUAGUGAAAUAUAAACAGAAACAAUUCAAGGAUAUGGUAGUUCUCAUGAGCUAAGUUCCACUUGCUUUGCCGAUGUUGUUUGUAUACCUUUUCGCGAUGACACUCCGUCAACCGGGUCAGUAUUUUCAUUCCGUAAAUCACCACUUACUUCCCUCAGUCCACCGUACAACACACCGGGCCUGCAACACAUUUAUAAGGCGAUACUCCACGAGUAUGCCAAGCAAAACCUCUCAUUAGGUCGAACUUAUUUGUCUCAUGACUCGCCAAGGUUUCCGACCAAACCCAUGUCGACUCGAGUCUAAGGUCAGCCUAUGAGUUUGGGCGUCCCCCAUGUAUAUUUGUGUGUCGAGGAGAUUCACUCCAACGACGUAUGCAACCAUAGCAUACUAUUUCAUGUUAAGCAAGCAUUUGAUACAUUCUAGUACCCAUGUCAUAUCCAGCAAGUCAUUCAUUACAUGUCAAGCAAGUCAUUCACGAAUUAUUAGUUUCGAAUAAGAACGAGUGCGAUAAAGUACACACCCGACUCCAUUUUCAAAACUUACAUCAUUGGUAACAAGUAGACAUGUAUCAAGUUCACAGGAGUUCAAGUAAGCAUGCACUUGACACUCACCAAGUAAAACAAGAAGGAAUGACACUCGAAAUUCAAGCGUCCACCGGAGAAUCUUCUUGAAUUUCCUCUUGUGUGCCUGAACAAUUAAUAAUGGACUAUUAUUGAUAAAUCCCUAUCGAUGAGGAAGGUCGUACACUGGUACAAUCUAGAAAAUAUCUCGAAAAUUAGGCCUAGGUUUCCUUGAAUACCAAUGCUCAAAAGGGGUUUUAAAACUCGAGUAAAAAUGGAUCGUUAUCCUUAAAAUCAUUGGAUGGGAACGAGUACGAGUAAAUUAAUUUCAAAACGAACGACAGAAGUCGGAACAGGACAGGCCACGUCACAAUUCAGCCGAGUUCUGGCGGGAUAUCCGGCCGGAUUCCUGGCCGGAUUGGAGGCAGUGACGAAACUCCUUUUUUUUUCAAAUCCCAACACAAAUCCGGCCAACUAUCGGGCCAAGAACUGCCCGGAUUCAAGGCCGGAUUCUGGUGAACAGUUUCCCGCGCGGAUUUCUUUUCAAAAGGCCAAGAAUUUUUAAAUUUUGGGUAUUUUUUGAAAAUCAUAACUCACUCCCUGAUUGUCCAAAAUUGGAAAAUUUGGUACCGUUGGAACCAUCUUUUAAAGUACUAAAAGUUUCUAGAAGACACCUUUCCAUGAAUCCAAGUGGAUGUAUUCAAAUUUUGGCUUGACGUUGAUAACUUGAGUUAUCAAGACAGAUUUAAGUUGGUUUUUGGCCAAUUUUAAAAAUUCGGUAAAAUUCACUCAAUUUGAACUAACCUUUGAAAUUUGGAACUCUAUUAGAGUUACAAUCCAAAUUUAAAACAAAUCAAUCAGGGCCAGAAUUGAAGUUUUGAACACCAAGAUAUAGUGACCCAAAGUUACCAAAAUUUCCUUGUUAAACAAGGGUUUUUCCAAGUGUAAAUCAUACACUUUGAGAGUUUAGUUGUACAUUGAAACGACAUUGGAAUAGAACCAAAUUUGGUAUGAUUAUAUUACCAUAUAAGGGCUAUUCAUCUACCAAAUUUCAUAGAUAAACAAGCAUGGAAAGUUGAUUAACCAAAUCACCAAAGUUCCAAAAAUUCCAAGGCAAAUCUGCCUUGUGAGUUCCGUUUUCCGUUUUCAAGACAUUUGGCUUGGAAAGUACCUCAAACAUGGUCCAUUUGCAUAGACAAUAUCUAAGAGGUAUCCAAAACACAAUUUGGGGUGAUUAACACCAAGAAUUUCGAGUACAAGUCCCACACAAGAUCAAGACAUUCGUUUAACCGAAAGAAGGUUGUGUUCAACACUGGGUCAGUUUUGAACUUUGGUCACAACUCAUUCAAUUCAAAUUGGAAUUGAACGUGGUUGGUGGCGUUGAAAAACUCAUUCAUAAAACACAAUUUCUCAAAAGAAAUCAUUUUCAAAAUCCAUCCACAACUAUCCCACAUUUGAGCAUCAAGUUGUAGUUCCUGUUCUGCCUUCCAAGGAAACAAUGAAACAAGGCAGCCAAGUUCAAAUGAUUGGUUUGGCUUACUCGGGUGGAAUCAGAACAUGUAUUUUAUACCAAUGGAAAGUUGGGAAUGUCUAGUUUCCAGUACCGCUAACGGCACUCGAUUUCGAUAUCGGAGCAAAGAGUUAUAGCCGAAACAAAAGGACUGCCUGGGCAAUCCGCUAAAAUUUUUCAGUUUUGCUAUCCUCUACAAAUCAAUACAUUUGGCCUACCAAACCAUAUUAUUUUUUAAUGAAACUUUCUACGCCAUCCAUAUAACAUGUAUACAUCAUAAAUAAGUCAUUAGAACCUCAAAAAUUCGCACCAAAAUGCCCGAAUAUGGCAGGGGUAAAAUGGUCACUUUUGCUCAUUGCACUUCCUUGAGUUUCUAUCAACAAUACAACAUUAUCCCACUACUUUAAGCGCUAAACCAAUAUUAAUAACAUCAUCAUUCAUCAAAUCAGUCCAUCCAACCAAAGUGGGAGUUCAUAAAGCCCACACAAUAAUUUUUUCAAUAUAAACAAGUUACCCACAUGCAUGCAUGUGCUUAAAUAUGCACUACUACUUCCCUAGAGCAAUAUUUGAAGGGUUGAUCGUCACUUACCCUCCUAGAUGUGCAAGGCAGAAAUUUUUGGCCCUCCUUAACUCAAGAAAACCGUGGAAAGCAGCUCCCUUUUGUAGCUUAAAAUGAUCACCAAGUGUUUAGCUAAGUAUGGGUAAAAUUUGAGGUGAAAUGGGUGAUGAUUUUGUGAAGAAUUGGAGAAGAAAAAUGGAAGAGCUCCUUGGUGUUUUCCUCCUCUUGAUGGCCGGCCAAAUGAGAGAGAAAAGAGAGGGAGUGUUUGUUCAAAUGAAGUUUUCAAGAGAAGCUUUAAUGUGUGGCCCAAGUUUACCCAAAAGUCAACUCUCCUUUGCGCGCGCGCGCGUUUUGUGCCCGAUUCCUCUCGAGUUUAUUUCACUAGUGCACUAAACUUUUAAUUCAUUUUCAUUCAUAUUAUUAUUAUCCACUCUUAUGGGUUUAAAAAUAAUGGUCUAAAGUCCCUCAAUUAAUCGCGCGCGUAAAAACGCGUACUUCCUGUUUAAGCGCAAUGAAGUGAAAUUUUCAAGAAUUUCUUAUAACGCUAGUACCACUAACUGUCACUUGAAUAUUUCAAGAUAACAAUACCCAUUUUAAGACCAGUGUGCAAGUCUCUAAUUUUUCAAGGUUAUUGUACCCCCAAAUCAGCUAUAAUCUCCAAACGCGUAUUUACUAUUCUCACUUAACGAGUUUCCAAAAUUAAAUUUUGAGACAAGUCAUUAUAUAAAAAAAAUACAACGAAACUAUAAAUUCAUGUAAUUAGGUCUAAUGAGAUUAAAAAAUAAUAUUCAGAGUAAAUGGGCAAUUAAAUAUUUAAAUAAUCUCGAAAUGGAAUUUAAAAUAUUAAAUUUUGUGAAUUCUCACACUCCAGGUUAUUUUAGUCAAUCCUUAAGUUAAACAUUACCUCAAUUUAAGUGGAAAGGCAAAAUUUUUUGUUGUUUCUUGGAAUCCUCUAGUUUACGCAUAUGCAUGUGAAAUAGAGAUAAAAUUGUUACUCAUUGUCGUCUGAGUUUGGGGUGUUUUUGAACUCACAUUUCACCUUGCCGUUUGUAAUCCAAGAUUUUUAACGCACAAAAUCCUUUGUGCGUAGAAAUAAUACAUUUCUUUUGAGUAUUAUUACAUCUAAUUAAAAUUUUCUUUAUAAUGUAUUGUAUACACACAAUUGUAUUAUACAUCUAGGUUUCAUCCAUAAGAUGCCAUAUAAUUUAUACUGAGGAUCGUACUUCUACUUUAUACUACUGAGAAUUGGAAGCUCCAUUAAAAGUCCUUACCACGCAUUAAAUUGCAAGGCUCAUGACUCUUCUUGGCUAAACCAAAGUCUGCCAUCAUGUUCUCUCUCAACCUUCAUUCUCCCAUUUGGUAUUUGCCCGCCAAUUCUCCACUUCAUCUCAUUUGUUUCCGUUAUGCCCACUAUUCAUAAAACAGUCACGGGACUAUUGCAAACAAGAGACAAUUCAUGAAAAAAUAUUUUUUCUCUAAUCCAAGUUAUGACCAUGUUCCGGGACUAAUCUGACUAAUUACUAACAUAAUGAGAACUAUAUGUCUAAAUGUCUAAAUGUCUAAACUCACAGAAAAGCUAUAGUACCAUACUUUAUUGAUUCAGUCAGCAAGGAUCAGUUAUAUGUGAAGAAGGAAAAUAUUUAAAGAAUGAAUAGUACAAAAACUUCUUACUUGAUUCUUAUAAACAAUAUAAACAACAACAAUAUUAUAAUAUUGGGAAUAUUAAUAGUAAUUGAAAAUACAAUUAAAAUGCUAAUAUUUAAAGAAUAAAUAGUACCGAAACUUGUAAUUCGAUGGGCGCGAUGUUUGAAUCGGUGUAGUCGAGAUUUUAUCCAUCGUAGUUGAUGUGAGAUUUCUCUUUCGUCGUUGCAAAGUUGUUGAAACUUUUCCAAUUCUUGUUCGGGAUCGUUAUGGCGUACGUUUCGUCUUGUUAGCAAAUGUUUUCUCCCUUGUAAUCUUGCGAGUUUAAAAUUUAGGCAUUGUUGACAUGCAUGUAAACGGUCAUGUUCCAUUGUGAAAUUAAUUUGAGUGCUACUAACGAUACCAGUAUAAAGUGGAAAGAUUACUCGCAAGGUUGCAAUCUUAUUAUGGCAUUGGCAGAGUAGAAAGGACAAUAUAUGGCAUUGGAUGAGUAGAAACGGCAAUAUAUGGCAUUGGCAAAUUCGCAAAUUCUUGAUUGGAAGGGUUUUAAUUGUAAUGGAAAGGUCUGUGAAGAGUGAAAUUUAAAUUAAGGGCUAAUAAGGAUACCAACAGCAAGUGGAAAGAGAUCUUGUGCAAUCUUAUCAUGCAAUUGGAAGAGUUUUAAUGUAAGUGAAAUUCUUGAUUGGAAGAGUUUUAAUUGCAAUCUUAUCAUGGAAUUGAAAACGUUUUAAUUGUAGUGGGAAGGUGUGUGAGGGGUGUUAGUUGGAGUAAGGUGUGUAAGGAGUGUUAGUUGGAGCUAACUUCUUGUUUGAGGGGAACGUGGGGAUGCAAUGUGCCCAUGAUGUUUUUAUGAAAUAAAUUAAAUGUAAAAUGCUAGAAAAAUACAGUUGAGAGUGGGAAGGUCUGCGAAGGCUUGUUGCUAAAAAUCCCUUUUCUAUCUACCUAACCAAUUAUUGUGUAAUCUACUUUUAGCCUAAUGUUUUACGAACUCCAUCAAUUGGAUUCCAGGUUAUUUUAGUCAAUCCUUAAGUUAAACAUUACCUCAAUUUAACUGAAAAGGCAAAAUUUUUUGUUGUUUCUUGAAACCCGCUAGUUUAUGCAGUGCAUGUGAAAUAGAGGUAAAAUUGUUACUCAUUGUCGUCUGAGUUUGGGGUUUUCUUGACGUCACCUUUCACCUUGUCGUUUGUAAUCCAAAAUUUUUAACGCACAAAAUCCUUUGUGCGUAGAAAUAAUACAUUUCUUUUGAGUCUUAUUACAUCUAAUUAUAAUUUCCUUGAUAAUGUAUUGUAUACACACAAUUGUAUUAUACAUCUAGGUUUCAUCCAUAAGAUGCCAUCUAGUUUAUACUGAGUAUAGUACUUCUAAUUUAUACUAUUGGGAAUUGGAAGCUCCAUUAAAGGUCCUUGUCGCGCAUUAAAUUGCAAGGCUCAUGAUUUUUCUUGGCUAAACCAAAGUCUGCCAUCAUGUUCUCUCUCAACCUUCAUUCUCCCAUUUGGCAUUUGCCAGCCAAUUCCCCACUUCAUUUCUUUUGUUUUCGUUAUGCCUACUAUUCAUAAAACAGUCACGGGACUAUUUCAUAAAAUAGACAUUUCAUGAAAAAAUAUUUUUUCUCUAAUCAAAGCUAUGACCAUGUUCCGGGACUAAUCUGACUAAUUAGUAAUACAAUGAGAACUAUAUGUCUAAAUGUCUAAACUCACAGAAAAGUAAUAGUACCAUGCUUUGUUGAUUCAGCCAACAAGGAUCAGUUACAUGUGAAGAAGGAGAAUAUUUAAAGAAUGAAUAGUACCGAAACUUCUAACUUGAUUCUUAUGAAUAAUAGAAAAAAUAAUAAUAUUAUAAUAUUGAAAAUAUUAUUAAUAAUUAAAAAUACAAUGAAAAUGCCAAUAUUUAAAAAAUAAAUAGCAUCGAAACUUAUAAUUCGAUGGGCGCGAUGUUUGAAUCGGUGUAGUGGAGAUGUUAUACAUUGUAGUUGAUGUCAGAUUUCUCUUUCGUCGAUUCAAAGUUGUUGGAACUUUUCCAAUUCUUGUGCGGGAUCGUUGUGGCGUAUGUUUCGUUUUGUUAGCAAAUGUUUCCUCCGUUGCAAUCUUGCGAGUUUGAAAUUUAGGCGUUGUUGACAUGCCUGUAAAUGGCCAUGUUCCAUUGUGAAAUUAAUUUGAGAGCUACUAACGAUACCAGUAUAAAGUGAAAAGAGUAAACGCAAGGUUACAAUCUUAUUAUGGCUUUGGCAGAGUAUAAAGGACAAUAUAUGGCAUUGGAAGAGUAGGAAUGGCAAUACAUGGCAUUGGCAAAUUCGCAAAUUCUUGAUUGGAAGGGUUUUAAUUGUAGUGGAAAGGUUUGUGUGGAAUGAAAUUUAACUUGAGAGCUAAUUAGGAUACCAACAGCAAGUGGAAAGAGAUCUUGUGCAAUCUUAUCUUGGAAUUGAAAGAGUUUUAAUGUAAGUGAAAUUCUUGAUUAGAAACGUUUUAAUUGCAAUCUUAUCAUGGAAUUGGAAUAGUUUUAAUUGUAGUGGGAAGGUAUGUGAGGAGUGUUAGUCGGAGUAAGGUGUGUAAGGAGUGUUAGUUGGAGUUAAUUUCUUGUUUGAGGGGAACGUGGGGGUGUAAUGUGCCAUGUUAUUUUUCACGAAAUAAAUUAAAUGUAAAAUGCUAGAAAAAUAGAGUUGAGAGUGGGAAGAUCUGUAAAGGUUUGUUGCUAAAAAUUCCUUCUCUACCUACCUAACCAAUUAUUGUGUAAUCUACUUUUAGCUUAAUGUUUUACGAACUCCAUCAAAAUUGGAUUCCAGGUUAUUUUAGUCAAUCCUUAAGUUAAACAUUACCUCAAUUUAACUGAAAAGGCAAAAUUUUUGUUGUUUCUUGAAACCCUCUAGUUUAUGCAGAUGCAUGUGAAAUAGAGGUAAAAUUGUUACUCAUUGUCGUCUGAGUUUGGGGUUCUCUUGACGUCACCUUUCACCUUGUCGUUUGUAAUCCAAGAUUUUUAACGCACAAAAUCUUUUGUGCGUAGAAAUAAUACAUUUCUUUUUAGUAUUAUUACAUCUAAUUAUAAUUUUUUUUAUAAUGUAUUGUAUACACACAAUUGUAUUAUACAUCUAGGUUUCAUCCAUAAGAUGCCAUCUAGUUUAUACUGAGGAUCGUACUUCUAGUUUAUACUACUGGGAAUUGGAAGCUCCGUUAAAGGUCCUGGCCGCGCAUUAAAUUGCAAGGCUCAUGACACUUCUUGGCUAAACCAAAGUCUACCAUCAUGUUCGCUCUCAACCUUCAUUCUCCCAUUUGGCAUUUGCCCGCCAAUUCCCCACUUUAUCUCCUUUGUUUCCUUUAUGCCCACUAUUCAUAAAACAGUCACGGGACUAUUUCAAAAAAGAGACAUUUCAUAAAAAAAUAUUUUUUCUCUAAUCCAAGCUAUGACCAUGUUCCGGGUUGUAAUCUGACUAAUUACUGAUACAAUGAGAACUAUAUGUCUAAAUGUCUAAAAUCACAGAAAAGCCAUAAUACCGAACUUUAUUGAUUCAGCCAGCAAGGAUCAGUUACAUGUGAAGAAAGAAAAUAUUUAAAGAAUGAAUAGUAUCGAAACUUCUUACUUAAUUCUUAUAAACAAUAGAAACAACAAUAAUAUUAUAAUAUUGGGAAUAUUAUUAGUAAUUGAAAAUACAAUGAAAAUGUCAAUAUUUAAAGAAUAAAUAUUACCGAAACUUGUAAUUCGAUGGGCGCGAUGUUUGAAUCGGUGUAGUCGUGAUUUUCUCCAUCGUAGUUGAUGUGAGAUUUCUCUUUCGUCGAUGCAAAGUUGUUGAAACUUUUCCAAUUCUUAGGCGGGAUCGUUGUGGCAUACGUUUUGUCUUGUUAGCAAAUGUUUUCUCCUUUGCAAUCUUGCGAGUUUGAAAUUUAGGCGUUGUUGACAUACCUGUAAACGGCCAUGUUCCAUUAUGAAAUUAAUUUGAGUGCUACUACCGAUACCAGUAUAAAGUGGAAAUAGUACUCACAAGGUUGCAAUCUUAUUAUGGCAUUAUCAGAAUAGAAAGGACAAUAUAUGGCAUUGGAUGAAUAGAAACGGCAAUAUAUGGCAUUGGCAAAUUCGCAAAUUCUUGAUUGGAAGAGUUUUAAUUGUAGUGGAAAGGUCUGUGAAGAGUGAAAUUUAACUUGAGGGCUAAUAAGGAUACCAACAGCAAGUGGAAAGAGAUCUUGUGCAAUCUUAUCAUGGAAUUGAAAGAGUUUUAAUGUAAGUGAAAUUCUUGAUUGGAAGAGUUUUAAUUGCAAUCUUGUCAUGGAAUUGGAGUAGUUUUAAUUGUAGUUGGUAGGUAUGUGAGGGGUGUUAGUUGGAAUAAGGUAUGUAAGGAGUGUUAGUUGGAGUUAACUUUUUGUUUGAGAGGAACGUGGGGGUGUAAUGUGCCUAGGAUAUUUUUUACGAAAUAAAUUAAAUGUAAAAUGUUAAAAAAAUAGACUUGAGAGUGGGAAGAUCUGUGAUGGAUUGUUGCUAAAAAUCCCUUCUCUAUCUACCUAACAAAUUAUUGUGUAAUCUAUUUUUAGCAUAAUGUUUUACGAACUCCAUCAAUUGGAUUCCAUGUUAUUUUAGUCAAUCCUUAAGUUAAACAUUACCUCAAAUUAAUUGGAAAGGCAAAAUUUUUUGUUGUUUUUUGAAACCCUCUAGUCUAUGCAGAUGCAUAUGAAAUAGAGAUAAAAUUGUUACUUAUUGUUGUCUGAGUUUGGGAUUUUCUUGACGUCACCUUUCACCUUGUCGUUUGUAAUCCAAGAUUUUUAACGCACAAAAUCCUUUGUGCGUAGAAAUAAUACAUUUCUUUUUGGUAUUAUUACAUCUAAUAUUAAUUUUCUUUAUAAUGUAUUGUAUACACACAAUUCUAUUAUACAUCUAGGUUUCAUCCAUAAGAUGCCAUCUAGUUUAUACUGAGGAUCGUACUUCUAGUUUAUACUACUGGGAAUUGGAAGUUCCAUUAAAGGUCCUUGCUGCGCAUUAAAUUGCAAGGCACAUGACUCUUCUUGGCUAAACCAAUGUCUGCCAUCAUGUUCUCUCUCAACCUUCAUUCUUCCAUUUGGCAUUUGACCGUCAAUUCCUCACUUCAUCUCCUUUGUUUCCGUUAUACCUACUAUUCAUAAAACUGUGACGGGACUAUUUCAUAAAAUAGACAUUUCAUGAAAAAAUAUUUUUUUCUAAUCAAAGCUAUGACCAUGUUUCGGGACUAAUCUGACUAAUUACUAAUACAAUGAGAACUAUAUGUCUAAAUGUCUAAACUCACAGAAAAGCCAUAGUACCAUACUGUGUUGAUUCAGCCAGCAAGGAUCAGUAACAGGCGAAGAAGGAGAAUAUUUAAAGAAUAAAUAGUACCGAAACUUCUAACUUGAUUCUUAUGAACAAUAGAAACAGCAAUAAUAUUAUAAUACUGGGAAUAUUAUUAAUAAUUAAAAAUACAAUGAAAAUGCCAAUAUUUAAAGAAUAAAUAGUACCGAAACUUGUAAUUCGAUUGGCGCGAUAUUUGAAUCGGUGUAGUAGAGAUUUUAUCCAUCGUAGUUGAUGUCAGAUUACUCUUUCAUCGAUGCAAAGUUGUUGGAACUUUUCCAAUUCUUGUGCGGGAUCGUUGUGGCGUACGUUUCGUUUCGUUAGCAAAUGUUUUCUCCUUUGCAAUCUUGCGAGUUUGAAAUUUAGGCGUUGUUGACAUGCCUAUAAACGGCCAUGUUCCAUUGUGAAAUUAAUUUGAGAGCUACUAACGAUACCAAUAUAAAGUGGAAAGAGUACUCGCAAGGCCACAAUCUUAUUAUGGCAUUGGCAGAGUAUAAAGGACAAUAUAUGGCAUUGGAAGAGUAGGAACGGCAAUAUAUGACUUUGGAAAAUUCGCAAAUUCUUGAUUGAAAGGGUUUUAAUUGUAGUGGAAAGGUUUGUGUGGAGUGAAAUUUAACUUGAGAGCUAAUAAGGAUACCAACAGCAAGUGGAAAGAGAUCUUUGUGCAAUCUUAUCAUGAAAUUGGAAGAGUUUUAAUGUAAGUGAAAUUCUUGAUUGGAAGAGUUUUAAUUGCUAUCUUAUCAUGGAAUUGGAAGACUUUUUAUUGUAGUGGGAAGGUGUGUGAGGAGUUUAAGUUAGAGUAAGGUGUGUAAGGAGUGUUAGUUGGAGUUAACUUCUUGUUUGAGGGAAACUUGGGGGUGUAAUGUGCCCAAGAUGUUUUUUACGAAAUAAAUUAAAUUUAAACGCGAGAAAAAUAGAGUUGAGAGUGGGAAGAUCUGUGAAAGCUUGUUGCUAAAAAUCCCUUCUCUAUCUACCUACCCAAUUAUUGUGUAAUCUACUUUUAACUUAAUGUUUUACGAAUUCCAUCAAUUGGAUUCCAGGUUAUUUUAGUCAAUCCUGAAGUUAAACAUUUCAUCAAUUUAACUGGAAAGGCAAAAUUUUUUGUUGUUUCUUGGACUCCACUAGUUUAUGCCGAUGCAUGUGAAAUAGAGGUAAAAUUGUUACUCAUUGUCGUCUGAGUUUGGGGUGUUCUUGACGUCACCUUUCACCUUGCCAUUUGUAAUCCAAGAUUUUUAACGUACAAAAUCCUUUGUGCGUAGAAAUAAUACAUUUCUUUUGAGUAUUGUUACAUCUAAUUAUAAUUUCCUUUACAAUGUAUUGUAUACACACAAUUGUAUUAUACAUCUAGGUUUCAUCCAUAAGAUGCCAUCUAGUUUAUACUGAGGAUCGUACUUCUACUUUAUACUACUGGGAAUUGGAAGCUCCAUUAAAGGGCCUUGCCGCGCAUUAAAUUGCAAGACUCAUGACUCUUCUUGGCUAAACCAAAAUCUGUCAUCAUGUUCGCUCUCAACCUUCAUUCUCCCAUUUGGAAUUUGCCCGCCAAUUCCCCACUUCAUUUCCUUUGUUUCCGUUAUGCCCACUACUCAUAAAAUAGUCACGGGACUAUUUCAAAAAAGAGACAUUUCAUGAAAAAAUAUGUUUUCUCUAAUCCAAGUUAAGACCAUGUUCCGGGACUAAUCUGACUAAUUACUAAUAAAAUGAGAACUAUAUAUCUAAAUGUCUAAACUCACAGAAAAAUCAUAGUACCAUACUUUAUUGAUUCAGCCAGCAAGGAUCAGUUACAUGUGAAGAAGGAAAAUAUUUAAAGAAUGAAUAGCAAUGAAACUUAUUACUUGGUUCUUAUAAACAAUAGAAACAAUAAUAAUGCUAUAAUAUUGGGAAUAUUAUUAGUAAUUGAAAAUACAAUGAAAAUGCCAAUAUUUAAAGAAUAAAUUGUACCGAAACAUGUAAUUCGAUGGGCGCGAUGGUUGAAUCGGUGUAGUCGAGAUUUUAUCCAUCGUAGUUGAUGUGAGAUUUCUCUUUCGUCGAUGCAAAGUUGUUGAAACUUUUCCAAUUCUUGUGCGGGAUCGUUAUGGUGUACGUUUUGUCUUGUUAGAAAAUGUUUUCUCCUUUGCAAUCUUGCGAGUUUGAAAUUUAGGCAUUGUUGAUAUGCCUGUAAACGGCCAUGUUCCAUUGUGAAAUUAAUUUGAGUGCUCCUAACAAUACCAGUAUAAAGUGGAAAGAGUACUCGCAAGGUUGCAAUCUUAUUGUGGCAUUGGCAGAGUAGAAGGACAAUAUAUGGCAUUGCAUGAGUAGAAACGGCAAUAUAUGGCAUUGGCAAAUUCGCAAAUUAUUGAUUGGAAGAGUUUUAAUUGUAGUAGAAAUGUCUGUGAAGAGUGAAAUUUAACUUGAGGGCUAAAAAGGAUAUCAACAGCAAGUGGAAAGAGAUCUUGUGCAAUCUUAUCUUGGAAUUGAAAGAGUUUUAAUGUAAGUGAAAUUCUCGAUUCGAAGAGUUUUAAUUGCAAUCUCAUCAUGGAAUUGGAAGAGUUUUAAUUAUAGUAGGAAGGUAUGUGAGGGGAGUUAGUUGGAGUAAGGUGUGUAAGGAGUGUUAGUUGGAGUUAACUCCUUGUUUGAUGAGAACGUGGGGGUGUAAUGUGCCCAUGAUAUUUUUUAUGAAAUAAAUUAAAUGUAAAAUGCUUGAAAAAUAGAGUAGAGAGUGAGAAGAUCUGUGAUGGCUUGUUGCUAAAAAUCCCUUCUCUAUCUACCUAACCAAUUAUUGUGUAAUCUACUUUUAGCUUCAUGUUUUACGAACUCCAUCAAUUGGAUUCCAGGUUAUUUUAGUCAAUCCUUAAGUUAAACAUUACCUCAAUUUAAUUGGAAAGGCAAAAUUUUUUGUUGUUUCUUGAAACCCUCCAGUUUAUGCAGAUGCAUGUGAAAUAGAAGUAAAAUUGUUACUUAUUGUCGUCUGAGUUUGGGAUUUUCUUGACGUCACUUUUCACCUUGUCAUUUGUAAUCCAAGAUUUUUAACGCACAAAAUCCUUUGUGCGUAGAAAUAAUACAUUUCUUUUUGGUAUUAUUACAUCUAAUUAUAAUUUUCUUUAUAAUGUAUUUUAUACACACAAUUGUAUUAUACAUUUAGGUUUCAUCCAUAAGAUGCCAUCUAGUUUAUACUGAGAAUCGUGCUUCUAGUUUAUACUACUGGAAUUGGAAGUUCCAUUAAAGGUCCUUGCCGCGCAUUAAAUUGCAAGGCUCAUAACUCUUCUUGGCUAAACCAAAGUCUGCCAUCAUGUUCUCUCUCAACCUUCAUUCUCCUAUUUGGCAUUUGCCCGCCAAUUCCCCACUUCAUCUCCAUUGUUUCCGUUAUGCCCACUAUUCAUAAAACUGUCACGGGACUAUUUCAUAAAAUAGAUAUUUCAUGAAAAAUAUUUUUUCUCUAAUCAAAGCUAUGACCAUGUUCCGGGACUAAUCUGACUAAUUACUAAUACAACGAGAAUUAUAAGUCUAAAUGUUUAAACUCACAGAAAAGUCAAAGUACCAUACUGUGUUGAUUCAGCCAGCAAGGAUCAGUAACAUGUGAAGAAGGAGAAUAUUUAAAUAAUGAAUAGUACCGAAACUUCUAACUUGAUUUUUAUGAACAAUAGAAACAACAAUAUAUUAUAAUAUUGGAAAUAUUAUUAAUAAUUAAAAAUACAAUGAAAAUGCCAAUAUUUAAAGAAUAAAUAGCACCGAAACUUGUAAUUCGAUUGGCGCGAUAAUUGAAUCGGUGUAGUAGAGAUUUUAUCCAUCGUAGUUGAUGUCAGAUUACUCUUUCAUCGAUGCAAAGUUGUUGGAACUUUUCCAAUUCUUGUGCGGGAACGUUGUGGCAUACGUUUCGUUUCGUUAGCAAAUGUUUUCUCCUUUGCAAUCUUGCGAGCUUGAAAUUUAGGCGUUGUUGACAUGCCUGUAAACGGUCAUGUUCCAUUGUGAAAUUAAUUUGAGAGGUACUAACGAUACCAAUAUAAAGUGGAAAGAGUACUCGCAAGGCUACAAUCUUAUUAUGGCAUUGGCAGAGUAUAAAGGACAAUAUAUGGCAUUGGAAGAGUAGGAACAGCAAUAUAUGGCUUUGGAAAAUUCGCAAAUUCUUGAUUGAAAGGAUUUUAGUUGUAGUGGAAAGGUUUGUGUGGAGUGAAAUUUAACUUGAGAGCUAAUAAGGAUACCAACAGCAAGUGGAAAGAGAUCUUUGUGCAAUCUUAUCAUGAAAUUGGAAGAGUUUUAAUGUAAGUGAAAUUCUUGAUUGGAAGAGUUUUAAUUGCUAUCUUAUCAUGGAAUUGGAAGACUUUUUAUUGUAGUGGGAAGGUGUGUGAGGAGUGUUAGUUAGAGUAAGGUGUGUAAGGAGUGUUAGUUGGAGUUAACUUCUUGUUUGAGGGAAACUUGGGGGUGUAAUGUGAGGGGAGUUAGUUGGAGUAAUGUGUGUAAGGAGUGUUAGUUGGAGUUAACUCCUUGUUUGAGGGGAACGUAGGGGUGUAAUGUGCCCAUGAUAUUUUUUACGAAAUAAAUUAAAUGUAAAAUGCUAGAAAAAUAGAGUUGAGAGUGAGAAGAUCUGUGAUGGCUUGUUGCUAAAAAUUCCUUCUCUAUCUACCUAACCAAUUAUUGUGUAAUCUACUUUUAGCUUAAUGUUUCACGAACUCUAUCAAUUGGAUUCCAGGUUAUUUUAGUCAAUCCUUAAGUUAAACAUUACCUCAAUUUAACUUGAAAGGCAAAAUUUUUUGUUGUUUCUUGAAACCCUCUAGUUUAUGCAGAUGCAUGUAAAAUAGAAGUAAAAUUGUUAAUUAUUGUCGUCUGAGUUUGGGAUUUUCUUGACGUUACUUUUCACCUUGUCGUUUGUAAUUCAAGAUUUUUAACUGUCGCGCCCCAUUUUUUGAUAAGAAAAAUAAAUGGUUUGAGAAAGAUGUUUUUGAUUCAAUUUUGAUUGGAAAAUGAUUUUUGUGAGUUGAAAAAAAUAUGGGUCCAAUAUGGGACUUGAAAAAGCGACGAUUUGACCCCAAAAAAAUAGUUUUUAAAAAGGGUUUUUGAAUGAGAAAUUGGAGUCGCCACUUGGUAAUGAUUAAGGUGUACCAAGUCACUUAAAAAUAAAUUUUUAAAGACAAAGUAGUAAAACCCUUUUAAAAACGACUCCUAGUCCACGUAAGCCAAAGAAAAAGGUUCGGGAGUCACGUUUGACAAAGGGGAAGGCAAGGAUAGAAUCCAAGGCACCCCUUUGACCUAGCCAAGGCUAGUUGCGCGACUUAACCUUACCUUUCCUAGUUUUCUACCCAAUGUAUGUUCGCACGUUGGAUAUGACUAUAUGAAUACAAAACGGAAAGGAAAAUGCAAUCCUAAAUUCUACGAUGUCUCUUGUGAGGUUUUUGGUCCCAAACCACAUGAAUUGUGGCGGCCAACAAAGGAAAACCUCAUAGAGGUCGAUUAAUGCAAAUGAGAGUUCGAAUUCAAGUGUGCAAGUGUGAAAGUGUAUGAAAGAUGCAAGAAAUGUAAGUGCAAGUGUGCGAAUGUAUAAAAAGGUGCAUGUGUGAAAUUGUAUAAAAUUCAAGUGUUUUUUGUGUGCAAGUGUGUGAAAACAGAAUAAUAGAUAUAUAAGGUAAAGUGGAAUUUUAUUUGUGAAGUGAAAAUAAACGAGUGAUAGGUGAAAUGUAGUAAAAAAAGUAUGGUUUGAGAAAUGUGAAAAAAUGUGGUUAAAAGAGUAUGUAGGUGAUAAAAAUGAAAGUAUGACCCUAGAGGAAUGCAACAAGUCGGGUACGGGGGUUGACUCCUAACUUUUCGACUUCUAUUUUCCCUUUGAUUAGAAGGUGAAACUAGCGUGCUAAGGCUAUCGAGUAGCCACACUCGCUCGUUUCCCUUAUCAAGAGGGGAUUUUCACGCAAAUGAACCCUAACUAGCAUGAGAUGCAAGUCCUAAAGUGAAGGGGAAGGGGUUUGAGGAACAUACCAAAUGAUAAACUAAGGAAAAAUGCGUGAUAUGUGGUGAUCAUGCACUUCAUGAAAAAGGAAAAAAACCUAUUGGGUCUAGCAUUGGACUAGCCCCUCCUAUGAAUUCCGACUAGCGUUGGACUAGUGGAAACGAUAAAAGAAGCCACAACUAGCGUUGGACUAGUGUGGUGACGUACAUUCAUCCAUUCCAUUCAUCCACACUACAAAAAGCGAGUAGACAUGCGAAUCACUUAUAAACACGUAGCACAUAACAUUUAGCAUGCUUGACUAGAUGCAAAAUCCUAAUAAAGCAUUUAACAUAUAACACAUAGGCAUGCAACCAUUACAUUUGCUAACUAAAACAAAAGGGAAAGGGAAAAUGGACCAAAUUACUUGCUACGCCCUAUCUAUUACAAGCCAAGAGGUGUACACAUACCCCAUUAAUAAAAAUCAAAAGUAAAUGAAAUAACUGAAAGGAAAUAAGGAGAGGCUAGGAAAGCAAGUACACAUGCAAAUUUCAAUUAGCACAUUAGUCCACAUAGGAGAGAAACAAAAGGGGUAAAAGAGAUUAUACCUCCCCGUUGGUGAUACUAAGGAAGUAAACAAACUCAACUUGGCUAGAGUCGCCCAAGAAAAGACUAACUUAGGCUAAAAUCACUAAAAACAAAAGAUUAAUGCACCAAUUUAGUGAUAAGAUAUAAACUAAACAAUUUGAAUCCACCAAAUCAUCAAAUUUUCCCCCAAUUGCAACUUAAUGAAGUAAAAAGCUAAUUAAAGACCAAGCAAAAACAUGAUCAUCCAACCUCCAAGCAUAACGUCUACUAAAGACCCAAAAGCAAGCACUACUCAAUCAUUUGAACCUAAUUGAAACAUUUAAAAACACACAAAGUUCCCCAAGUAAAUAACAAGAUCCAAACAAACAUUAUGGAAUUUUGAAGGUCCAAGAAUGAACAAGGGUCCAUGAAUGAUUUAAACAUGCAUUUUGAAAACUCAAUAGCCACCAUUAAUCAACCAAAUAAAACCAAUUGAAAAAUUUAAGAGCUUCAAAAAUCCCAAAAAAACAAUGAAAGGCCAAAUGAUGACUCAAAGUACACCCACCUUAGGACCUAAUUGUGAAGAAAUGAGAACAUGCUUGGGCUUUUGUGGAACAUGGAGAAGCUUGAGGGAUUAAAUUGAUUAAGUAUUCAAAUUACUUGGGCCAUAGUAAGCUAAGGGGGGACUUGGGGGGUUAAAGAGCAAUUUUUGGAGAACAUUUCCAUGCAUGUUCAUGCAAGCUACGUGGGAAAACAUGCUGCAGCAAUAUUUUCAGUAGGUUAUGAAGCUUUCGGCAGCCAAGAAAGAAUCAGAUAUUAUUCAAUCAAACAUCAAAACUUUGAAUUAAGAUAAAGCCACAACAUUGCCAGAACUCAAUCAAACAACAAGCAUAAAAAGAAACCAUGCAAACUCUUAAAAUUUCUGUGCAAGCCUACGGAUGACUGCUGCAACAACUUGCUGCAUUUUUAAUCAACCUUGACACAAUCAUGCAAUGAGGAAGGGAUGAUGAGGUUAGCGACUCAACUCAAAAAACUGAGAAGAUUUGGGAUAAUGAGAAGGAAAAGAAAACGCAGCUUCAUGAUGCAAAAUCAACAUCUCAACAAACCAAAGCAAUAGAAGGAAAAUCACACCAAUGCUGGAGAAAAUUCCAGCCAGCAUUCGGUAACCAGAUUUGUCCAUUCUUCCAAACAAAGUGUUUGACUAUAGCUCAAAUGUUUUAAGGACUCGAAUCAUAUAAACUCAAACCAAUCUUCACCAAUCCAAUUCCUCUCUCCAUAUAAGAUCAUGCAUCAAGUUGUAUGGCCGAAAUUUGGUGAGACAAAUGCAGGAAAGAAAACAGCAAAGGACAAAACCGAAUGAAACAGCCUUUUCUACUUGGGCCUGGACAUGUUUGUGCAUGAGAACUCAAACAAACUUCACUAAUUUAACAACCCAAUGUCAUUAUCCUCACCAAAACGCCAUUUCUGGUUUCAUUUCAUAACUGGUUUCAUUUCUGCAAUUUCAUACUGCUUUGAAAAACUUUUUCUGGUUCCCUUAAACAUUCCAUUCAAGCAGCCCAACCAUUUGCAAAUUUGUCACCGUGAGAAAAACCAAAGCAAACAAGUCAAGAUUCAAUUAAGGCUCAUAGCAAAAUCAUCCAAAAUAUCAACAACAACCCAUGACCUCAAUUUGAAGACAACAGCCUCUCGGACAAACCAAUGAACAUGCCAAAACAGAAAUGAAAACAACGAAGACGACAAGCAAGCGUGACUAAGGAAGCUGGAUCUAAUCGUACUUCAUAUAUGGCAUUCCCAUUUGCAACAAAGUGCAGAUUGAACUUAGCAAAUCAUGGCCAUAAUCAUGCACAAAACUAGUCAUGCAAAAUGAAAUGAAACAAAGCAGAAAGCAGCCAUAGGAUCAGAUUUCUUGCUGCAAGUUUCUGCAACUAACUAGCUGCAAUUUUCUCAUAACUUGCAACUCUAACAAGCAAAGCCAUCCAAAUCCUCUAACAUGAUUUGCCAAAAACAUCAACCAAAUAUCAUUGUUUACCCCAAGAAUCAAACAGAGGUUGGGUAUGAAAUCAGCACAAGAAAAUGAACUUGGAGCAUUGAACAUAGCUGCAACAAAAAACUGCAGCAAUAGAUUUGAACAAUCCAAAAGUUUCGAUCAUAGCUGCAAUUGUUGUAUUCAGUCUAAUGCAAUCCUUUUUGCUCAAAUGAGGUCACAGUUGGCCACAAAAUUGGAUAAAAACAGAAAUAUCAACUCAAUCAACAAACAGAGCAGUAAUCUUUCUCCAAACAAUUGUAAUGAAGAAACAUAUGCAGCCUACCAAGAAAUUGUGAUACAAAAACCAGAGAUUUCAGGCGUCCAUACUUAAAAGACAAGACUGAAAUUUGAAGGUACAGGACAACUUACGAAACUCUUGCUCGAUAAAAAUUCGCAGUUGAUGGCGGGUUUGGUGCGGUGGAGGCUCCUUUCGUUUGGCCUCCUUCAUCCAGCGAGCACGAGACUUUGAGUGAAUCUUGGAAGGCUUCCUGAUGAUGAACCCGUCCUUGACCAGCUUUUCUUGUGUUUUGACGAAAAUCAGUCAUGGAGAUUUUGUUGACUCCAUUGGCUAGCCAGACCUUGCCUCUGCCGCACUGGAGGAUGCUGGCGGCGAGUCUCUUCUGAAAUUUCAGCGACACCUUCCCUUCGUCCAUCGGUCCAUUUCCUCUUCCUCUGGUUUUUCCUCAAACCCAGAUUUCAUGCUCCUCCAGUGAAGGCUUGCUGCAAUUUCUGGGUUGGCACAUCAGUCGCGUGGCUGGCAAAGCUUUCGACAAUAAUGGUGUUGAUGAGUGCUUGUCCGUGGUUUUCCUUCCUAGCCUGUAGACUCUAUCUCUCUCUCUCCAUUGUUCCGCAGCUUCCUUGAAGUUCUUCCCAAAACCUAGCCGCCCUCUCUUUUCAGUUUUCCCAGCCGUGAGUCCUUCCCGUAUGCUCUCCUCUCGGUCUCACUUGGCUGUAACUCUCUAUCCCUCUCUCAAAUCUUUCUCAACCAUCAACUUCAAUCACCUUCGUUGUCCUUGCUGUUCCCCAGAAUCUCCCAAACACUCCCUGCUUUCUCUUUUUGUUUUUGCCGUCCAACUCUUUCCGUCCCAUCCCCCUUGCGGCUCUCUUUCCUCUUUUUAUUUAUAUCAUCUCCCAAUCUCCUAAACCUGCUCUCAAUGGCCAGCAAUCAACCUCCUCUCAGCCCCUUAUCUUAGCCAUCCGAUGGGCAUUGAGGUUGUGCCUUGCACGCUGCAAAAAAAUGCAGCGUGCAUGCUGCAGUAAAUUUUUUUUUUUUUUUUAAAGAAUGCAUAUAAAUAAUAAUAAUAAUAAUAACAAAGUGACAAAACCAUGUAAUAAUAAUAAGAACGAAAACAAAUAAAUAAAUAAAAAAAAACAAACUAAAUAAAAACAACAAAAUGUCCAUUUUUCAAAUUUUCUUCAUUUUUCCUCUCUUUCUUUAAUUUUCUCUUUUCUCCUUUUUUUCUAUAAUUUUUCAUUUUUCAUUUUUCCUUCGAGAAAGCAUUGAAUAAAAACAAAAUGAUUAAAACAUAUUUUUGAUGUUUUCCUUUCCUUCUCUUUUUUUUUUUCUAAAAAACUCUAUGCUAAUCUUAAACUAAAGCUAAAACUAAAAACUAAAAGUAAAAGUAAAUAAGAAUAAAUAGCAAAUGAAAUAGGUCAACUUAAAGGGCGAAAAUGAAUAAAAUUAAAAUAUCAUAACAACUAAUAGUGCAAAACACACAAUAACGAACUAAAAUGCAAGCAAUCUAAAAUGAAAAUCAUGAAAUAGAUGCUACAUAAAAUUAUUCAAAAUUUGGUGUCUACAUUAACGCACAAAAUCCUUUGUGCGUAGAAAUAAUACAUUUCUUUUUGGUAUUAUUACAUCUAAUUAUAAUUUUCUUUAUAAUGUAUUGUAUACACACAAUUGUAUUAUACAUCUAGGUUUCAUACAUAAAAUGCCAUCUAGUUUAUACUAAGGAUCGUACUUCUAGUUUAUACUACUAGGAAUUGGAAGCUCCACUAAAGGUCCUUGCUGCGCAUUAAAUUGCAAGACUCAUGACUCUUCUUGGUUAAACCAAAGUCUGCCAUCAUGUUCUCUCUCAACUUUCAUUAUCCCAUUUGGCAUUUGCCCGCCAAUUCCCCAUUUCAUCUCCAUUGUUUCCGUUAUGCCCGCUAUUCAUAAAAUAGUCAUGGGACUAUUUCAUGAAAUAGACAUUUCAUGAAAAAUAUUUUUUCUCUAAUCAAAGCUAUGACCAUGUUUCGGGACUAAUCUGACUAAUUACUAAUACAAUGAGAACUAUAUGUCUAAAUGUGUAAACACAUAGAAAAGCCAUAGUACCAUAUUGUGUUGAUUCAGCCAGCAAGGAUCAGUAACAUGUGAAGAAGGAGAAUAUUUAAAGAAUGAAUAGUACCGAAACUUCUAACUUGAUUCUUAUGAACAAUAGAAACAGCAAUAAUAUUAUAAUAUUGAGAAUAUUAUUAAUAAUUAAAAAUACAAUGAAAAUGCCAAUAUUUAAAGAAUAAAUAGCACCGAAACUUGUAAUUCGAUGGGCGCGAUAUUUGAAUCGGUGUAGUGGAGAUUUUAUUCAUCGUAGUUGAUGUCAGAUUCCUCUUUCAUCGAUGCAAAGUUGUUGGAACUUUUCCAAUUCCUGUGCGGGAUCGUUGUGGCAUACGUUUUGUUUCGUUAGCAAAUGUUUCCUCCUUUGCAAUCUUGCGAGCUUGAAAUUUAGGCGUUGUUGACAUGCCUGUAAACGGUCAUGUUCCAUUGUGAAAUUAAUUUGAGAGCUACUAACGAUACCAGUAUGAAGUGGAAAGAGUACUCGCAAGGUUGCAAUCUCAUUGUGGCAUUGGCAGAGUAGAAAGGACAAUAUAUGGCAUUGGAUGAGUAGAAACAGCAAUAUAUGGCAUUGGUAAAUUCGCAAAUUCUUGAUUGGAAGAGUUUUAUUUGUAGUGGAAAGGUCUGUGAAGAGGGAAAUUUAACUUGAAGGCUAAUAAGGAUAGCAACAGCAAGUGGAAAGAGAUCUUGUGCAAUCUUAUCAUGGAAUUGGAAGAGUUUUAAUGUAAGUGAAAUUCUUGAUUGGAAGAGUUUUAAUUGGAAUCUUAUCAUGGAAUUGGAAGAAUUUUAAUUGUAGUGGGAAAGUGUGUUAGGAGUGUUAUUUGGAGUAAGGUGUUUAAGGAGUGUUAGUUAGAAUUAACUUCUUGUUUGAGGGGAACAUGGGGGUGUAAUAUGCCCAAGAUAUUUUUUACGAAAUAAAUUAAAUGUAACACGCUAGAAAAAUAGAGUUGAGAGUGGGAAGGUCUGUGAAGGCUUGUUGCUAAAAAUCCCUUCUCUACCUACCUAACCAAUUAUUGUGUAUCUACUUUUAGCAUAAUGUUUUGCUAAUGGAAUUGGAAGAGUUUUAAUUGUAGUGGGAAGUUGUGUAAGGAGUGUUAGUUGGAAUAAGAUGUGUAAGGAGUGUUAGUUGGAAUUAACUUCUUGUUUGUGGGGAACAUGGGGGUGUAAUGUGUCCAAGAUAUUUUUUACGAAAUAAAUUAAAUGUAAAACGCUAGAAAAAUAGAGUUGACAGUGGGAAGGUCUGUGAAGGUUUGUUGCUAAAAAUCCCUUCUCUACCUACCUAACCAAUUAUUGUGUAAUCUACUUUUAGCUUAAUGUUUUACGAACUCCAUCAAUUGGACUCCAGGUUAUUUUAGUCAAUCAUUAAAUUAAACAUUACCUCAAUUUAACUGGAAUGGCAAAAUUUUUUGUUGUUUCUUGGAACCCUCGAGUUUAUACAAAUGCAUGUGAAAUAGAGGUAAAAUUGUUACUCAUUAUCGUCCGAGUUUGGGGUUUUCUUGACGUCACCUUUCACUUGCCGUUUGUAAUCCAAGAUUUUUAACACACAAAAUCAUUUGAGCGUAAAAAUGAUACAUUUCUUUUGAGUAUUAUUACAUCUAAUUAUAAAUUUCUUUAUAAUGUAUUGUAUACACACAAUUGUAUUGUACAUCUAGAUUUCAUCCAUAAGAUGCCAUCUAGUUUAUACUGAGGAUCGUACUUCUAGUUUAUACUACUGGGAAUUGGUAGCUCCAUUAAAGGUCCAUGCCGCGCAUUAAAUUGCAAGGCUCAUGACUCUUCUUGGCUAAACCAAAGUCUGCCAUCAUGUUCUCUCUAAACCUUCAUUCUCCCAAUUGGCAUUUGCCCGCCAAUUGCCCAUUUCAUUUCCUUUGUUUCCGUUACGCCUACUAUUCAUAAAACAAUCACGGGACUAUUUCAUAAAAUAGACAUUUCAUGAAAAAAUAUUUUUUCUCUAAUCAACGCUAUGACCGUAUUCCGGGACUAAUCUGACUAAUUACUAAUACAAUGAGAGCUAUAUGUCGAAAUGUCUAAACUCACAGAAAAGUCAUAGUACCAUAUUUUGUUGAUUCAUCCAGCAAGGAUCAAUAACAUGUGAAGAAGGAGAAUAUUUAAAUAAUGUAUAGUACCGAAACUUCUAACUUGAUUCUUGUGAACAAUAGAAACAACAAUAAUAUUAUAAUGUUGGGAAUAUAAUUAAUAAUUAAAAAUAUAAUGAAAAUGCCAAUAUUUGAAGAAUAAAUAGCACCGAAACUUGUAAUUCGAUGGGCGCGAUGUUUGAAUCGGUGUAGUGGAGAUUUUAUCCAUCAUAGUUGAUAUCAGAUUCCUCUUUCAUCGAUGCAAAGUUGGUGGAACUUUUCCAAUUCAUGUGCGGGAUCGUUGUGGCGUACGUUUCGUUUCGUUAGCAAAUGUUUCUUCCUUUGCAAUCUUGUGAGUUUGAAAUUUAGGCGUUGUUGACCUGCCUGUAAACGGCCAUGUUCCGUUGUGAAAUUAAUUUGAGAGCUACUAACGAUACCAGUAUAAAGUGGAAAGAGUACUUGCAAGGUUGCAAUCUUAUUAUGUCAUUAGCAGAGUAUAAAGGACAAUGUAUGGCAUUGGAAAAGUAGGAACGGCAAUAUAUGGCAUUGGCAAAUUCGCAAAUUAUUGAUUGGAAGGGUUUGAAUUGUAGUAGAAAGGUUUGUGUGGAGUGAAAUUUAAUUUGAGAACUAAUAAGGAUACCAAUAGCAAGUGGAAAGAGAUCUUGUGCAAUCUUAUCAUGGAAUUGGAAGAGUUUUAAUGUAAGUGAAAUUCUUGAUUGGAAGAGUUUUUAUUGUAGUGGGAAGGUGUGUAAGGAGUGUUAGUUGGAGUAAGGUGUGUAAGGAGUGUUAGUUGGAGUUAACUUCUUAUUUGAGGGGAACUUGGGGGUGUAAUGUGCCCAAGUUAUUUUUUACGAAAUAAAUUAAAUGUAAAACGCUAUAAAAAUAGAGGUAAGAGUGGGAAGAUCUGUGAAUGCUUGUUGCUAAAAAUCCCUUCUCUAUCUACCUACCCAAUUAUUGUGUAAUCUGCUUUUAGCUUAAUAUUUUACGAAUUCCAUCAAUUGGACUCCAGAUUAUUUUAGUCAAUCCUUAAGUUAAACAUUACCUCAAUUUAACUGGAAAGGCAAAAUUUUUUGUUGUUUAUCGGAAUCCACUAGUUUAUGCAGAUGCAUGUGAAAUAGAGGAAAAAUUGUUACUCAUUGUCGUCAGAGUUUGGGGUGUCCUUGACGUCACCUUUCACCUUGCCAUUUGUAAUCCAAGAUUUUUAACGCGCAUUUCUUUUGAGUAGAAAUAAUACAUCUCAUUAUUUCACCUUUCACCUUUCACUUUGUGCGUAGAAAUAAUACAUUUCUUUUGAGUAUUAUUACAUCUCAUUAUAAUUUUCCUUAUAAUGUAUUGUAUACACACAAUUGUAUUAUACAUCUAAGUUUCAUCCAUAAGAUGCCAUCUAGUUUAUACUGAGGAUCGUACUUCUACUUUAUACUACUGGGAAUUUGAAGCUCCAUUAAAGGGUCUUGCCGCGCAUUAAAUUGCAAGGCUCAUGACUCUUCUUGGCUAAACCAAAGUCUGCCAUCAUAUUCACUCUCAACCUUCAUUCUCCCAUUUGGAAUUUGCCCGCCAAUUCCCCACAUCAUCUCCUUUGUUUCCGUUAUGCCCACUAUUCAUAAAAUAGUCACUAGACUAUUUUAAAAAAGAGACAUUUCAUGAAAAAAUAUGUUUUCUCUAAUCCAAGUUAUGACCAUGUUCCGGGACUAAUCUGACUAAUUACUAAUAAAAUGGGAACUAUAUAUCUAAAUGUCUAAACUCACAGAAAAGCCAUAGUACCAUACUUUAUUGAUUCAGCCAGCAAGGAUCAGUUACAUGUGAAGAAUGAAAAUAUUUAAAGAAUGAAUAUCAACGAAACUUCUUACUUGAUUCUUAUAAACAAUAGAAACAAUAAUAAUAUUAUAAUAUUGGUAAUAUUAUUAGUAAUUGAAAAUACAAUGAAAUGGCAAUAUUUAAAGAAUAAAUAGUACCGAAACUUGUAAUUCGAUGGGCGCGAUGUUUGAAUCGGUGUAGUCGAGAUUUUAUCCAUCGUAGUUGAUGUGAGAUUUCUCUCUCGUCGAUGCAAAGUUGUUGGAACUUUUCCAAUUCUUGUGUGGAAUCGUUGUGGCGUACGUUUCGUCUUGUUAGCAAAUGUUUUCUCCUUUGCAAUCUUGCGAGUUUGAAAUUUAGGCGUUGUUGACAUGCCUGUAAACGGUCAUGUUCCAUUGUGAAAUUAAUUUGAGUGUUACUAACGAUACCAGUAUAAAGUGGAAAGAGUACUCGCAAGGUUGCAAUCUUAUUGUGGCAUUGGCAGAGUAGAAGGACAAUAUAUGGCAUUGCAUGAGUAGAAACGGCAAUAUAUGGCAUUGGCAAAUUCGCAAAUUAUUGAUUGGAAGAGUUUUAAUUGUAGUAGAAAUGUCUGUGAAGAGUGAAAUUUAACUUGAGGGCUAAAAAGGAUACCAAUAGCAAGUGGAAGGAGAUCUUGUGCAAUCUUAUCAUGGAAUUGGAAGAGUUUUAAUGUAAGUGAAAUUCUUGAUUGGAAGAGUUUUAAUUGCAAUCUUAUCAUGGAAUUGGAAGAGUUUUAAUUGUAGUAGGAAGGUAUGUGAGGGGAGUUAGUUGGAGUAAAGUGUGUAAGGAGUGUUAGUUGGAGUUAACUUCCUGUUUGAGGGAAACGUGGGGGCGUAAUGUGCCUAGGAUAUUUUUUACGAAAUAAAUUAAAUGUAAAAUGUUAGAAAAAUAGAGCUGAGAGUGAGAAGAUCUGUGAUGGCUUGUUGCUAAAAAUCCCUUCUCUAUCUACCUAACCAAUUAUUGUGUAAUCUACUUUUAGUUUAAUGUUUUACGAACUCCAUCAUUUAGAUUCCAGGUUAUUUUAGUCAAUCCUUAAGUUAAACAUUACCUCAAUUUAACUGGAAAGGCAAAAUUUUUUGUUGUUUCUUGAAACCCUCCAGUUUAUGCAGAUGCAUGUGAAAUAGAGGUAAAAUUGUUACUUAUUGUCGUCUGAAUUUGGGAUUUUCUUGACGUCACUUUUCACCUUGUCGUUUGUAAUCCAAAAUUUUUAACGCACAAAAUCCUUUGUGCGUAGAAAUAAUACAUUUCUUUUUUGUAUUAUUACAUCUAAUUAUAAUUUUCUUUAUAAUGUAUUGUAUACACACAAUUGUAUUAUACAUCUAAGUUUCAUCCAUAAGAUGCCAUAUAAUUUAUACUGAUGAUCGUACUUCUAGUUUAUACUACUGGGAAUUGGAAGCUCCAUUAAAGGUCCUUGCCGCGCAUUAAAUUGCAAGACUCAUAACUCUUCUUGGCUAAACCAAAGUCUGCCAUCAUGUUCUCUCUCAACCUUCAUUCUCCUAUUUGGCAUUUGCCCGCCAAUUCCCCACUUCAUCUCCAUUGUUUCCGUUAAGCCCACUAUUCAUAAAACUGUCACGGGACUAUUUCAUAAAAUAGAUAUUUCAUGAAAAAUAUUUUUUCUCUAAUCAAAGCUAUGACCAUGUUCCGGGACUAAUCUGACUAAUUACUAAUACAACGAGAAUUAUAAGUCUAAAUGUUUAAACUCACAGAAAAGUCAAAGUACCAUACUGUGUUGAUUUAACCAGCAAGGAUCAGUAACAUGUGAAGAAGGAGAAUAUUUAAAGAAUGAAUAGUACCGAAACUUCUAACUUGAUUCUUAUGAGCAAUAGAAACAACACUAAUAUUAUAAUAUUGGAAAUAUUAUUAAUAAUUAAAAAUACAAUGAAAAUGCCAAUAUUUAAUGAAUAAAUAGCACCGAAACCUGUAAUUCGAUGGGCACGAUAUUUGAAUCGGUGUAGUAGAUAUUUUAUUCAUCGUAGUUGAUGUCAGAUUCCUCUUUCAUCGAUGCAAAGUUGUUGGAACUUUUCCAAUUCUUGUGCGGGAUCGUUGUGCGUACGUUUUGUUUCGUGAGCAAAUGUUUCCUCCUUUGCAAUCUUGCGAGUUUGAAAUUUAGGCAUUGUUGACAUUCCUGUAAACGGCCAUGUUCCAUUGUGAAAUUAAUUUGAGAGCUACUAACGAUACCAGUAUGAAGUGGAAAGAGUACUCGCAAGGUUGCAAUCUUAUUGUGGCAUUGGCAGAGUAGAAAGGACAAUAUAUGGCAUUGGAUGAGUAGAAAAAGCAAUAUAUGGCAUUGGCAAAUUCGCAAAUUCUUGAUUGGAAGAGUUUUAAUUGUAGUGGAAAGGUCUGUGAAGAGUGAAAUUUAACUUGAAGGCUAAUAAGGAUAGUAACAGCAAGUGGAAAGAGAUCUUGUGCAAUCUUAUCAUGGAAUUGGAAGAGUUUUAAUGUAAGUGAAAUUCUUGUUUGGAAGAGUUUUAAUUGCAAUCUUAUCAUGGAAUUGGAAGAAUUUUAAUUGUAGUGGGAAAGUGUGUAAGGAGUGUUAGUUGGAGUAAGGUGUUUAAGGAGUGUUAGUUGGAAUUAACUUCUUGUUUGAGGGGAACAUGGGGGUGUAAUGUGCCCAAGAUAUUUUUUACGAAAUAAAUUAAAUGUAAAACGUUAGAAAAAUAGAGUUGAGAGUGGGAAGGUCUAUGAAGGCUUGUUGCUAAAAAUCCCUUCUCUACCUACCUAACCAAUUAUUAUGUAUCUACUUUUAGCCUAAUGUUUUACUAAUGGAAUUGGAAGAGUUUUAAUUGUAAUGGGAAGUUGUGUAAGCAGUUUUAGUUGGAGUAAGGUGUGUAAGGAGUGUUAGUUGGAAUUAACUUCUUGUUUGUGGGGAACAUGGGGGUGUAAUGUGUCCAAGAUGUUUUUUACGAAACAAAUUAAAUGUAAAUCGCUAGAAAAAUAGAGUUGAGAGUGGGAAGGUCUGUGAAGGCUUGUUGCUAAAAAUCCCUUCUCUACCUACCUAACCAAUUAUUGUGUAAUCUACUUUUAGCUUAAUAUUUUACGAACUCCAUCAAUUGGACUCCAGGUUAUUUUAGUCGUUCCUUAAGUUAAACAUUACCUCAAUUUAACUGGAAUGGCAAAAUUUUUUGUUGUUUCUUGGAACCCUCAUGUUUAUACAAAUGCAUGUGAAAUAGAGGUAAAAUUGUUACUCAUUGUCGUCUGAGUUUGGGGUUUUCUUGACGUCACCUUUCACUUACCGUUUGUAAUCCAAGAUUUUUAACACACAAAAUCAUUUGAGCGUAAAAAUGAUACAUUUCUUUUGAGUAUUAUUACAUCUAAUUAUAAAUUUCUUUAUAAUGUAUUGUAUACACACAAUUGUAUUAUACAUCUAGGUUUCAUCCAUAAGAUGCCAUCUAGUUUAUACCUGAGGAUCGUACUUCUAGUUUAUACUACUGGGAAUUGGUAGCUCCAUUAAAGGUCCUUGCCGCGCAUUAAAUUGCAAGGCCCAUGACUCUUCUUGGCUAAACCAAAGUCUGCCAUCAUAUUCUCUCUAAACCUUCAUUCUCCCAAUUGGCAUUUGCCCGCCAAUUGCCCAUUUCAUUUCCUUUGUUUCCGUUAUGCCUACUAUUCAUAAAACAAUCACGGGACUAUUUCAUAAAGUAGACAUUUCAUGAAAAAAUAUUUUUUCUCUAAUCAAAGCUAUGACCAUGUUCCGGGACUAAUCUGACUAAUUACUAAUACAAUGAGAACUAUAUGUCUGAAUGUCUAAACUCACAGAAAAGUCAUAGUACCAUACUUUGUUGAUUCAUCCAGCAAGGAUCAAUAACAUGUGAAGAAGGAGAAUAUUUAAAUAAUGAAUAGUACCGAAACUUCUAACUUGAUUAUUGUGAACAAUAGAAAAAACACUAAUAUUAUAAUAUUGGAAAUGUUAUUAAUAAUUAAAAAUACAAUGAAAAUGUCAAUAUUUAAUGAAUAAAUAGCACCGAAACCUGUAAUUCGAUGGGCACGAUAUUUGAAUCGGUGUAGUAGAGAUUUUAUUCAUCGUAGUUGAUGUCAGAUUCCUUUUUCGUCGAUGCAAAGUUGUUGGAACUUUUCCAAUUCUUGUGCAGGAUCGUUGUGGCGUACGUUUUGUUUCGUGAGCAAAUGUUUCCUCCUUUGCAAUCUUGCGAGAUUGAAAUUUAGGCAUUGUUGAGAUUCCUGUAAACGGCCAUAUUCCAUUGUGAAAUUAAUUUGAGAGCUACUAACGAUACCAGUAUGAAGUGGAAAGAGUACUCGCAAGGUUGCAAUCUUAUUGUGGCAUUGGCAGAGUAGAAAGGACAAUAUAUGGCAUUGGAUGAGUAGAAACAGCAAUAUAUGGCAUUGGCAAAUUCGUAAAUUCUUGAUUGGAAGAGUUUUAAUUGUAGUGGAAAGGUCUGUGAAGAGUGAAAUUUAACUUGAAGGCUAAUAAAGAUAGCAACAGCAAGUGGAAAGAGAUCUUGUGCAAUCCUAUCAUGGAAUUGGAAGAGUUUUAAUGUAAGUGAAAUUCUUGAUUGGAAGAGUUUUAAUUGCAAUCUUAUCAUGGAAUUGGAAGAAUUUUAAUUGUAAUGGGAAAGUGUGUAAGGAGUGUUAGUUGGAGUAAGGUGUGUAUGGAGUGUUAAUUGGAAUUAAUUUCUUAUUUGAGGGGAACUUGGGGGUGUAAUGCGCCCAAGUUGUUUUUUACGAAAUAAAUUAAAUGUAAAACGCUAUAAAAAUGGAGGUAAGAGUGGGAAGAUCUGUGAAGGCUUGUUGCUAAAAAUCACUUCUCUAUCUACCUUCCCAAUUAUUGUGUAAUAUGCUUUUAGCUUAAUGUUUUACGAAUUCCAUCAAUUGGACUCCAGGUUAUUUUAGUCAAUCCUUAAGUUAAACAUUACCUCAAUUUAACUGGAAAGGUAAAAUUUUUUGUUGUUUCUCGGAAUCCACUAGUUUAUGCAGAUGCAUGUGAAAUAGAGGAAAAAUUGUUACUCAUUGUCGUCAGAGUUUGGGGUGUUCUUGACGUCACCUUUCACCUUGCCAUUUGUAAUCCAAGAUUUUUAACGCGCAUUUCUUUUCAGUAGAAAUAAUACAUCUCAUUAUUUCACCUUUCACCUUUCACUUUGUGCGUAGAAAUAAUACAUUUCUUUUGAGUAUUAUUACAUCUCAUUAUAAUUUUCCUUAUAAUGUAUUGUAUACACACAAUUGUAUUAUACAUCUAAGUUUCAUCCAUAAGAUGCCAUCUAGUUUAUACUGAGGAUCGUACUUCUACUUUAUACUACUGGGAAUUUGAAGCUCCAUUAAAGGGUCUUGCCGCGCAUUAAAUUGCAAGGCUCAUGACUCUUCUUGGCUAAACCAAAGUCUGCCAUCAUAUUCACUCUCAACCUUCAUUCUCCCAUUUGGAAUUUGCCCGCCAAUUCCCCACAUCAUCUCCUUUGUUUCCGUUGUACCCACUAUUCAUAAAACAGUCACGAGACUAUUUCAAAAAAGAGACAUUUCAUGAAAAAAUAUGUUUUCUCUAAUCCAAGUUAUGACCAUGUUCUGGGACUAAUCUGACUAAUUACUAAUAAAAUGAGAACUAUAUAUCUAAAUGUCUAAACUCACAGAAAAGCCAUAGUACCAUACUUUAUUGAUUCAGCCAGCAAGGAUCAGUUACAUGUGAAGAAUGAAAAUAUUUAAAGAAUGAAUAGCAACGAAACUUCUUACUUGAUUCUUAUAAACAAUAGAAACAAUAAUAAUAUUAUAAUAUUGGUAAUAUUAUUAGUAAUUGAAAAUACAAUGAAAUGGCAAUAUUUAAAGAAUAAAUAGUACCGAAACUUGUAAUUCGAUGGGCGCGAUGUUUGAAUCAGUGUAGUCGAGAUUUUAUCCAUCGUAAUUAAUAUGAGAUUUCUCUCUCGUCGAUGCAAAGUUGUUGGAACUUUUCCAAUUUUUGUGUGGGAUCGUUGUGGCGUACGUUUCGUCUUGUUAGCAAAUGUUUUCUCCUUUGCAAUCUUGCGAGUUUGAAAUUUAGGCGUUGUUGACAUGCCUGUCAACGGUCAUGUUCCAUUGUGAAAUUAAUUUGAGUGUUACUAACGAUACCAGUAUAAAGUGGAAAGAGUACUCGCAAGGUUGCAAUCUUAUUGUGGCAUUGGCAGAGUAGAAAGGACAAUAUAUGGCAUUGGAUGAGUAGAAACGGCAAUAUAUGGCAUUGGCAAAUUCGCAAAUUCUUGAUUGGAAGAGUUUUAAUUGUAGUGAAAAGGUCUGUAAAGAGUGAAAUUUAACUUGAUGGCUAAUAAGGAUACCAAUAGCAAGUGGAAGGAGAUCUUGUGCAAUCUUAUCAUGGAAUUGGAAGAGUUUUAAUUGUAGUAGGAAGGUAUGUGAUGGGAGUUAGUUGGAGUAAAGUGUAUAAGGAGUGUUAGUUGGAGUUAACUUCCUGUUUGAGGGGUACGUGGGGGCGUAAUGUGCCUAGGAUAUUUUUUACGAAAUAAAUUAAAUGUAAAAUGCUAGAAAAAUUGAGUUGAGAGUGAGAAGAUCUGUGAUGGCUUGUUGCUAAAAAUUCCUUCUCUAUCUACCUAACCAAUUAUUGUGUAAUCUACUUUUAACUUAAUAUUUUACGAAUUCCAUCAAUUGGAUUCCAAGUUAUUUUAGUCAAUCCUUAAGUUAAACAUUACCUCAAUUUAAUUGGAAAGGCAAAAUUUUUUGCUGUUUCUUGAAACCCUCCAGUUUAUGCAGAUGCAUGUGAAAUAGAGGUAAAAUUGUUACUUAUUGUCGUCUGAAUUUGGGAUUUUCUUGACGUCACCUUUCACCUUGUCGUUUGUAAUCCAAAAUUUUUAACGCACAAAACCCUUUGUGCGUAGAAAUAAUACAUUUCUUUUUUGUAUUAUUACAUCUAAUUAUAAUUUUCUUUAUAAUGUAUUGUAUACAAACAAUUGUAUUAUACAUCUAGGUUUCAUCCAUAAGAUGCCAUCUAAUUUAUACUGAUGAUCGUACUUCUAGUUUAUACUACUGGGAAUUGGAAGCUCCAUUAAAGGUCCUUGCUGCGCAUUAAAUUGCAAGACUCAUGGCUCUUCUUGGCUAAACCAAAGUCUGCCAUCAUGUUCUCUCUCAACCUUCAUUCUCUCAUUUGGCAUUUGCCCGCCAAUUCCCCACUUCAUCUCCAUUGUUUCCAUUAUGCCCACUAUUCAUAAAACUGUCACGGGACUGUUUCAUAAAAUAGACAUUUCAUGAAAAAUAUUUUUUCUCUAAUCAAAGCUAUGACCAUGUUCCGGGACUAAUCUGACUAAUUACUAAUACAAUGAGAACUAUAAGUCUAAAUGUCUAAACUCACAGAAAAGCCAAAGUACCAUACUGUGUUGAUUUAACCAGCAAGGAUCAGUAACAUGUGAAGAAGGAGAAUAUUUAAAGAAUGUGAAGAAGGAGAAUAUUUAAAGAAUGAAUAGUACCGAAACUUCUAACUUGAUUCUUAUGAACAAUAGAAACAACACUAAUAUUAUAAUAUUGGAAAUAUUAUUAAUAAUUAAAAAAACAAUGAAAAUGCCAAUAUUUAAUGAAUAAAUAGCACCGAAACCUGUAAUUCGAUGGGCGCGAUAUUUGAAUCGGUGUAGUGGAGAUUUUAUUCAUCGUAGUUGAUGUCCGAUUCCUCUUUCAUCGAUGCAAAGUUGUUGGAACUUUUCCAAUUCUUGUGCGGGAUCGUUGUGGCGUACGUUUUGUUUCAUUAGCAAAUGUUUCCUCCUUUGCAAUCUUGCGAGAUUGAAAUUUAGGCAUUCUUGACAUUCCUGUAAACGGCCAUGUUCCAUUGUGAAAUUAAUUUGAGAGCUACUUACGAUACCAGUAUGAAGUGGAAAGAGUACUCGCACGGCUACAAUCUUAUUAUGGCAUUGGCAGAGUAUAAAGGACAAUAUAUGGCAUUGGAAGAGUAGGAAUGGCAAUAUGUGGCAUUGGCAAAUUAGCAAAUUCUUGAUCGAAAGGGUUUUAAUUGUAGUGGAAAGGUUUGUGUGGAGUGAAAUUUAACUUGAGAGCUAAUAAGGAUACCAACAGCAAGUGGAAAGAGAUCUUGUGCAAUCUUAUCAUGGAAUUGGAAGAGUUUUAAUGUAAGUGAAAUUCUUGAUUGGAAGAGUUUUAAUUUCAAUCUUAUCAUGGAAUUGGAAGAGUUUUUAUUGUAGUGGGAAGAUGUGUAAGGAGUGUUAGUUUGUGUAAGGUGUGUAAGGAGUGUUAGUUAGAGUUAACUUCUUGUUUGAGGGGAACAUGGGGGUGUAUUGUGCCCAAGAUGUUUUUUACGAAAUUAAUUAUAUGUAAAACGCUAGAAAAAUAGAGUUGACAGUGGGAAGGUCUGUGAAGGUUUGUUGCUAAAAAUCCCUUCUCUAUCUACCUAACCAAUUAUUGUGUAAUCUACUUUUAACUUAAUAUUUUACGAACUCCAUCAAUUGGACUCCAGGUUAUUUUAGUCAAUUCUUAAGUUAAACAUUACCUCAAUUUAACUGGAAAGGCUAAAUUUUUUGUUGUUUCUUGAAACCCUCUAGUUUAUGCAGAUGCAUGUGAAAUAGAGAUAAAAUUGUUACUCAUUGUCGUCUGAGUUUGGGGCUUUCUUGACGUCAUCUUCACCUUGCCGUUUGUAAUCCAUGUUUUUUAACGCACAAAAUCCUUUGUGCGUAGAAAUAAUACAUUUCUUUUGAGUAUUAUUACAUCUAAUUAUAAUUUUCUUUAUAAUGUAUUGUAUACACACAAUUGUAUUAUACAUCUAGGUUUCAUCCAUAAGAUGCCAUCUAGUUUAUGCUGAGGAUCGUACUUCUAGUUUAUACUACUGGAAAUUGGAAGCUCCAUUAAAGGUCCUUGUCGCGCAUUAAAUUGCAAGGCUCAUGACUCUUUUUGGCUAAACCAAAGUCUGCUAUCAUGUUCUCUCUCAACCUUCAUUCUCCCACUUGGCAUUUGCCUGCCAAUUCCCCACUUCAUCUCCUUUGUUUCCAUUAUGCCUACUAUUCAUAAUACAGUCACGGGACUAUUUCAUAAAAUAGACAUUUCAUGAAAAAAUAUUUUUUCUCUAAUCAAAGCAAUGACCAUGUUCCUGGACUAAUCUGACUAAUUACUAAUACAAUGAGAACUAUAUGUCUAAAUGUCUAAACUCAUAGAAAAGCCAUAGUACCAUACUUUGUUGAUUCAGUCAGCAAGGAUCAGUAACAUGUGAAGAAGGAGAAUAUUUAAAGAAUGAAUUGUACCGAAACUUCUAACUUGAUUCUUAUGAAUAAUAGAAAUAACAAUAAUAUUAUAAUAUUGGAAAUAUUAUUAAUAAUUAAAAAUACAAUGAAAAUACCAAUAUUUAAAGAAUAAAUAGCACCGAAACUUGUAAUUCGAUGGGCGCGAUGUUUGAAUCGGUUAGUGGAGAUUUAAUCCAUCGUUGUUGAUGUCAGAUUCCUCUUUCGUCGAUGCAAAGUUGUUGGAACUUUUUCAAUUCUUGUGCGGGAUCGUUGUGGCAUACGUUUCGUUUCGUUAGCAAAUGUUUCCUCCUUUGCAAUCUUGCGAGGUUGAAAUUUAGGCGUUGUUGACAUGCCUGUAAACGGUCAUGUUCCAUUGUGAAAUUAAUUUGAGAGCUACUAACGAUACCAAUAUAAAGUGGAAAGAGUACUUGCAAGGUUGCAAUCUUAUUAUGGAAUUGGCAGAGUAGAAAGGACAAUAUAUGGCAUUGGAUGAGUAGAAACGGUAAUAUAUGCCAUUGGCAAAUUCGCAAAUUCUUGAUUAGAAGGGUUUUAAUUGUAGUGGAAAGGUCUGUGUGGUGUGAAAUUUAACUUGAGGGCUAAUAAGGAUACCAACAGCAAUUGGAAAGAGAUCUUAUGCAUUGUUAUCAUGGAAUUAGAAGUGUUUUAAUGUAAGUGAAAUUCUUGAUUGGAAGAGUUUUAAUUGCAAUCUUGUCAUGGAAUUGGAAGAGUUUUAAUUGUAGUGGGAAGGUGUGUGAGAAAUAUUAGUUGAAAUAAGGUGUGUAAGGAGUGUUAGUUGGAGUUAACUUCUUGUUUGAGGGAAACGUGGGAGUGUAAUGUACCCAUAAUGUUUUUUACGAAAUAAAUUAAAUGUAAAAUGAUAGAAAAAUAGAGUUGAGAGUGGGAAGGUUUGUGAAGGUUUGUUACUAAAAAUUCCUUCUCAAAUUUAAAUAGAUAUAGAUUAUUUUAAUGUACUUUUUGAUCAAACAAAUGGUUACUCAACAUCUUUUCAAAUUCAAAUCCAUCGACUGCAGCUGCGAUUCUCAGUGAUCAUGGUAACUCUAAAUUUAUCCGCAAUUUCAAAUUCAUGCUUAACGAUUAAUUUUUUUUAAUGCGCUACAUUAUUAUAUUAACUUUCUGUAUUACAUAAUGGUAGAUGAAUUACAUAAUGACUCACCAACUUCUGAAUUUUCUAUUACACCUACGUCAUCAUCUAAUGGUCUCGAUGAUGAUAAGUCCAAGUUUUCUCAUGUAUCUUGACUAAGUAAUCAAUUAUUAUUUAUGCAAUUCAAUUUCUUUCAAUUCAUUUUUUGCAUUUGACUUCCAAAAAUUCAUUAUACAUACAGGCUCAUCCGAAGAAUUUGUUCCUGCUACACAAGACAUUAUGCCUACUAACACAGUUGGAGUAGAACAAAUAGGUAAUCUACUAAUACUUUUCUCAUGUUACCAUAAUUAAUAUUUCUUGCUAUAUGUUCUUAGGCAUACUAAUAUUAUGUGCUUUAUUUUCAUACAAUAACUUUACAAUAUGUCUUUCAUACAGUGAUAGUUUUAGGUAUGUACCUUAUUAUACUUAUUUUAUUAAUGAAUUAGAUCAAAUAGGCCGAACGCGACGGCAACAUCGAAUCACAAGAAGAUGGACAUUUGGUCCAAGAACAGUAAUCUGUCACAAAUGUCAAUCUCUAAUAUGGGUGGAAGAAAGAAUUCAAGGUAGUACAAAAUAAAAUCCAAGAUUGAAUUUAUAUUGUUAAGAUGGGAAUGUUGUUUUACUGUUCUUGCCUCAAACUCCCUAAGUUUUACAACAUAUAUUUACCACUUCAACAUUGAAAGAGAAGAUUCGAUUGCUGAAUGCACUAUUCGGGUUUACAUCCAUGGGAGGCAAAAUAGAUCAUUCUGUAGUCAAUUCUGUCGGACCAUAUUCAUUUCGAAUUAGUGGAGAAAAUUAUCAUCUAAUCGGAUCGCUUUUGCCACCUCUUGGAGAAUUAAGUAGAUUCAUACAAUUAUACAUUCAUGAUAUUGACAAUGAGUUGCAGAAUCGUAUGAAUCUUCUGAAUAGUCAUGAUGGCAAUCCAAUUGGGAUUGAUGCAUCAAUAAUUGAAGGAUUGCAAAAUAUGUUAGAUGAAAUAAAUCCAUAUGUACAAGUUUUUCGAAGUGCAAGAGACAUGCUUCGAAAUCAAAAUAUUGUCAAUAUGCAAGUAUAGAUAAUUAGUGCUCGAGGUGACAGACAAUAUAUCCAACCAACUGCAAAUGAAGUUGCUGCUUUGAUUGUCGGUGAAGAUACUGGUCAUGUCACACACCGUGAUAUUGUGCUUGUCACUCGAGAUGGAAAUUUGAAAAGAAUCAGUGAGACACAUCCAUCAUAUAUGCCACUUCAAUACCCUUUACUAUUUUCAUAUGGAAUAGACGGAUGGCAUUGUGCAAUAAGAUUUUCACCCUCUGCCGUUAGGAAGAGAGAAUUUGUGUCGAUGCGCGAAUUCUAUGCGUAUCGUAUAUAAUUUCGACAAAAUGAAGGCCACAAACUUUUGAAAGGUGCCAAACUAUUUCAACAAUUCGUUGUUGAUUGUUAUGCAGCUAUUGAACACUACAGAUUAAAUUUUAUAAAAACCCAUCAAUCUAUAUUACAUGCUGAUAUAUAUCAAGGUUUAGAAGAUGUUGUACUUGCUGGAGGUACAGAUGAAUCAGUAGUUGGAAGGACAGGAUGCGAUGGCAAUUUGUAGGACAAUUGAAAAUCCAGAUCUUUUCAUUACAUUUACUUGCAAUCCCAGUUGGCCAGAAAUUAAACAAGAGUUGACAAGAAUAUCGGGACAGAAAGUUGAGGACAGACCAGAUAUUACGGUUCGAUUUUUCGGAUAAGACAAAAAAAUUUGAUGGAUGUUUUAAAAAAUACCCAAUUAUUUGGAAAAGGGCUUGCAGGUACAAAUUUUACUUUAUUUAAAUUAUUAAUUUUUUUUCCAAUCCCUAUAUUCUACUAUACACUAAGAUUACUUCCAUAAUGUGCAGACAUCUCUGUCAUUGAAUUUCAAAAACGUGAUUUACCACAUACUCAUAUCACUCUAACAUUAGCUCCGGAUGAUAAGCCCCUUACUCCAGAGCAAAUUGAUGAUAUCAUUUGUGCUGAAAUACCUGACAAAAAUGCUGACACACUAGCUUAUGAUACGGUCAUUAGGUGCAUGUUACACGGACCCUGUGGUGAUACUCAUCCAAAUGCUCCGUGUAUGGUGAAUGGAAAGUGCUCUAAACACUAUCCAAAAAAAUUUUGUAGUGAAACCACUAUUGAUGAAAAUGAAUUUGUAUCAUACAGACGUAGAGAUGAUUCAAAUAAGAGGGUAACUAUUAAUGGUUUUACAUUUGGCAACAGAUGGGUUGUUUCUUAUAAUCGAGAUUUGAUUGUGAUGUUUGAUGGUCAUAUCAAUGUGACCAAAGUUACACGUCCGGAAAUCACUAAAUAUCUGUACAAGUACAUGAGUAAUGGGGGUUGGUAGAGUAAAUGUUCAGAUUGAGAAUAACGUUGUACUUGCAAAUGAAAGUUGUGAUGACCCCACCUCCUCCUAGAGCGUACCCUAGGGUUUAGCGAUUCGCCUGCCCAACUCUCGUCGGGACUCACUCACAUUUAACUCAAGAAAAGAACUUACAACCAUAGAAAAGAAAUAAAACAACGAUUUCAAACUUAACAUAUACAUCAAUACUCAAAUCCAGUUACAAGACUUAUACACACCCAAAUAUAUCAAGGUGUUUACAAUCCAGGUGCAACCAACUCUAGUCCAGCACUAGCGCGAGUACAAUUGUAAAAUCCAAAAAAACUAGACUACGCUAGCCUGUACAAGUCUCACACCUCGUUCGUAUCCCUUAUAAGGAAAACAAAACUAAAAGAAUGAACUAAAAGCCAGUGAGGUUCCAUACACAUAAUCGAGCAAUUAAAUCCAGGACAUUAAUCAUUUAAUAGAAAAUAAUCCAAAAAAUAUUUAACAUACAAAAUCAAUAAUAACCCACUCAUUAAAAGGAUAUAUGCUCACGUGGAGCCAUUCGUUCAUUCGUUCGCCAACCAUUUUUCUUAUUCCUCCAACAUUAGAAAACAUUUGCAAAUGAAAACUCUUCCAAUGUUUUUGACAUUCAUUCAUUCAUUCAUUUCAUUUCCCGCCACUAGCCAAUUCACUGGAUAGUCUCCACCAAUCUUCGUAGUCAUACUCGAGUAUACCAAACAUUAUCUCAGGGUCACCAAUCGUCCGACCGAGUCUGCUUCUGACUCGAGCCGACUGGCAACAAAGAGCAAGGGCCAAUUCAACUAAAAGUCUUACAUUCAUGCACAAGUAGCAUUUAAUCAUUGAAAAUUUCACAUUUAUUUAGGUCGAGUACGAUAAAGUACACACUCGCCUAACAAAAAUUCAUUUUAGCAAUCAUUGAAAAUAUUUAACAUUUAAUUAAACAUUCACAAUAAUCCACAUGGUCAUUUGAAGCAUAACCUACAAAAAACACUCACCAAUUUAAGUAAAAUAACGUCAAAAGUUUCCUUCCAGAUUAUGCCCUUAAUCACCGACAAACCCUAAGAAUGACCAAUCCUAAAUUGAAGUGAGCAAAGGUAAUUCAAAGUUUUCGAAAGAAAACUAGCACUUUUCAUCUUAGUUGAUAUCAAAUCUUGGUCAAAAUAAUUGAUAUAUUAAUAUUGAAAUGCAUUCAAGGAUACAUAUGUAACUUAAGAUCCAACUAACCCUAAACUCAAACCUUACAUCUCACUAAUAUUUAUAAAAGCAAGUAAUAGAAAUUUGGGCAGCAUGCCCUUUGUAUUUUGCCACUUUUCAGCCAUUUAUGAGUUCAUUUUUUUCCUCAACUCAGCCCAAAUUCAUACAUAAGCAAUCUUAACACAAUAACCCUUCAACUACGCUUAAUGUCAUCCAAAUACAAGGCAAUUCUAGCAAUGCAACCAUAAAAAUCAAAGUUGGAAACCAGUUUUGAAGACGAAUGGCUAAGUAGCAGGUUUGACAUCUUCCGGCGUUUUAAUCACAUUUGAAGCUACACUUAUCGGAUUGGGGUAAAUUUUAUGGAGUUUCAAAGCUAAGACAUAGACCUACAUUUCCUAUGAAGAUAUCGACACCCAGUUUGUGCAUUUUCAGGGUUAAAAUGUGCAAUAUCAGAGAAAACAGAAAGCUGCCUGUGAAAUAGGGCUUUUGGCAGUCAGGGGUAUUUUAGUUAUUUCACAUGAUACAGUACUCAGAUUGAGCUGAAAGUUUACAGGCCGAUAGUUAACUCCAUUCCCUACAACUUUUAUGUUUUGAUCUAAAUCUGAUUCGGCCUCUAUCAUGGACGAAUAUAUAGGUCAAAAAUAGGGCAAAUUCAUCAUUAAUAUUGGAAAUUUGAUGUUUCAAUGCUUAAAACUAACACCCAUGCCUUUAAUCAUUACGCCAAGUCCCUAUCCAAACUCAUAAACAUCAUAUACAAGAUAAACAACUUUAAUCACAAUUGAAAAUUACAAACUAGCUGAAAAUUAUAAGCUAAUAAGUAAGACCAUGAAAUCUUCCAUAAAAUUCAUCACUAUCAAGUCAUGCAUUGCUUCAAUUGCAAAAUAAGAAAGAAAAAGAGAGGUUUCUAGUAUAAUACCUCAAAAAUCCCAAAAUAAGUUGUGAUACAAGAACUUUCUUCCUCUCAAAAGUUGCACCAAGCUUACCUCCAAGCUUCCCCGUAGAUUUAUCGGAGUGGAUUCAAGUUUUACUUUACUUUUCUCAAGAAUCAAGCAAGCUAUCAAGAUGAAAUUUUUGGAAGUUUUUCUCUCUUUUCUUUCCCUAGAAUUUCAGCCAAGGUGAAGGAAAUGGAGAAGAAAUGAAGCCAAAAGAAAGAUAAGAAGAUAGGAAAUUAAUUUGGUCAAAAUUGGUUGGAUCCUUGAUACUUGUCAAGCCAAGAUUUCCUUUCUUUGUUUUUUUCUUUUCUUUCCUUUCCUUUGGUCAAAAAUGGUGGCUUCUUUAUAGGAUAUUUUAGGGGUAAUUAGCUGAAAUAAAAGAAAGGAAAUUAAGAUAAUAAAGUAGUGUUCAAGUGGUGUACUCACUCGGUAGCAAACGGUGUACGUCGGUUCGAGCUGUUUUUCCUUAACUCGCACGUACUUGUGUUUUUACUUAUGGUUCACUAAUUUAUUAUUAUCACUUCUAAUCGCACACUUUUUCUUAUUUAGUACACACAGUUCACCAAGUAAUCACACGGUCAAAAUACGCGAAAAUCCUAAUUUACGCUAACUAUAAAACUUAAGGUACAACCCUUGAUUCUAUGAUUUAUUGUAACUAUUGAGGGAGUAAAUGAGUAGUAAAGAUAUUAUAAAGUAAUUUAAUCAAAAUAAAAGGAUAUUUUAAGAAAAUAAGAAGAACUUUUCGAGUCCUCACAAAAGUGGUCAUCGUCGUUACAGAAGCGCUGAUGAGAUUAAAUAGUACUUAGAUUGUCGAUAUUUAUCGCCAAUUGAGUCAUGUUGGAAGAUAUUUGAUUUCGAAAUGCACAGACAGUAUCCAUUAGUGAUUAGAUUGCAGUAUCAUCUUCCUGAUCAUCAAUUUGUGAUAUUUAACGAUGAUAAUCAUCUUUAUGACGUUCUUGAUCGUGAUCACAUACAUGACACAAUGUUGACGAAAUGGUUUGAAAUAAAUCAAAGCGAUGUUUCAGCUAGAAACUUGAUGUUUGUGGAGUUUCCGAGUAAGUGAAAUUGGAACCAAAAUAAACGUCUAUGGGAGUCCAGAUUGCAAGGCUACCAUAUGCACAUCCUCAUUCUGGUGAGCGAUACUAUUUGAGAAUGUUGCUGCAUAAAAUUCGUGAUGGACGAAGUUUUGAACAUUUGAGAACUAUUGAUGGAGUUGUGCAUCCAACAUUCAAAGCUGCAUGUGCAACACUUGGUCUUUCAGAUGAUUAUAAUGAGUGGAAUGAAGCUUUAGCUGAAGCAUCUACAUGGGCAUCUGCCAAAAAAUUACGAAACAUGUAUUGUACAAUACUUAUGCAUUCUGAAGUAACUAACCCUUUUGAUAUAUGGUAGCGUCACUGGAAAAGUAUGACAGAUGAUUUGCAAUAUCAGAUCAGAAGGGAUAUGGGAAACUCUCAAAUAUGCAUUGAUGAUGAUGAGUUACAAAAUUUGGAAUUAGUUGAACUCGAACUCAUUUUGAAUAAAAAUGGUCAAUCUUUAUGAGAUUUUUCACCAAUGCCAUUGCCGUCAUUUGAAAAUGCUCAGUUUUCCAUGAAUAGACUUAUAAGAGAAGAGCUUGAUUACGAUUUUACAUCAGAGCAACAAUUAUUUGAUAAUUUAUAUGCUAGUUUGAAUGAGGAUCAAUUGAAAGCAUAUGAUCUUAUUAUGGAAUCAUACACACAUAAUCACGGAGGACUAUUUUUUGUGUAUGGAAGUGGUGGGACAGGUAAAACUUAUUUAUGGAGAACAUUUAUUGCUCGAAUUAGAUCGCAGAGAAAAAUUGUUCUUUCAGUUGCAUCAUCAGGCAUUGCUGCAACACUCUUACCAGAUGGAAGGACAGCGCAUUCACAUUUCAAAAUUCCUAUUAAUUUGGAUAUGUCAUCAAGUUGUUCAAUCAAUAAAAAUUUUGACUUAGCCAAAUUAAUUAGAGAGACAUCUUUGAUAAUUUGGGACGAAACUCCAAUGACACAUUGACAUGGAUUUGAAGCGGUGGAUAGAACUUUCAAGGAUAUUUUAAAGUUGAGUGAAAAUGAUUCUGAGGAUUGUAUUUUCGGAGGAAAAUUGGUUGUUUUGGGUGGUGAUUUUCGACAAAUAUUACCGAUUGUUUCUAAUGGUAGAAGAAAAGCAACAGUAUCAGCUACAAUAAAAGAUCAACGAUUUGGGAUCACUGUAGAGUACUGGAUCUUAAAAUAAAUAUGCAAUUAAUGAAUUUACCUCUUCUUGAAAAUAUGCGCCAGCAAUUGACAGAUUUUGCAAAUUAGUUGUUGUCUGUUGGUGAAGGAAAGGUUUCAGCAAUUUUACUUGCUGAAUUUGGGGAAUCAAAUUGGAUUCGGAUGCUGUCGCAAUUUCUCAUAAAAAAUGACAGUCAAUCUUUGAUGCGGUUAAUAGAUUCUGUCUAUCCAAAUUUGAGAAAUUCAUACAAAAAUAGCACUUACCUCAAGGAAUGUGCUAUUUUGGCUCCAAAAAAUGGUGAUGUUGACAAGUUGAAUGAUAAGAUGCCAUCAAUACUUCUUAGUCAAUCACGUGCCUAUAUGAGUGCUGAUACUUUUUGCAAUACUAAAGGUGACAUUGUUGAAAAUAUGAAUCUCUUGAAAUGUUGCAUUUUUUGAAUUUUCCUAGACUUUCAAAUCAUUUUUUGGACUUAAAGAAGGAACUCCUAUAAUUUUUUUGAGAAAUCUCAAUCAGUCAGAAGGUCUUUGCAAUGGAACACGACUUGUCGUUACUAGAAUAGGGGAUAAAGUUCUCAAGGCAAAAGUCAUAACAGGAUCUAAUAUUAGAGAUUUAGUACUCAUACCUCAUAUCUCUUUAACACCACAGAGUGCACGGACUCCUUUUCCAAUUAAAAGGAGACAAUUUCCUGUGAAAGUGGCAUUUGCAAUGACUAUCAACAAAAGUCAGGGCCAAACAUUGAAAAAUGUUGGCGUUUACCUUCCUGAACCUGUGUUUGCACAUGGUCAACUUUAUGUUGCUCUGUCCCGUGCUACUUCGCCAGUUGGAUUGAAAAUACUCAUUGUUAAUAGAGAUAAUGAUCCAUGGAAUUACACAAAAAAUAUUGUGUAUCGUGAGAUUUUUGACUCCCUUUGAUAAAUUGUGGACAUCGCUUUGUUUAAAAAAAUAGUAUAUUUACUUCAUAUUAUAUGUACUAUAUAUGCUUCACACUUUGACAUUUUUUUGUACUUCUUUGAAUUUGUGUUACUUGCUGUCUCAACUACAGUGUUUAAAUAAUUAACCUUCAUGCUAUAUUAUAAUAAUUUACAGUAUUCGAUGUAUACCUUUUCUCUAUCUAGAUCCUUGCGGAUACUGAUGGAAUGUAAAGGUUAGAUUGUUUCGAUUAAUAAAUAUGACCAUAUAUGGAGUGCUUCAACGUUCGGGAUGUAUCAAGAUACUUUUUGUAGAUGAUCAGGUAAUAAUUAAGAGCGUAUGUUAUUUAUUAUAUUGAAUAUAGAAUAUUGAAUAUUUACUAAUCUGUUGAAAACUAUCAUAAAUUUGUCAUGCAGGGACUUAUAAGAGGCAGUAAUAUAAUAAACAUUUUCGCAGAUCAUCUCCAUGAAGGCAAGGUAUACUGGUUUCAAAAAAUAUAUGUAUAUAAUUUCGACAGAUCUUAAAUAACAGCUUGCACCGCAUUAGUACCAAUUAUCGUUUGGAAACGAUACGAAGAUAGUGAAUAUUUUAGAUGAUUGUCGAACCAUACCCCGUUUCAAGUUUAAUCUGGUCAAACUAAGAGAUACAGAACAGCACAUGGACAAUGAUUUGCAAUUGAUAGGUAUUUCAUUCAUAAUUAACCAUACUUCUAUUUAAGUUGUAUAUUUGAACUGGUAUUACUUAUACUUUUUGAUCUUUUGCAGAUGUAAUUGGUUUAAUUGUAUCUGUUGGUUCACACUAUCAAACAUCUAUCAAUGAUAAAACUAAGUGUGACAUACUUUUACUUGACAAAAGGUUAGUUAAUAGAUUCAAUAUCUUUGAAAUAUUUUAUAUUCUACAAAUUUUGAUUUAUACUUACCAAAAUUCUCUAAAUGAAGUUUGACAGUAGUUCAGUUGACUUUAUGUGAUAAAUUUGCAACUGAUGAUGGUGAACACUUGCAUCAAACUAUUACAAAAAUGUUUUGCUAGCCUGUGGUAUUUGUGUGAGAAAUUAUAAAGGUAAUUCAAUUUAUUUUCACUUUAUUUUAUUUAAUUUUUAUAGUUUAUCAAUAAAUAUAGCACAUUGUGCAGGACCGUCACUUUAUACUAUUCAAGCAAGCAAAUUGUAUGUGAAUUGCUACUUGGACUUUGCUCAAUACCUACAUAAUUGGUAAGUUUUACAAAUACCAAAAUAUUAAAUUAUUAAUAAUAUUUCAUACCCUUACGAAUAUGUAUUUGAAAAAUUUGCAGGUUUGAGAAUGAUAAAUGUGCUCAGAAAUUAGUGCGUGGUUGCAGUCAUGCAAUUUUACAAUGUCCCUAGCAUUGUUGAUAUCAAAUGCUAAGAGAAUAUGGAUAUCCAAAUAUGCAGUUAUACCUACAGUACAAUUCCUCUCAAUUAAUUAAGUAAUGAACGAGUAUCUACAUGUAGUUUCGAAUUAAUGUAAUCUAUACAUUCUUUGGAUGGUUUUAGGUUAAAUAUUUUCGGAUACUUGCUUACAUUCAAAGUAUCAACAUAGACAAUAUGUUCCAUGAGUUAUGCAAAAAUUGUGGACAAUCAUGUUAAUCUCAUUUUGCAAAAUUGGUGUGUAUCCAUUGUAAUGACGUAGUCGACACUAUUAUCAGGUAAUUAUUUUCAUAUAUUUUAAAUUUUAAUAUAAUUUUUUGCAUCAUAUAUCACAAUUUCUUCUGAACAGAUACAAUGUUAACAUAGAAGUUAGAGAUUCCAGUGGUAACCUAUACCUUGCUCUUCAAGACAAGCAUGCAUGAUUCAUGUUUUGUUGUGAUGCUUCUUAUCUUAGAGAUUUAAAAACAAAGGUAUACAUUAUUUAUAUGUAUAUAUUUUUAUACAAUAUUAUUUACAAACUGUCUAAAACAAAAGAUAAUUUUGAAUUAUGCAUGCUUUUAAUUGUCAGGAAAAUGGAGGUGCAUUGUUUGACCAACACAUUAAUUCAUGCAAAAAUCGUACAUUCUCAUUUAUAGUACAAACUCCACAAAAAUCAACAGAAUUAAUUAAACCCCCCCCCCAAAUACUGGCAUUCGUGCUCAGAGUUGAUCGGUGUGAAGGAUGUUAACACCUUCGUAGAAGAUUAUCAAAUCAAAGGCAAAAUGUUUGUAAGUAUUUCAUUUAUUUAUCAAAUUAAAUAUUCAAUUAUAUUUAAUUGGACCCUUAUGUCGCUCAAUUUAUGAUAUAGAUUUCUAUUUUUUUUCAAGAUCCAACCUUCAUCAAAGUGAUAGUUUAUAAAUAAUGGAGAUGUUUUUAUCAUAUAUUGAACUAUUGUUACAAUAUUUCAUUUUUUUAAAUAUACUUUCAUGUGCCCGUGAUUAUAAUAUUUUACUAUUUUUAAAUUCCUCCAUAGAUUGUAAUUUUUUUCAAAAAUGUAAUCUGCUGUGCAUAGCACGAGUAUUUAUACUAGUUUUUUAAAAUGCUUAAUGCCAUCUACCAAUUGUUAAGUCAAAUGGGAUGACUGUUACUUUUGAACCUCAAGAGGUAUUGGUAGUUUGGUCAAAAUGGAGAGGUAAAUGUAAUUAAUUCAAUACUUGAUUUUGUGUUGUGCUAUAGACAAAAAUUUUUUGGUUUAAAAUUAUUUUUCUUUUUUUGUUGCCACUUUAUAUAUAUGAGUUUUCAGGCAAUCAUUAUCCAAUAGAGACAUCCAACGAUAGGGAUGGCAAUUUCUGGCACGACACGACAAUACGACUGGAACAUGAUCCGUAAUUAAUAGGUUUUAGCACGAAAUGAAUUUUAAUGGAUCAUUAGUGGGUCAGCUUGUUAGUGACACGAAUGUAAGUGAGUUGGGUUUGGUCAACCAGCAGGUUGACACACUAACCCGAUAAGGUGCUUAUUUUAUAAUAAUAAUUAACACUAUAGAAGCCAUUUUGAGUAUUUUGUAAAAACUAAGAACGAUUAAACUUGGCUUGAACAUUUCAAUUAGAUGUUUUAAAAACUCAUAUUUUGUAUCUUCUCAUUUAUGGAAAUAUCCUACCAUGUUUCUAAAAGGUUAAUUGGAUCUCACUUUCUAGAGAGUUUUUGGAGAAAAAUUACUUUAAUACUUCUUAUAGGAUGUUAUAUAUGUGAGAUAAAGGGUGAUUGAAAUAUGUGUAGAAGGAAUAUUCACAAAAUGUGGAGAAAUUUUUCAAAAAUAGCAAUCCAAAUAAGGUUGACUUUGUAACUUAUAUUAUGCUUGGGAAGCUUCAUCAUCUAUCAUUUUUUUAAUGUUUUACGACAUGAAAGUCUAAUUGGUUGGAUUAGGGUUGAGAUUUUCUAACAUAAACACGAUAACGAUACGACACGAUAAGUGUAGAGUAUUUAACGAGUUACGCGAGUUCGUUUGAAUCAACUCGUUAACAAAUAGAUCAUGACAUAGCACAAAAUGAAAGUCUAAUGGGUUGGGUUAGGGUUGAGAUUUUUCUGAGAUGAAAAUGAUAAUGACAAAACACAAUAAGUACACGACACGACCCAUUGCCACCCUUACACCAUGACACAUAGCGAAAAAAGGCCCAAGUAGUUUAUUAAUUCUAUUGUUUACUUAAUUCAAUUCAUCCAUUACUUGCAAAUUAAAGACAUAUAAUUUUAUCUUUGGAAUAAUUUCGUAAACCUCUACGGAGGUUUCUAAUAGAAUCACUUGGCAGCAAUUUUUAAAUAUCUCACUUGUCUCUCUUAAUUUAAGUUUUUUGUAGCAUUUGAAAUCUAUUUCAAAAUAUAAUUUUAAAGAACUCAUUUUGGGAGAGAGAAUAUAAUUUUAUUCUGAAUUUACCCUUUUGUUAUCUUACUUUUUAGUAAAACUUUUUUAAACCAAGGACUGUAGGGGAAUAGACCAAAGUUUUCAGUACAUGGGGAUUAAAAAAAAGCCAAAUAAAAAAGGAGUGCUACUCCUUAACAUAUAUAAUAAUUUAAGAAACUUGAGUAUAUUAAUGAUAAUUUAAAAACAAAAUCCAAAAGCAUGAAAUUUUAAUUCUAACAGGAUAAAAUAUAGUGCGCUUUUAAAACACAAAAUAUUUCAAAGUGUAUUUGAAGACUUUCCAAGUUACAAAAGUAUUAUUUUCUUUACUGUAAAGUGUAUUGAGUUAAUUUAAAGAGUUUUAUAAAUACUUCAUAUUUUCUAAGUUUUCUAAUUUUUUUAAUCCAAGUCAAUAGCUUGCAAACUAGAAUAAUAAAAAAAUGCUAAAAAUUAUAUAUAAACUUGUUUGUGAUGUUUCCAAAAAAGAUUAUUUUCAUUACUAUAAAAUUUUCAAGUUAUUUUUACAAGUAUUGUAAAUUAUCUAUAAUUUUAAAUAUCUUAAUAUUUAUUGUUCGAACUCGUGACAUAAAACAAUAUUAAGAGUCUUUCGAACCCAUUACCGACUUUUUAAUUUCAAUUAAAGAAUCAUAUUGACCAAGUUGAUAAAAAUUGAGAAAUAAAAUUAAUGUGAUAUGACAAUUAAGAUUCCACAAGAAAAGGGUAAUUAUAGAAUGAGAUUAUAUUAUCUAUUCUAAAAUGAGUUUUCUAAUUAUUAUAUUUUGAUGUGGGUUGCACAAGUUAGAAAAAAAAUUCCAAAAUAAGGGAGGCGAGUGACAUUUUUCAAAGUUUAAAGGUACCAAGUGAUAUGUUAGAAGCCUCAGGGGAGGUUUCUGCAAUUAUCCCCUUAUGUCACCGUGCUUGACUUUGACCUAUACCGUAGGCGUAGCCGUCUUCUCCCUCGAGUCAGCCUUUCAUUCUUCUUUCCUCCUUCUCCUUUCCAAAUUUCACCACCGCCCGCCGCCUUGCGUAUGAUAUGAGAGCCUCCUUGUCUUCUUCGCCCUUUUAUUUUUGUUCCUCCUUCUCUUGAACCUCUGCCACCCAUCUACUGUUUGGUGAAGAGUCUGCAAAGAGAGCAUUUUGGGUUGAAGAUUGAUUUGCUAUUUCUGUCUUUCUGUGCAAUUUCUCACAAAUUGGACACGGGUAAUUUUUUUUCUUUGAAAAUCAUGGUGAAAGCCUCCGUUACUCGGUAGACUUGGCCGCUCUUUUGAGUUCCGGAGUCGACUCAGUCCGAAUAAAAUGCGUCCACCAAAUAACGGAGCAAUACUUUUUCUCUGAUUUUUUUCCCCUUUCAUUGCAGAGUCUUAUUCCUUUGGUGAAUGUAUUUCAGAUAUGGUUUCUGGGCUUAGGUGAUUUUGGUGCGCAUAUGGGGACUCGAAAUUUUUUAUGGAACUCGGCUAAGAAGUUUUUCACCAUUGGCCUCAUAGGCCUUACGGUAUCUGACCGGUAUUUUAGCAUUGUUCCUGUUCGAGGUUAUUCAAUGUCUCCUACUUUUAAUCCCCAAAUCAGCAGUUAUACAGGAUCCUUGACUGGUAACUUUCUUAUCUUCUUUGUUGUCUUCUGAACAAGUAUGCUAAUGCACCAAGUUUUGCACUUAUAUGCUUAACUUUUAAUGUUAAUGAUAAGUCUAUUGUAGAUGACCGUGUCCUUGUGGAGAAAUUUUGCCUCGAAAAGUACAAGUUCUCAUGUGGUGAUGUGGUGGUCUUCUGGUAGGUUCCUUUUUGCUACUUCUGGAUGAGAGAAUUUCUCCCUCUUAUUUCCUGCUGGUGUAAAUAUGUGCUUGAGCCACAUGAUUUUUGAGCUAUGCUUAAGCUGAUACAUAAACUUAGAAAAGCAGUUUUACGUUGUGAAUAUGCACAAACUUGUUGAGUGACUUAUAAUGGUAAUUGGUUAAAAGAAUAUUACUUUGAGGCUUAGUGGAUAAACAAAACUAUAGAUGGAAUGGAGAACAUUGCAUGGAUACAAAGCAUAAUUUAUUAUAGAUGAUCUGUAGACCAAAAAUUUCUUGGGACUCAAUUUGCAGUUGAAAAUCAUGAUUUGAUGCCAAGCUUAGACUUGAUAAAUGAGUUGGCGGCCUAAUUUUAGAUGUUAUGGUGCAUUCUGUGUUUGCCUUUAAAAAUUUAGCUUAGUGGAGUUAAUCUCAUGGAAUGUUGUUGAUAGUGAUUUUUUUUAAAUCAUGGCUUUGUGCAGCUCUCCUAGUAAUCAUAGGGAAAUGCAUAUAAAGAGAAUAACUGCCCUACCUGGUGACUGGAUCAGUACUCCUCACUCUUACGAUGCUAUUGUGGUCCCGAAAGGGCAUUGCUGGGUUGAGGGAGACAAUUCAGUGUUUAGUUUGGACUCAAGAUCCUUUGGACCGGUAUAGACAUUCUUCACCGUACUUUUGAAUUCAGUUUAAGGAGUAUGUAGAGUACUAACAAGAAAAGAAAAAAAGAUGCCCUCUUUGUGUUUAUUCACCUAUAUUUAUGUGUAUUUCCACGGGAUUUGCGUCUGUGUUUGUUAAAUUGUUGAUGGUUUGUUCGUAGCAUUUAAUUAUCAAUAAUCAUGCUCUUUUACAAUUCAAAGUGCCUGCUUAGAUUAUGUCAUGUCUGGAAAUGCUGUUGUACUGGAUGUUUUAGAUCAUUGAACGGACAAAAGUUAAAUGCAUGUAGUUACCCAAAAAAAGAUGUUGAAUGCAUAUGAUAAUACAUGUUUGCUGACCACAGUAGGGCAACAAGUUGUGAAAACAUUUUUAGUCCAAAAUAAAUGUUUGAGAUUCCUGCUUUUGACAUAAAUGGUUAUUGCUGGAUUAAGUCUCUGUAUGUCUGCAUUUGUAGAAAAAGGCUUUGUUAGCUAAUGAAUUUCUUGAUGGUUUACUUCCAGAUUCCUUUGGGUUUGGUUCAUGGAAGGGUCACACAUAUUGUCUGGCCUCCCCAAAGAGUUGGUAAAGUUGACAAAAGAAUCCCUCAGGAGCAUUUGCCUUUCUAAUUUUUUUUUUGAGUUUGUCUUCUGUACGUUCUACCAAUUUUUGCCUAUGCUAAAUUGAUGAAGAUAUAUUCUUCAGAAGUUAAGAGUUUAAGGUGGAGCAAUAUUAUCUUAAACUCUUCAGGCCACAAAUUAUUGUUGGGUGGAGAUUCUGCAAUUUUGGCUCCUUUUUCUUAAUGACAUUUGUUGUUUCUUGUAUAAGGCAAUUUUCAACCAUCCUGUUUGAGUUUUUUGUUUAAGGGUCAAUAUUUCUAUUUAUUUGGAUUUGUUGGUGCAAAAGCAGUGUUUUUAGUCUAUUUUCCAGCCAUUUAAGUACAGUAUUGACUAUUUAUAUUCGUCAUAAAUAGAUGAUUAGAGUAAAUUAAGGAAGGAAAAAAAGAAUUAUGCAUGGUAAAGGGUAUGGAGUGCAAAGAUGGAGAGGUGUAAACAUUUUGCAAUUAUGAUUAUUACGGCAGUGUGAAUAGGUGCAGUUGUAGACAUGGAUAAGUGGAUGUUUAGUCCAAUUCUAAGAUAACCAUAUUAAUUAUGACGGCGGGAAUUUUUAUUUUUAUUUUUCUUUAUAUAAAGUUGACCAGUUUUACCAUUUCUGAUUAGGUAAUCUAUAUAAAGAAUAGGAUGGCACCAGUAAAACUAGUCUUGUAUUUGGUUCACUUAGACCGUUUAAACACAUAAGCUGGAACUGUGAAAGCUAUCGAGCAUGAAUAGAGCUUUUAGGCCACAACUGCAGGGUGGACUACAAUAGAGGUCCAAUCUGAUUGCAAAUUUGUGGUGAGCCUAAUCAACUCAAGCAAUGUGCAAGAUUGUAAGGUACAAACGAUCCUGGAAGACAUUGAAGACUUGAAGAAGAACUUUGAAAGCUGUUUGUUUUUGUUCGUUCCCAGAACUGCUAAUAGUUGUAGCCAUGCUAUGGCUCAAUUUGCAGUUAAGUCAGUUAGGAUGAUUGAAUGGGAGGGAGCAUUCCCAUUUUGGUUAUCAGAACUAGCUAGAAAGGAUAUGGGGGUAGUUACCCCUUUUUGUAAUUAACUCUUGUAAUAUCAAGUAUUAAUAUUUAUAAAAUUGGUAUCGUUUGGUUUUAGGCAAGUAAGCAUGAUCAGACUAAAACGAGAUUUUGUGUUUUGAGAUGAUGUGACCAGUUCUCUAUUGCUUUUGAAUUUUGUAAAGUUGCCUUUGUAAAAGAUCCAAAUUAAAAUCCAAAAAGCAGGUUUAUGCUAUCUUCUAAUUGAGUUAAGAGUUUGAUUUAUGUCAAAUGACUCCAUAUUAGAACACUUGAUUUUUACAAAAUAGUAGUACUAAAUGCUAAUGCCAAGGAAUUGUGAGCCGUUGGUGUGGAGGUUUGAAGGAUGAAACUGGAGAGCCGUCACUGCUGUGGAAGGACUCCCCUCUCCAUCCAUCCUGAACCUGAGCAGCAAAUUGCAAAUUCCAGAGGAUAUCCUCAACUGAAGGUCUAUCUGCAGGAUUCUGGAGCAAACAUUUGCAGCAAAUCUCGAUCAUAGUUUUCAGUGAUUGGUCCGAACAUGCAUCACUAACAGCCGGAUCGACCACUCUCUUUCUGGAUGCAUCAUCUGCUGUAAUGACUGCUUGUAGCUGCAUGACAGGAAAAAACAAAUUCUUUUCAUUCAUGGGCGUUGAGAACAACUUUGGUAGAACACUCAGUUCUGUACACCUACAACUGAUGGAAGUCAAUAAUUAUCAGUCAGGCUCACAGAUUCUGCUUUUCUAUAAAUGCCAACUUGUGGAUUCAAAAUAAAGAAAAUCUCCCCAAGAUAUCGAGAAACCUAUUAGGAUGAUGCAUCUCUCUCUCUCUCUCUCUCUCUCUCUCUCUCAUGCGGCCGCACACGCACAAUAAGUGGAACAAAAAUGCUUAAAUUUGAUUAGGUGAAGGUCUCAUGUUUGUUUAUCAGAUUACAGAUAUUAGAGAUUACAUGGCAUGUCCUGGCCUAGGCACUCCUAUUAAGGUCCUUUUGAGAUGCCAUAUAUUGCUAAAUGCAAAUAUGAUUACCCUAAUUGAAGGUCUUACAACUUGCAGGGACUUCAUGACUAUAUUGUCUUCACUGUCAUUACAAAAUUGCAGUUUUGUUUUGUUCUUUUUUCCCUUAAGUGUGACAGGGAGGGGGGGAAAAUGCAACUGUUCCGGAAAGAUUUUGUUCAUUUCAACAAAAUAUAAGUUGAUUUUUUCAGAAUGCAAAUGACUUUGAAUAGAAGGUAAUUUUGGAUUAAUUUUUAUGGACCAGACGUAUGGUGUUAAAAAGGAUGGACACCACAUGAUCUUAAUCUUGCAUUUUUUUUCUUCUGGGCCAAUCAUUGUCAACCUUCAACAAAGGUUGCACUAGCCAACUAUUCCUGCCUAAUUGGUGUAUCAUAGGAAUUAUUGUCAAAAAAGGGAAAGCAAUGUAUUUGUACCUGUCUAUAGCUUCUAUUUCAAAGCAAAAUAGCAGCUUUGUAUUAUUCUCUUUUUCCUAUGUAUGGUAUGAUUAUAUGAGUUAAUGUCUCAAGGGCAAAGCAAUAUACUUAAAGCCAGCAGCACCGGACAAGAGUGAGAGCACAAGUCUCAUUAACCUCAGGACCUGUGGAGCAUUUUUUUUACCUGUCUACAGCUUCUAAAUUUCCUUUAAAUUUAGCAUUUCGCUAUUAGAUUUCAGCAGAAUUGGAUUCUGUAUCAUAUAACUCCUAAAAAAAUUCAAAAGAAAAGAAAAGAAGAAGAACGUUCUGCAAAGUGGAGUUUGCUAAUUGAGAACAAACAAAACAUGGAAUCCAACACUAUGCAAAUUGAGAAUAAAGAAAAGAAAAUUUCGCAAUAUUGAUGCUGAGUAGUAUCUGUAACUAGUCCAAACCUGAGCUUUGGCUCCCAAGACAAGUUAGAUCUGAUAAAGUUACAUUUAUAUACCUGAUCUUUGAGAACCACCACUUCUCUCUCGGAAAUUAUUAGCCUUCCGGAGAUGAUCUCCAGCAAUAUUAUCCCAAAGUCAUAGAUAUCAAACUUUUCUUGAUGCAUUACCCUGUGAACCAAGAGUGUAGUUUAAGCAUUUCUUAUCGAAAUUUUAAGAAGUGCACCACAUAUUUGGUAUCAGUUAUGUCAUUGAUGGUACAAGUCCAAGCACUUGUGACUUUAUACAAAAGGUAGAGGACUUGUAACAACUGAUAGUUUGCAGAUUUUUCUCAAGUAUUUGACUUCCAAAAAUUAAAAAAAAAUGAAUAUUGAGUAAAUGCCAAUGAAAAUAUAUGUGGAAGACAAUAUAAAAGAUGAAUGGUUAGUCAAAAACAGUAGAUGCAGCAGAAAAAGUUGCUGAGAAAGUUAAAUUCCCAGAUCAAUAGUUGUGCCCCUUGAGCACAAGGUUUUCAAGUAAAGGCUUACAGUAAAGGUAUGAAUUUGGCUAUUGAUGAAUAGCAGUAACCAGAAAUCUUGCAAGUAAAGGAAGUCCUGUGUUGUUAACUAUUCGUCUCGUUAAGCAGAGACCAGAAUGCAGAAAGUUGGACAAGAACAAACCUUAGGUUCUUCAACUGUGUAGAUGUAUUCGAACUAUGAACAUCAUCCUGUAAAAUUAAGUAGCUUUCAACACCUAUCUUGUGCAAGAAAACAUCUUACAAUACUAGAAUUUAAAAUUCUUCAUUCAAGUUUCAUACCUUUCCCAUAUGCUCUGCUAGCAAAGGCAGGUUAUAGCUACUAACUUUUGCAACAAGGUUCUGAUCCAAUAGAACAUCUGUUAUUUUCAAAUAAUUUGGAAAGAUACCAGGCACUAUUCCUGUAUGCAGGAAUUGUAUACCCUUUGCUACCCCAAUUGCAGCUGCAAUACGUUGUGUCCAAUUAAGUUUCGAUCUGGCACGUCUAUCUGUCAUAUAACAAUGAGAUCCACUUAAAAUUGUAAAAGAACAGAAAAUCAAAACAGUUUGCAAGUUGAAUAGCAUAGAUAAUCAACUAAUUCCUAAUUUGAUUAGACAGCGUGCUUUUCUUAAAAGAGUUUAAAAAGUUAGCUGAUGGUGAAUCCGCUAGGUGGAUGACUCACUGAAAUCAGAAAAUUAUACAUGCUACUAAUGCAAGUGGUAUUCUUUUAAAGAGAUGUCGGCUUAUAAGAUGUUAUCUACUGCAUCCAGCCAAAUCUUUUUUCAUGAAAGAACAUGAUUUGAAUAUGCAUACUGAUAUCAUAAAACAUUUGGAAUACCUGAUAUCCAGCUCCUCAAUGUCCCAUUUGGAACAUAUUCAAAGACAAGGAAUAUUCUGCUCACACUUGAAUCAUCCAAGUAACACUCGAAGCAGUGGCCAAGAGCACUGACCAGAUGCUGAUGUCUUAGUUUCGAUAUUAAUUCAAUGUGAUGCAAGAAAUCUUGAGUGCUGUGCCUUCUUUUCAUUUUCAGGCAUCUAAUAGCAACGUAGGUACCAUCCUUCAUCUGGCCUCUGUACAUCUGAGUCAAUGGCAAAGAAAAUUUCAGCUAUAGUCAUUUAAGUAGUCUAUGGCUUCAUAUUUUGGGAAGAACUAUCCCAAAAACACAAAUUGGCGGCAUGUGUCACAGCAAACAGUUUCUGUAAUUUUGAAUUAGUCUAUAUGACUCAUUUCCACAUGUGAAGAACAGGUUACAGCCAUACUGCAUAGUCAUUUAAGUAGUCUAUGGCUUCAUAUUUUGGGAAGAACUUCCCAAAAACACAAUAGGCGGCAGGUGUCACAGCAAACAGUUUCUGUAAUUUUGAAUUAGUCUAUAUGACUAAUUUCCACAUGUGAAGAACAGGUUACAGCCAUACUGCAUAGUCAUUUAAGUAGUCUAUGGCUUCAUAUUUUGGGAAGAACUAUCCCAAAAACACAAUAGGCAGCAGGUGUCACAGCAAACAGUUUCUGUAAUUUUGAAUUAGUCUAUAUGACUAAUUUCCACAUGUGAAGAACAGGUGACGGCCAUACUGCAUAGUCAAUUUAUGCCAGAAGUAAAGUUGGUGUAUGCAUAUAACUUUCAGAUUCAGGUUUCAUUAACCACGCAUUAAUAUAUAUACCAAUUGUACCUUUUAUUUUUACCAGUUCUUAGAAUAUAAAACAUGAAGAUUAAAUAUCUAAUUCUUUACGAUUAUAUCCAAAAAACCAUUCUCUCCAACUUCACAACCUGCAGAAAGUUGAUUACCGAUUAGAUAAAAUAUCUGUUACAAAUUAACCUGAAAUGAUUGGUGAGAUGUGGGUCUUUUUACUGAGCUAUGUUCUGGAAGAAAUCAGUGUGAGAUCAGAAUGUAGCUCAGAGGAUAGAACUUGUGGUUACAGAUGACAAUGGCAAGGAUUCGCCCCUAACUCGCAUAGAAGGGAAGUAGAUUUUGCUUCAGGAGAAGAGUUGUCUAUACAGCAGACACAAAGCAAUGGAACGAAGAGUAUUGAUCAAAGCAUUUUUGGCAGAAUCAUUUUUGGCAGAUAGGGUUUAUACAAGUGAACUUAAACUUUUCUACACAAUUGGUUUCAUCAUCACAUAGUAUGGAGGGUAAGAUAAAAAUGGCGACUGUAAAGACAAACAAUGAGUUGAAUACUAGUAAGAAAUAUCAAUUGGAGGGAAUUACUCCAACGUCUCAUACUCAAAUAAUUUCAGUUUCAUAUUUUCUUCAACUGUCUUCUCAUAAACGGUUCGGGAGAACCCUAAGAUGAAGUGAAGACACUGAAAGCCAACUUAUUGAUGCUAGUACAACAAUUCAAUUUGCAUUGGGAAAUUGUUAUGAAUAACACAUUUACCUGACCACAAGAGCCUUCCCCUAUGAAGGAUGAUGUGUCAAAGUUGUUUGUUGCCUCCUCAAGCUCUUCCAGUGAAAAGGUCCUGUAGGCUGGAAGACCUAUUGCUCCAAGCUUCAUUGCUUGUGUAAUAUAUCCUGGAGAACUUGCUGAUUAGUUGUUAAGACUCUCAUUAAUGCUUCAUAGCUGCUUUAGGAUCAAAGAUAUCCAGAUGACUAGAUAUAUUUCUAUUCUAGACUGAAUAUUCAUGGAUCCAAGAAAUAUUGUUAAAACAAGAGAACUGCAAUCAAUUAGUACGAUUGUUACAUUCUCCUUCUUCAGUUGAAUCACUCCAUCUCUUUCUGAGACCAGAUGGUUAUUCAGUUUAAUCAACCUGUAAGGUGGGUGCAGACUAUCGGAUGAGGGAGAGAGAGGCAAAUUUAAAGCCAAAUUUGUGACGUUGUCGUUGUGCUUUCACCUUUUUGGGCUUUAGGGUCAAAGAUAAAGAAUUUUGUUUCCUUAAACUCAGCUCUUGCCACUGCAGAAGCUUAAAAUUGAGUGUGCUGUUACAACAGUUUCAAUGUACAAUGAAGAAUUUACAAAAACUUGUGCUUUUCUAUGCAAGAUUGAUCACACAUUACAUAACCAGUAAACCAGUCCUGGAUUUGGUCCAUUGAGAUAACCUGUCAGGUAUGGUGAAUGCCAAUGAAAGGAAAAUUCAAGAAUGUGCAAAACUUGUACUUUGUAAGCACAGUCCAUUGAGCACAAUAUUUUGUGAAUUUAAAAAGAGCAAAUUCCAUUAUUAUAAGUAAAAAUCACAUUUCACACCAGCAAAUAAACUUCCCAUUAGCAGAUGAAAAGAUUGACGACUUACUUGCAUCUGAAAGUAUUUUUGAGGUGUACCCUGUUGAGGCAUUUUCUUCAAUUAUUCUAACAGGAAGCUUUUGUGCUUCAUUCUUUGCAAGAAAUUUUCUUACAAGAACAAAAGCUAGAGCGAGUAGUAGAACUGCACCUAUAGUACUUCCAGAUAUGCUCAAGGCCAGGAUUAUUUUUGAAGCUUCCUUUUGCCUUCUAUGAUGAGGCAGGAUUCCCACAGCCAAAGCUUGAUUCUGACAAUAUGAGUUCGGUUGUUGAGUUACAUCCUUCGUUGCCAAACAAUUUGCAGCAUAUUGAAAAAUCCUGUUUCUUGAAUUGGACAGUAGACAGCUAGGCACCAUCCCAGUCAACAGAUUAGCAGACAAAUUCACAAACUUAAGUUCAGUAUUGCAAGACACAUCUUCGAAAAGCAUUCCAGUAAAUCUAUUAGCUGAAAUAUCCAGGUAUGUAAUUGAUGGCAUGGACAGAAGAUAUGAUGGAAAUGGCCCCACAAAUUUGUUGGAUGACACAUCUAGGUGAUCAAGCUGAUAGAAGGAUUUCACUUCAUCUGGAAUGCCAUAGGUAAAUUUAUUUUUCCUCAGUACAAGGCUUACAAUUUUUUUAUUAACUGGAGGAAAUUGAGGUCCAAGAGAAUUGUUUUCCAAGUCUAGAACCUGAAGGUUUUCCAAGUUUCUAAGAUCAGGCACUUCUCCAGAGAAAUUGUUAUUGGAUAAGGCAAGGAUUCUUAGAUUUUCCAAACUUCCUAGGGAAUCGGGCAGAGAUCCACUACAAGAAUUAUUUCGCAUACUCAAAACUGUCAAAACUGAUAGUGAUCCCAGCUCAUCAGGAAAUCUACCAUUAAACAUAUUGCCAUCAAAUAUGAGAGCUUGGAGACCUGUUAAUGACAAUAUUCCUCGAGGUAUGGUACCGUAAAAGAAAUUCGAACUUAUGUCCAAUAUUUCCAGAGAUGACAAGCGGGAAAGUUUAUCUGGUAAUGCCCCCCAUAAACCCAAAGAAACCAACCUGAGGACCUUCAAAUUGGGAAGUUUAACCAGUGUAGUAACAAAUGAAUCAAUAGAGAAGUUCUUAGAAAGCUUAUUAGUCUCUUUCUCCCCAAUUAUAUGCAGCUGAGUUAUACUUUCCUCAUAGCAGACUACUGUAAGAGUGGACCUUGGUUCUGGAUUGCAGAAAUCUGUAUCAUUCUUCCAGCCACUCAAAGACUCAGGAAAAUUCAAAAACUGUUGAAUCCUUAAAAGAGUUUGUGCCUGGGAUGACUGCAAUUUUUCUGAAUGGCCAACUAAGACUGACAAUGCAAAAAACAGAACCAGCGCUGCAUGGCCUACCUCUUUUCCCAUCCUGCAGAACAACAGAACAAGAGAUCCCACAAACAGAGCUGACUAAUUCAAAGCUUAAGUAUUCACUUGUUUCGACACAUGAAUCACUAACAUCUUCAAAACUCAACUUUUGCAACAGCGGAACAGUUGAAAGCACAAAAGGGACAAUAGGAAAAGGAGCAAGUUAUUGUUUCAUCAUGGAUACCUGAAGGUAGAAAAAAUUAUUCACCUUCACUUGCUACUCUUUGGUUCUCAAAUGAUUUUCUUGAUAUCUACUUAACUACAACAAUUACAUAUGCUGAACGGGACUAAUCUAUCUUGUCUGCAUUAUUAACAAAAGAAACAACUGAAAUGAAAAUUUGAAGCUGAUAGAAGGCUAACCUCUAUACUGAGAAACAGAAGCCAAAUGUUAAUCUCCAAUUUUCCUUGGUGAAGUAAGUUUAACCUUCAUUUCCUUCAAAUGAAGAAAUAAACUACAGUUCCAACAUCCCAACUUCCUAAGUAGCUUAGAAACAAAGGCUGACCAUAAUCAUAUCAACCUACCACAUCUUCCACACAAUAGUC